RNAcentral lists this long non-coding RNA (169590 nucleotides) under Hordeum vulgare. RNAcentral describes it as "long non-coding RNA (HVUL_LNC013558)". The record is from RNAcentral. Lineage: Eukaryota; Viridiplantae; Streptophyta; Magnoliopsida; Poales; Poaceae.
ACAGUGAAUACAUGAACUCCUCAAACUACGGUCAUUACCGGGAGUGGUCCCGACUAUUGUCGCUCCGGGGUUGCCGGAUCAUAACUCGUACUAGGUGACUAUAACUUGCAAGAUCGGAUCUAGAACAUGGGUAUAUGGUGAUAACAUAAACAGUUCAGAUCUGAAAUCAUGGCACCCGGUCCCAAAGUGACAAGCAUUAAGCAUGGCAAAGACAUAGCAACAUCAAUCUCAGAACAUAGUGGAUACAAGGGAUCAGGCCCUAAUAAAACUGACUCGAUUACAUGAUGAAUCUCAUCCAACUCCUCAUCGACCAGCGAGCCUACGAAGAAAUUACUCACUCCCGAUGGGGAGCCUCAUGGAGUUGACGAUGGAGGUGUGUUGGUGAUGAUGAAGAUCGAAGACCCCCCUCUCCGGAGCCCCAAACGGACUCCAGAUCUGGCCUCCUGAUGAAGAAUAGAAGACGGUGGCGACUCCGUAUCAUGAAACGCGAUAAUAAUUUCUCAUUAACUUUUUCUGAAAUAAUGUGAUUUUAUAGCGUCGGUUUCAGGGUCAUAGGGGCCACCAAGUGGGGACAACCCACCAGGGCACGCCCUGGUGGGUUGUGCGCACCCCCCCCCCUAAGGUGGCUCUUGGCUCCAGAAUUCUCUUUAUUGAUAUAAAAAAUCCUCGCAAAGUUUCGUUCCAUUCCGAGAACUUUUAUUUCUGCAUAAAAACAACACCAUGGUAGUUCUGCUAAAAACAGCGUUAGUCUGGGGUUAGUUUCAUUCAAAUCAUGCAAAUUAGAGUUCAAAACAAGAGGAAAAUCAUUAGAAAAAGUAGAUACAUUGGAGAUGUAUCAAUAUGCAGCUCGGUGCUUUGACGUCUUUCUGUAAAAUACUUCACGGUACCAUAGAAAAUACCCUCCACAGUCGUUGUAAGUGGCAAAAAGCCAUGUUUCCUCUGAGGACAAAGUUAUAUGUUUCAGCGAAAUUGGUAGUCAUGACACCGUACCUUGCUUCAUGUGUGUCAUGCAAUAGAGACCACGUCUCCAAAGGCUCAUGCUCUAUCCACUGAUCAAAGGUUUAAUCGUCCUUGUAAGCCUUCUCCUUCUACCAGGAGGGUCAAAUCCUGGCAAGACACAAAGCCCAACAGGCUCUUCCUCCACAUCAGUUGAUCCUGUUGCUAGCUAUGCAUCUAAUGCUUCAACAUGUGCCCUCACAGCUGCAUCUCUUGCAUCUCUCCUGUCCCUAACAUGUUUGAGUGUGCAAACAUUAAGGCUGUUACGUAUUAGAUCAUACUUCCAUUGUUGGUUCUUCUUGCAUAGUUUGUUGAAUAGAUUCAUAAGGUUCUUAUUUCUGAACUACGAGAAGAAAUUUGCCCCAAGAUGGCGCAUGCACCAAUGACUCUGUAGGUCCUGCCAUGGAGUUUGUUCAUCGGGACCAGGGUUCGACAAUGUCUUGAUCGCGUUGAGUACACAACAUGCUUGUCAUGAAGGAUGCACACAUUCGGCUUAUCAUGCACGACCGCUAUUUUCAACUGCCUGAAGAACCAUGUCCAACUCUCAAUAUUCUCGCUUUUCACAAAAGCAAAUGCAAGUGGGACGACUUGAUUUUGGCCACCUUGACCAAUGGUUGUGAGGAUCUGAUCCUUGUACUUGCGAGUGAGAAAAGUUCCAUCUACACAUUGUUGGAAAUAUGCCCUAGAGGCAAUAAUAAAAUGGUUAUUAUCAUAUUUCCUUGUUCAUGAUAAUCGUCUAUUGUUCAUGCUAUAAUUGUAUUAACAAGAAACAGUAAUACAUGUGUGAAUAAAUAGAUCACAAUGUGUCCCUAGCAAGCCUCUAGUUGGCUAGCUCGUUAAUCAAUAGAAGAUCAUGGUUUCCUGGUCAUGGGCAUUAGAUGUCAUUGAUAACAGGAUCACAUCAUUGGGAGAAUGAUGUGAUGGACAAGACCCAAUCCUAAGCAUAGCACUAGAUCGUAUUGUUCGUAUGCUAAAGCUUUUCUAAUGUCAAGUGUCUUUUCCUUCGACCGUGAGAUUGUGCAACUCCCGGAUACCGUAGGAAUGCUUUGGGUGUAUCAAACGUCACAACGUAACUGGGUGACUAUAAAGGUGCACUACGGGUACCUCUGAAGGUGUCUGUUGGGUUGGCACGAAUCGAGAUCGGGAUUUGUCACUCCGUGUGACGGAGAGGUAUCUCUGGGCCCACUCGGUAGAACAUCAUCAUGAGCUCAAUGAGAUUAAGAAGUUAGUCAUAGGAUGACGUGCUACGGAACCAGUAAAGAGACUUACCGGUAACGAGAUUGAACAAGGUAUAGGUAUACCGACGAUCGAAUCUCGGGCAAGUUUUAUACUGACAGACAAAGGGAAUUGUAUACGGGAUUGAUUGAAUCCUUGACAUCGUGGUUCAUCCGAUGAGAUCAUCGUGGAACAUGUGGGAGACACCAUGGGUAUCCAGAUCCCGCUGAUGGUUAUUGGUCGGAGAGCGUCUCGGUCAUGUCUGCAUGUUUCCCAAACCCGUAGGGUCUACACACUUAAGGUUCGAUGACGCUAGGGUUAUAGAAAAAUGUUAUACGAGGUUACCGAAAGUUUUUCGGAGUCCCGGAUGAGAUCCCGGACAUCACGUGGAGCUCCAAAAUGGGCCGGAGGUAAAGAUUGAUAUAUAGGAUGGAUGGUUUUGGACGCCGGAAAUGUUUCGGGCGUCACCGGUAGCGUACCGGGACCACCGAGACCUCCGGAAAUGGUCCCGGGGGUCCACCGGGAGGGGCCACCAGCCCCAAGAGCUAGCGUGGGCCAAAAGGUGGAAGGCAACCAGCCCAAAGUGAGAUGGUGCGCCUCCCACAAAAGGGCCCAAGGCGCAGGAGGUGGAGAGGGGGGAAACACUAGGCGGUGGUGGGCCUAAGGCCCACCUAGGGGUGCGCCACCCCCUCCCCCUGCCCUGGCCGCCGCACCUCCCAUCUGGGGGGCUGCCGCACCACCUAGGGUGGGAACCCUAGGGGUGGCACCCCCCUCCCCUCCUCCUAUAUAUGCCUAGGGGUUUGGGGCUAUUUUGCACACCGUUUCUUCUCUCCCUCGGCGCAGCCGUGCUCCUCUCCUUCCUCCUCCUCCCACAGUACUUGGCAAAGCCCUGCCGGGAGACCUCGUCUCUCCAUCGACACCAUGCUGUCGUGUUUUCGGAGAUCUUCCCCAACCUCUACCUCCUCCUUGCUAGAUCAAGGUGCGGGAGACGUCACCGGGCUGCACGUGUGUUGAACACGGAGGUGCCGUGGUUCGGCAGUAGAUCGGAAUCACACCACGUUCUGAUUCGCUGCGAGUAUGACUCCAUCAACCGCGUUCUAGCAACGCUUCCGCUUAGCGAUCUUCAAAGGUAUGAAGAUGCACUCACCCCUCUCUCGUUGCUGGUCUCUCCAUAGGAAGAUCUGAAUAUGGCGUAGGAUUUUUUUUGAAUUUAUGCUACGUUACCCAAUAGUGGUAUCAGAGCCAGGUUUUCUAUGCGUAGAUUCUAUGCACGAGUAGAACACAAGAGGUUGUGGGCGAUGAUUUGUCAAUUGCUUGCCGCUACUAGUCUUAUUAUUUUCCGGUGGUAUUGUGGGAUGAAGCGGCCUGGACCGACUUUAAACGUACGCUUACGUGAGACUGGUUCCACCGACAGACAUGCACACCGUGCAUAAAGGUGGCUAGCGGGUGUCUGUCUCUCCCACUCUAGUCGGAUUGGAUUUGAUGAAAAGGGUACUUAUGAAGGGUAAAUAGCUUUGGCAUAUCAUCGUUGUGGUUGUCACGUAGGUAAAAAGGCGUUUUUGCUAGAAACCCAAAUCAGCCACGUAAAACUUGCAACAACAAUUUGAGGACGUCUAACUUGCUUUUGCAGGGUUUGACAUGUGAUGUGAUAUGGCCAAAGUUGUGAUGUUGCAUGUGUGAUGUAUGAGAUGAUCAUGUUAUUGUAAUAGGAUUCACGACUUGCACGUCGAUGAGUAUGACAACCGGCCGGAGCCAUAGGAGUUGUCUUAAUUUAUUGUAUGAGAUGCAAUGCCAUGUGUUUACUACUUUUAUUUCAUUGCUAACGGUUAGCUAUAGUAGUAAUGAGAGUAGUAGUUGGCAUGACGACUUCACGGAGACACGAUGAUGGAGAUUAUGGUGUCACGCCGGUGACAAUGAUGAUCAUGCGAUGCCUGAAGAUGGAGAUCGAAAGAGCAAAGAUGAUAAUGGCCAUAUCAUGUCACUAUAUGAUUGCAUGUGAUGUUUAUCAUGUUUUUCAUCUUAUUGCUUAGAACGACGGUAGCAUAAUAAGAUGAUCCCUCUUAAAAAAAUCGAGAACGUAUUCCCCUAAGUGUGCACCGUUGCGAAGGAUCGUUGUCUCGAAGCACCACGUGAUGAUCGGGGGUGAUAGAUUCUAACGUUCGCAUACAACGGGUGUAAGCCAGAUUUACACACGCGAAACACUUAGGUUGACUCGACGAGCUUAGCAUGUACAGACAUGAACUCGAAAACAAGAGGCCAAAAGGUCGAACAUGAGUCGUAUGGUUGAAUACGAUCCGCAUGAAGUUGCUCACCAUGACGACAAGUUCGUCUCACGUGAUGAUCGGACACGGGUUAGUCAACAUGGAUCAUGUAUCACUUAGAUGACUAGAGGGAUGUCGAUUUAAAUGGGAGUUCAUACUUAAUUUGAUUAAAUGAACUUAAUUGUCAUGAACAUAGUCUAAAAGUUGUCUUUAUAAAUAUUGUAGAUGGCCAACGUCAACCUCAAUUUCAACGCAUUCCUAGAGAAAAACAAGAUGAAAGAUGAUGGUAGCAACUAUGCGGACUGGGUUCUCAACUUGAAGCUCAUCCUUGAAGCAGCUAAAAAGGCUUAUGUCCUUGAUGCGCCGCUAGGUGACCCUCCUGCUGCUGCAGCAGCCCAGGACAUUCUGGACGUCUGGCAAACGCGGAGUAAUGACUACUCUCUGGUUAGGUGUGGCAUGUUAUACAGUUUGGAAACGGGGCUCCAAAGGCGUUUUGAGCAACACGGUGCAUAUGAGAUGUUCCAAGAGCUGAAACUAGUUUUUCAAGCUCAUGCCCGUGUCAAGAGAUAUGAAGUCUCUGACAAGUUCUUUAGCUGUAAGAUGGAGGAGAACAGUUCUAUCAGUGAGCACAUACUCAAAAUGUCUGGGUUACACGGUCGUCUGACUUCACUUGGAGUUGAACUUCCGGAUGAUACUAUAAUUGACAGAAUCCUCCAGUCUCUCCCACCAAGCUACAAAGGUUUCGUGCUGAACUACAACAUGCAAGGGAUGGAGAAGACCAUUCCCGAGUUGUACUCGAUGCUCAAGUCUGCAGAAGUAGAAAUCAAGAAAGAGCAUCAAGUGUUGAUGGUCAACAAGACCACCAGUUUCAAGAAGGGCAAGGGUAAGAAGAACUUCAAGAAAGACGGCAAAGCCGUUGCCGCGCCUGGUAAGCCAGAUGUCGGGAAGAAGAAAAAGAAUGGACCCAAGCAUGAGACUGAGUGCUUCUAUUGCAAGGGAAAAGGUCACUGGAAGUGGAACUGCUCCAAGUACUUAGCGGACAAGAAGGCCGACGACGUUAAAGGUAUAUAUGAUAUACAUGUUAUUGAUGUGUACCUUACCAGCGCUUGUAGUAGCUCCUGGGUAUUUGAUACAUGUGAUGUUGCUCACAUUUGCAACUCAAAGCAGGAACUGCGGAAUAAGCGGAGACUGGCCAAGGACGAGGUGACGAUGCGCGUCGGGAAUGGCUCCAAGGUCGAUGUGAUCGCCGUCGGCAUGCUACCUCUACAUCUACCGUCGGGAUUAGUUUUAAACCUUAAUAAUUGUUAUUUAGUACCAGCUUUGAGCAUGAAUAUUGUAUCAGGGUCUUGCUUAAUGCGAGACGGCUACUCAUUUAAGUCAGAGAAUAAUGGUUGUUCUAUUUAUAUGAGUGAUAUGUUUUAUGGUCAUGCUCCGCUGGUGAAUGGUUUAUUCUUGAUGAAUCUCGAUCGCGAUGUUACACAUAUUCAUAGGUUAGUACCAAAAGAUGUAAAUUUGAUAAUGAUAGUCCCACAUACUUGUGGCACUGUCGCCUUGGUCAUAUCGGUGUUAAGCGCAUGAAGAAGCUCCAUACUGAUGGACUAUUAGAGUCUCUUGACUUUGAAUCAUUUGACACGUGCGAACCGUGCCUCAUGGGCAAGAUGACUAAGACUCCAUUCUCAGGAAUAAUGGAGAGAGCGAGCGACUUAUUGGAAAUAAUACAUAUUGAUGUGUGUGGUCCAAUGAACGUUGAAGCUCGCGGUGGCUACCGUUAUGUUCUCACUCUUACCGAUGAUUUGAGUAGGUAUGGGUAUAUCAACUUGAUGAAGCACAAAUCUGAGACGUUUGAAAAGUUCAAGGAAUUUUAGAGUGAGGUUGAGAAUCAACGUGACAGAAAAAUUAAGUGUCUACGAUCUGAUCGUGGAGGAGAAUAUUUGAGUCACGAGUUUGGCACACACCUAAGGAAGUGUGGAAUCGUUUCACAACUGACGCCGCCUGGCACACCGCAACUCAACGGAGUGUCUGAACGUCGUAAUCGCACUUUAUUAGAUAUGGUACGAUCUAUGAUGUCUCUUACCGACUUACCGCUAUCAUUUUGGGGAUACGCAUUAGAAACUGCAGCAUUCACUUUAAAUAGGGCACCGUCUAAAUCUGUUGAGACGACACCGUAUGAACUAUGGUUUGACAAGAAACCUAAGCUGUCGUUUCUUAAAGUUUGGGGCUGCGAUGCUUAUGUGAAGAAACUUCAACCAGAGAAGCUCGAACCCAAAGCGGAGAAAUGCGUAUUCAUAGGAUACCCCAAGGAAACUGGGUAUACCUUCUAUCUUAGAUCCGAAGGUAAAACCUUUGUUGCCAAGAACGGAUCCUUUCUAGAGAAAGAGUUUCUCUCAAAAGAAGUAAGUGGGAGGAAAGUAGAACUUGAUGAGGUAAUUACACCCGCUCUCAAACCGGAGAGUAGCGCAGCGCGGGAAAUUGUUCCUAUGGCGCCUAUGCCAACUGAAGAGGAAGUUAAUGAUGAUGAUCAUGAAGCUUCGGAUCAAGUUGCUACUGAACCGCGAAGGUCCACAAGGGUACGCUCCGCACCAGAGUGGUACGGCAACCCUGUGAUGGAAAUCAUGUUGUUAGACAACGGUGAACCUUCGAACUAUGAAGAAGCAAUGGCGGGCCCGGAUUCCAACAAAUGGCUUGAGGCUAUGAAAUCCGAGAUAGGAUCCAUGUAUGAGAACAAAGUAUGGACUUUGGUGGACUUGCCCGAUGAUCGGCGAGCCAUAGAAAAUAAAUGGAUCUUCAAGAAGAAGACUGAUGCAAACAGAAAUGUGACCGUUUAUAAGGCUCGACUUGUCGCAAAGGGUUUUCGACAAAUUCAAGGAGUUGACUACGAAGAGACUUUCUCUCUCGUAGCGAAGCUAAAGUCAGUCUGAAUCAUGUUAGCAAUUGCCGCUUUUCAUGAUUAUGAAAUUUGGCAAAUGGACGUCAAAACAGCAUUCCUUAACGGGAAUCUUAAGGAAGAGUUGUAUAUGAUGCAACCAGAAUGUUUUGUCGACCCUAAGGGUGCUAACAAAGUGUGCAAGCUCCAGCGCUCCAACUAUGAUCUGGUGCAAGCAUCUCGGAGUUGGAACAUUUCCUUUAAUGAGGUGAUUAAAGCGUUUGGGUUCAUACAGGUUUAUGGAGAAGCCUGUUUGUACAAGAAAGUGAGUGGGAGCUCUGUAGCUUUCCUCAUACUGUAUGUGGAUGACAUAUUAUUGAUGGGGAAUAAUAUAGAGAUGUUGGAGAGCAUAAAGGCCUAUUUGAAAAAGAGUUUUUCGAUGAAGGACCUUGGAGAAGCUGCAUACAUAUUAGGCAUCAAGAUCUAUAGAGAUAGAUCGAGACGCCUAAUAGGUCUUUCGCAAAGUACAUACCUUGACAAGAUAUUGAAGAAGUUCAAUAUGGAAAACUUAAAGAAGGGGUUCUUACCUGUUUUGAAGGUAUGAGAUUGAGUAAGACUCAGUCACCGACCACGGCAGCAGAUAGAGAGAAGAUGAGUAUUGUCCCCUAUGCUUCAGCCGUAGGCUCUCUAAUGUAUGACAUGUUGUGUACCAGACCUGAUAUAAACCUUGCCAUAAGUUUGGUAGGGAGGUACCAAAGUGAUCCCGGUAUGGAACACUGGACAGCGGUCAAGAAUAUCCUUAAGUACCUGAAGAGGACUAAGGAGAUGUUUCUCGUUUAUGGAGGUGACGAAGAGCUCGUCGUAAAGGGUUACGUCGAUGCUAGCUUCGACACAGAUCCGGAUGACUCUAAGUCACAGACCGGAUACGUGUAUGUUUUGAAUGGUGGGGCAGUGAGCUGGUGCAGCAGAAAGCAAGAAGCCGUGGCAGCAUCUACAUGUGAAGCGGACUACAUAGCUGCUUCAGAAAGGGCUCAUGAAGGAAUUUGGAUGAACGAGCUCAUCACCGACCUUGGAGUGGUCCCAAGCGCGUCGGGUCCAAUGACACUCUUCUAUGAUAACACUGGGGACAUUGCCAUAGCCAAGGAGCCCAGGUUUCACCGGAAGACCAAGCACAUCAAACGCCGCUACAACUCCAUCCAGGACCAUGUCCAGAGUGGAGUAAUAGAUAUUUGUAAAGUACACACGGAUCUGAAUGUUGCAGACCCGUUGACUAAACCUCUUCCUCGAGCAAAACAUGAUCAACACCAUAAUGCUAUGGGUGUUCGAUACAUCACAAUGUAACUAGAUUAUUGACUCUAGUGUAAGUGGGAGACUGUUGGAAAUAUGACCUAGAGGCAAUAAUAAAAUGGUUAUUAUCAUAUUUCCUUGUUCAUGAUAAUCGUCUAUUGUUCAUGCUAUAAUUGUAUUAACAGGAAACAGUAAUACAUGUGUGAAUAAAUAGAUCACAAUGUGUCCCUAGCAAGCCUCUAGUUGGCUAGCUCGUUAAUCAAUAGAUGAUCAUGGUUUUCUGAUCAUGGGCAUUAGAUGUCAUUGAUAACGGGAUCACAUCAUUGGGAGAAUGAUGUGAUGGACAAGACCAAUCCUAAGCAUAGCACUAGAUCGUAUUGUUCGUAUGUUAAAGCUUUUAUAAUGUCAAGUGUAUUUUCCUUCGACCGUGAGAUUGUGCAACUCUCGGAUACCAUAGGAGUGCUUUGGGUGUAUCAAACGUCACAAUGUAACUGGGUGACUAUAAAGGUGCACUACGGGUACCUCUGAAGGUGUCUGUUGGGUUGGCACGAAUCGAGAUCGGGAUUUGUCACUCCGUGUGACGGAGAGGUAUCUCUGGGCUCACUCGGUAGAACAUCAUCCUGAGCUCAAUGUGAUUAAGAAGUUAGACACACGAUGACGUGCUACGGAACCAGUAAAGAGACUUAUCGGUAACGAGAUUGAACAAGGUAUAGGUAUACCGACGAUCGAAUCUCGGGCAAGUUUUAUACCACACACAAAGGGAAUUGUAUACGGGAUUGAUUGAAUCCUUGACAUCGUGGUUCAUCCGAUGAGAUCAUCGUGGAACAUGUGGGAGCCACCAUGGGUAUCCAGAUCCCGCUGAUGGUUAUUGGCCGGAGAGCGUCUCGGUCAUGUCUGCAUGUUUCUCGAACCCGUAGGGUCUACACACUUAAGGUUUGAUGACGCUAGGGUUAUAGGGAAAUGUUAUACGAGGUUACCGAAAGUUGUUCGGAGUCCCGGAUGAGAUCCCGGACGUCACGAGGAGCUCUGGAAUGGUCCGGAGGUAAAGAUUGAUAUAUAGGAUGGAUGGUUUUGGACGUCGAAAAUGUUUCGGGCAUCACCGGUAGCGUACCGAGACCAUCGGGACCACCGGAAAUGGUCCCGGGGGUCCAGCGGGAGGGGCCACCAGCCCCAAGAGGUAGCAUGGGCCAAAAGGUGGAGGGCAACCAGCCCAAAGUGGGCUGGUGCACCUCCCACAAAAGGGCCCAAGGCGCAGGAGGUGGAGAGGGGGAAACCCUAGGCGCUGGUGGGCCUAAGGCCCACCUAGGGGUGCGCCACCCCCUCCCCCUGCCCUAGUCGCCGCACCUCCCAUUUGGGGGGGCUGCCGCACCACCUAGGGUGGGAACCCUAGGGGUGCCACCCCCCUCCCCUCCUCCUAUAUAUACCUAGGGGUUUGGGGCUAUUUUGCACACCGUUUCUUCUCUCCCUCGGCGCAACCCUGCUCCUCUCCUUCCUCCUCUUCCCAUGGUGCUUGGCGAAGCCCUGCCGGGAGACCUCGUCUCUCCAUCGACACCACACCGUCGUGCUGCCGGAGAUCUUCCCCAACCUCUCCCUCCUCCUUGCUGGAUCAAGGUGCAGGAGACGUCACCGUGCUGCACGUGUGUUGAACGCGGAGGUGCCGUGGUUCGGCACUAGAUCGGAAUCACACCACGAUGUGAAUCGCCGCGAGUACGACUCCAUCAACCGCGUUCUAUCAAUGCUUCCGCUUAGCAAUCUUCAAAGGUAUGAAGAUGCACUCAUCCCUCUCUCGUUGCUGGUCUCUCCAUAGGAAGAUCUGAAUAUGGCGUAGGAUUUUUUUUUGAAUUUAUGCUACGUUACCCAACACACAUAUCACCGGUUGACAAUGUCUGAAAGCUUCGAUGCAGACAUCGAAAGAGAAGAACAACCGAUGCAACACCCUCACAGUUGGGAACUCUCGGAUGAACAUGUCUUGGAUGUCGACAUAGGUGCCAGGAUUCCGGUUCUGCAGUGUGUGCACGAGCCAGACAACAGAGUCAUAUGCAUCAAAAUACGAACCAAAUCUGGUCUCAAGUGCCCUCUGCUUAGCCCUCCAAGCCUUUCCAUAAGAAAUUUUGUACUUGAACCUGAUGAAGACUUUUGUCUGGAUAGCCUUAACUUCCAUCGCUUUGCUCUCCACUAUCUUGUUGUAAAGCAACCGAGCAAUGACCGUGGAAGUAAGGUUAUGAUGAUCUUGAGGGAUACAUGGAAUAACACAAGUAUGAUGAACUAUGCCACUUAUGACCCAGCUUGUGCCAUACUUAGGGAGAUAGCCAUGCACCCUUGCGGGACAACCCUGGUUUCUGCGUACCAUUGUCAAGUUUUUCGGACUUGAAACAUCAGCUACAAAAACCCUUUGCAUGGACAUUGCCCAAUCAAUGAUUGCAUCCUUCAAAGCUUGUUUGUUUGGGUACAGGGCACGUGUCACAAUGUUGUCUUGAUGAUACUGCGCGGCAGAAUCAUGACCAUCGUUCACGAUCAUUGCAGAUGAGAAUUCCCGAUUCCAUGAUGCAGGAAUAGGCGCUUCAUGUGCGUUCUCUUCUUCGUCUGACUUAGCGGAAUCAUCGGCAAUAUCACCUUCUCUAUCUUCUUCAUGCAUCUCGUUUUGCAUGCGCCCGUUUAUCUCGUCAGCGUCCGCCUCGCAACUGACAUAAUUUCCUCCUUCUACCUAACUGCUCUGCCCUGCUUCGUAAACAUCAUCUCCAGCAUGGGACGCAUAAUUUUGCUGUGAAUCAUGCAUCCCUUCAAUGCUCUGGCCAUAAUCGUAACUAUAUUCGGCUUCAGUUGCACUAACCGGCUUCAGCACGGGCAGCAGUAAGGCGACAUGAUUACAUCCCCUACGCUCGCAAGCUUUUUCAUUAGGGCAACGAUCUGUGUCGGCGCGCCGGUGCAGACGUUUCGGCCAGUCAACGCCCCAGCGUAGGAUACAUGCACAUGUAACCGUCCGAUCCAGAAAAAAAAAUCCCCUCCUCGCUCUCACCGCCUCCCGCUAGCUUGCUCGUCGGCGUGCUCGCCAGGACGCUCGUCGGAGCCGCGUGCAAGCCAACAUGCUCGUUAGAACCGNNNNNNNNNNNNNNNNNNGCUCUCUGGAGCUGCUCGUCGGCGCGCUUGUCAGAGCCGCUCGCCGGAGCUGCUCGUCGGCUUGCUCGCCGGAGCUGCUCGUCGGCUUGUUCACCGGAGCUGCUCGUCCUUGCCGGAGCCGAUCGUCGGUACUUGUGUUGUUGUCAAGCUCGUUGCUUGUAGGAGAGGUUGCGGCGGUCAAAACUUUUUCCCCUGGUCGUCGCUCGUUGAAGCUUUUCACACAUACGGUUGAAGCUUUUUCUAGAACGGUUGUAACUUUUCUGAUUGUGCAGUGUAUGGUUGUAGCUUUCUCUUCCAAUGAUUGGAACUUUUUUCCUCUACGGUCGAAGCUUUUAUGUAAAGGGUUGCAACUAUUAUCUUUUAGCAGCGCUCGAUUAAUGCGCUCUCUAUUGUUUCAGUUGCAGCUUUUUUCAUCAACGGUUGAAACAUUUUAGGUCAACGGUUGCAGCAUUCCGUCAUGGCAAUGACCGUUUGUAGAUUUUAUAUGUAUGGUUGCAGCUAUUUUCAUCAACGGUUGUUGCAUUUUAUGUCAACGGUUGUAGCAUCGCGGGUCGGGAUCUGCGGGGGCGCAUCUCGCGGUCGAACUGGUCGGACAUAGUCGUGGACAUAAAGCUUUUUCAAACCAACAGUCGAAGCUUUUUCAAUGAUUGAAGCUUUUUCUCAUGGAUUGAAGCUUUUCAUUCCAUGCUCUUGAAGCUUUUUCAAUGGCCAAGAGAAGAGCUGGAGGAGGAAGAAUAGCGGUUGGUGGAUGGAUAAGGCAUUAGAUAUGUGGCUAGGAAAGAGUCUGUUGCACAUGGACUGGAUGGGUAAACGAGGACCACUUGAUUAAAAGUGAAUCCAACGUCCCGCGCGCGACCGGCGGAAGACUCAGCCGGCGCGCCGGGUAUAAACAAUUUCCUUUUCAUUAACAUGGAGAAUAUUUAGGUGGUUUUGAGCGAAAUAAUAGAUGGUUAGAUUUCAUCACGAACCAUUAAAACCCGGAGGUUGAUCGAAGACGGUUAGGUAUCAAAAUGGGUACACAACAAACGAAGAACAAACUCUUCCUUUCAUUAUCUCCCCUAAUAAUAAACCACGUAUCGCUUCUGUCGUCCGUCGCUAGCGUUUUUGCAGAAAAGUCCUUCUGUUCUUUCGAAAUCAACCCGCAGUCCUAUAGUAAGUGGAAAAAAACGUUUCAGGUCGUGACGCGGAUCUCGGCGGGGAACGACUGCAGAGGUUGCAUCUCUGGCCGAGCUAGGCCAUGGGGAGGGCGGCGGCGCGCGGAUCUCGGCGGGGAAUGGUUGCAUAGGUUGCAGCUCUGGCCGAGCUAGGCCAUGGGGAGGGCGGCGGCUCGCGGAUCUCGGCGGGCGACGGGCGGCGCGACGCUGGGCGAGGGGGCUUCGAUCUGAUUAGAGGAGAUCUUCGAGGACUACGAGGCGGUUGUGCCCUUCUACGCGCUGGCCGGACUGGGCGUCGCCGUCCACUGCGCCGUGCCGCCCCGUCCCCUCCGCCUCCGUCGACGCCGGUGAUGCGGGGCCGCCGCGAUGGACGCCCUGUCCCUCAUCGACGUCUCCGGCAAGGAGGACGACUUCCUCGUGGACCUGGCCUCGCCACCGCAGCACCCCAACCCGCCACCGCCGCCCCGCCCCGCUCCAGGUGAGUCAACCGGCUCGCCGUCCCCCGUGACCGUUCCUUCCAUUUCGGCGCGUGCGUGGGUCGCGCCUCCGAUCUGACGCGCAGUGCUACGUUUCCCCCCUCUUGCAGCGGCUUCGGCGGUGGCCGCCGAUUCGGAGCAGCCCGCCGCCGGAUCUCCUCCUCCUCCGGCGGGGCAGGCCGUGGACCCCGCGGAGCAGGCCCCGGAGCGGGCGCAGUCCCCGAAGAAGGCCAAGCCCAAGGGCGGCGUCAACCUCCGCAAGAGCCUCGCCUGGGACAAGGCCUUCUUCACCAGCGAAGGUCUGCGCGUCGCCUGGCACGAAAUCUCUGUUGUUCCGUGACUGUUGCGUGUCAUAAUACGCAUUGUAGGCUCAUGGAUACUGAUCUGGAUUGCUGCCACCAGUCCUGCCAGAUCCUAACGUUUCCCUUUCCAGCUCCGUAGUUGUCUUUUGUUAUAGCAGACCUGUUAUUAUCCUGAUGCGUUGAUUGAUAGCAGCUAACGCUUCCUCCUGGUCUGAGCAGGCGUUCUGGAUACCGAGGAAUUGGGCAUUGUGACAGCACUUUCCGCAAGUCGCAUGGUUCAAGGCUACUGCCAGGAAUAGCAGAGGAACUGAGGAGGUCAACCGAGUCCACUACCUCAACGCUGGACAGCGAAAGCUUUGUGCUGGAAAGCCUUGAGACAGAGCUGUUUGACAAUGUCCGUGCUUCGAUUCAGAGAACACUUGGAAAACCUGAUAAAGCUCCAGGCGUGGCUUUUGCUAGCUCAAAGACCCCUAGGGCAACAGCAAAGGCACCUCCUGUCACAGGUAGCAUGUUACAAACUCACAAGUUGAUGCGAAAAUGCUAAUUUCUUAUGUUGUAACUUCAGAAAGCACCGUCUGCUCUAUUUUUUAACUAAUGUGAUUGCCGUGUUGCUACUUUCCAGCGAGAAAUGGGGUUGAUCGGAUACCUCCUGUUUCCUGCAGUACUUGUUAAUGCUGCCUCAGAUAAGGCCUCCUGCUUCAACAAGCAAUGGGUCUGUUGGUGGUAGCAAGCAAAGGCCCAAGUCACCCUGAAAGAGCCUGCACCUGGAAGAGUGGUAUGUUACAUGCUUGUAAUUCCAGAAUAUCCAUGAACUUUCUGUAGUUAACUAGAGGUUUAGGAUUUGUGGGAUGCUUGCUACAUUCACCAGGAUGCUAUAAUUGUAGUGAACCAUUUCUUGCAUUUACCGAUAAUUAGCUUACUUGUGAAACCUUAUUGCGAAACUGCACAGAACUAAUUAAAAAAAGCUCCAGUUAGAUAAUUUUGUUAUCUUUUAGGGGGAACAAAGCUGGCCACUUGCUUGUAUAAGGGCAACGGAACGGCAGGUGGGACUUGACUGUUUAGUUGGUGCUACUGGCAUUGCUUGGUGGAAGGGCAUAUGUAAAAAAAUGUUUUCGCUUCUCCAACGUAUGGCGGAGGGCAUUUUGUAGAUAAGAUAUACCAGUAGCAAGUAAUUUGUGCUGUAGUCUUAGUGACGUGGCAUACGGUACGGGUGCCAACAGAAAGCGACCACAUCCGCAACGCAAGACCGCAACCGAGUUGCUUUUGCUGGCUGCCCCAAGCUUGGUCUCAAUUCUGGGAAAUACUUACUACGUAGCCGACUGGUCGUGCCUUAGAAACAAAGGCAGAGAAAGAGAUGAGCGUCACCUUAGCCGCGUGAGCAAAUCACACGGACGGAACCACAAAAUCACGGCAGCUACCGGCAGGCUUACGCCGCUGAUCCGGACCGGAGGCAACCACAACCUCACCUUGGGGCUGCCCCAACCGUGUGCACUCGAUUUAUAAGGUAUGAACAGGAUACAAAAUUAAAAUGUAGUUUGGAUUUGCCAGAUACCAAAAUUACACAAAAUCAUGAUUUAAAAACAUAAAUAAAAUAUAUACAAACAACAUAUCUCCCCUAAUAAUAAAGCACGGAACGCUUAUGUCGUCCGUCGUGGCAGUUUUGCAAAACUGUGAUAUUUUUGUCCCGUUGGAAUAUGAGAGCAUCACUUUAUUUUUGUUCAAUCACAGAAAAUGGAUCACGACUUUGAAUCAAUCAUUGUUGCUUGUAAUAUUAGUUGGAAACUAGAUAUAUGGAUUAGAGAAAUCCAGGUUAAGCAUUGAUCUAGAGAUUGGAUGUCCGAUCCACUAACUUAACUGUAAAACUGUGAUAUUUUUGUCCCGUUGCAACGCACGGGCACUUGUCCUAUCAAUACUAAUACUAAUAUUAAGUAAAACUAGUACAUUACAUACAUCCACCCGAUGUAGGAUUGAUCGAUGAGAUUCUUAUUUGACAGCAGCUAACGGCAGCAAAAAGAAAAACAGGGAACGAGAGCCCGUGAAAGAAAUAAAGCAUGCGCUUGCCUGGCGGACAUAGAUAAUCAAGCUGCCUUUCUUCAUGGAAUGUCUUGGCAAUUCGCUUCAACGCAGACAUCUAUGCACUCAGGGUCGUGUUUACCUAUCAAAUGAUGGCAGUGUACCUGGCAAUCAACAAUGCAGUUCCAGCACUCUUGGCUUGGGGACGGGUUGGCCUCGUCGCAUUCGGCCGCCGCCGGCUCGGCUAUGAGCAGCUGCCCGACGAAGAGGGCCAGCACAAACAUGGCUGCCAUCUUCGGCGAGGCGUAGGAGCUGGAACCCAUUGCAAUCGAUGGAUCGACUCGACCUAGAUAUGCAAUGCACUAUGUAUAUAUGCUUUUAAUCGAGGCUUGACAUGCGAUGAGAGUAGAGACGAGCCUCCUAUUUAUGGCCAUCUUGCUAGCUUAGGAUCUGAUCUUAAUCCAGAUCACCCAACUAAUCAAACUUACUUAUUGUGGUUAUGGAGGGAGUGGUGAGAUUAUUGACCAACUGUAGCAUAAUACUAUAGUACAAGCAUCUCAUAUGAAAUCCGAUUACUCAAGGAUCCUCUCGGUCCCCGACUUAUUCUGUCAACUCCCUUUACACAUUAGACUAGCAGCAUUUGUUGGUUAUGCGUGUUCCUCGUGCUCAGUUUAAAAUCGAGUGACAGGCUGUUGGCAAGUGGCCAUGAUUUGCACAUGCCUCAUGGAGUAGGAAGUAGGAACUACUCUCUCUGUCCUACAAUAAAUGACGUGUCGAUUUAGUAUAAAAUUUAUGUUAUUUAAUAUUGAACUUGCAAUGCAUAUUUUGAGAUGGAGGAAGUACUAUAUUAGCACGAUAAUGGAAUGGCGUGUUGCUGCGCCUCCAUAUUAAAGUAAGUAUUCAUAUAUGUUUUUUCAGAAAAGGAGGAUGCACAGCCGGCCUCUUCAUCUCGACGAUGCAUGCGGCCAUUUUAUUAAUUAUUCAUCAAGACCUUUACAAAGUAAUACAUCAUGUCGCUACAUCUAUCCCAUUGAUAAAGGGGUGUCAAAUGUCCAGGCCAAAUACCAAACAGACAUCGCACCAAACCCUAACAUCUAAAGCCGGAUGCCCCAUCCCAGUCACACGCCGGGAUUGGGUGACACACCGGUCCAACUCACCCCCAGUGGGCACCAACGUACACACUGCAAGGGAUAUCACCUCCGUCUUCCAUCGACCCAUAUUCAAAGCAGCAACGGACGCAUCUACCUUGUCAGGCCUCUCUGCCAUCGACGUCACCACAACGCUAGACAACGUCUUCCUCCUGCGCGAGUCCAUCGCCACGCAUCGAACGUUGAGCCUCCACUGCUCCACGCCGUCGAGAUCCACCGCCAUGCAUAUGUAGGUUGAAGCACCGCUCCAUCAAAGAUGUCGUCCACUUGUCCCUCGAACCCGCGUACACCUCCAAGAAAGACGCCCCCAAGGGGGAAACGACACAAGAGUGUCGCCGUCAUCUGAUCUGCUGAUCUAGGAUUUCCCCCGGAGGUAUUGGUGUUGGAAAUAUGCCCUAGAGGCAAUAAUAAAAUAGUUAUUACUAUAUUUCUUGUUUCAAGAGAAUCGUUUAUUAUCCAUGCUAUAAUUGUAUUGAAUGGAAACAUAAAUGCAUGUGUGGAUAUAUAGACAAGUGUUGUCACUUGAUAACGGGAUCACAUCAUUAGGAGAAUGAUGUGAUGGACAAAGACCCAAACUAUAAACGUAGCAUAUGAUUGUGUCAUUUUGUUGCUAUUGUUUUCUGCAUGUCAAGUAUACAUUCCUAUGACCAUGAGAUCAUGUAACUCACUGACACGAUAGGAAUAUCUUGUGUAUAUCAAACGUCGCAACGAUACUGGGUGACUAUAAAGAUGCUCUACAGGUAUCUCCGAAGGUGUCCGUUGAGUUAGCAUGGAUCAAGACUAGGAUUUGUCACUCCGUGUGACGGAGAGGUAUCUCGGGGCCACUCGGUAAUACAACAUCACAAACAAUCCUUGCAAGCAAUGUGACUAAAGAGUUAGCCACGGGAUCUUGUAUUACAGAGCGGGUAAAUAGACUUGCCGGUAACGAGAUUGAAAUAGGUAUGUCGAUACCGAUAAUCGAAUCUCGGGCAAGUAACAUACCGAAGGACAAAGGGAAUGAUAUACAGGAUUAUGUGAAUCAUUGACAUAGAGGUUCAAUCGAUAAGAUCUUCGUAGAAUAUGUAGGAUCCAAUAUGGACGUCCAGGUCCCACUAUUGGAUAAUGACCGAAGAGUGUCUCGGUCAUGUCUACAUAGUUCUCGAACCCGCAGGGCCUGCACACUUAAGGAUCGGUGACGUUUUAGGUAUAGUUGAAUUAUUGAUGUUGGUAACCGAAUGUUGUUCGGAGUCCCGUAUGGGAUCCUGGACGUCGCGAGUGUCUCCAGGAUGGUCCGUAAAUGAAGAUUGAUAUAUAGGAUUGUUGCAUUUGGCUUCCACAAAGAUUUCGGGCAUUAUCGAUAAAGUACUAGGAGUGAUGAAUGGGUUACGGGGUUUUACCGGGAGGGGCCACUGCUAGCAAUCCUCGGCAACGACACUAGAAGAGUGUUGUUGACGUGUUCCUGACUUGAUGCCUCCCCGGCAACGGAGCCAGAACUGCUCCCAGUUGCUCAACAAUUAGCAAUUGUCUUGCAAUGGCCCACCAACGCGUGGGUUCGCGGGAGUUUUCGAUGGUACAGUAUUCAACCCAAAUUUGUUGGUUCGCCCGACAGGAAGUGGAAGAAUAUUCUCAAGUAUUAGCAGCUGAAUGUGUCAGAUUCAACCACACCUGAAAGAUUAGUAUAUGCAAGCAAAGUAUCAGCAGCAAAGUAGUAUGAUAACAACCGUGCUAGAAAUGAUCUGUUGACGGCAGACUAUUCCUAACGAUUGUAUGAAUGGCGCCAGAAGUUGACCAUGGACGGGAAAUAUUCUUUCCCGUCAACGGCGCGAGAAAAAGUAUUGUAGCAGGUAGCAGCAGUGUAACGAAUAACAGCAGUGGCAAGGAACAGCAGUAGUGACAGCAGUAGCAAGUAGCAAUAGUAGUAACAGCAGCAGAGCAAAGCAAGUAACAGCAGCAGCAACAAUAGUAACAGCAGCAGAGCAAAACAAGCAACACCAGCAGUAACAGUAGUAAUAGCAGCAGAGCAAAACAAGUAACAACAGUAGUGGGACAAACUCGUAGGCAAUGGGUCGGUGAUUUGUUUGGAUGAUAUUCAUCAUGCAACAGCUAUAACACGGAGAGAUAUGUGGCUAGCUACCGUUCGUUAAUGUGAUGUAGGCAUGCAUUCCGUGUGUCGUCAUACGUGCUUAGGGAAAAGAACUUGCAUGACAUCUUUUGUCCAUCCCUCCCGUGGCAGCAGGGUCCAAAAGGAAACUACGGGAUAUUAAGGUUCUCCUUUUAAUAAAGAACCGGACCAAUGCAUUAGCACUUGGUGAACACAUGAACUCCUCAAACUAUGGUCAUCACCGGGAGUGGUUCCGGUUAUUGUCACUCCGGGGUUGUCGGAUCAUAACACAUAGUAGGUAACUACAACUUGCAAGAUCGGAUCUAAAACACACAUAUAUUGGUGGCAACAUAAUAAUUUCAGAUGUGAAAUCAUGGCACUCGGGCCCUAGUGACAAGCAUUAAGCAUGGCAAAGUAGUAGCAACAUCAAUCUCAGAACAUAGUGGAUACUAGGGAUCAAUCCCCGUCAAAACUAACUCGAUUACAUGAUAGAUCUCAUCCUACUCAUCACCGCCCAGCGAGCCUACGAAUAGAUUACUCACGAACGAUGAAGAGCUUCAUGGAAUUGGAGAGGGAAGAAGGUUGAUGAUGACGAUGGCGACGAUUUCCCCUCUUCGGAGCCCAAAACGGACUCGAGAUCUGCCCUCGAGAUGAAGAACAGGAAGUGGCGGCGCCUCCGUAUCACAAACGCGACGAAAUCUUCUCCCUUUAUUUUUUCUGGGACGAAAGUGAAUUUAUAGAGCUGAGUUUAGGGGCGGCAGAGCCACGCGGGCUCCACAAGCUUGGUAGCUACCACCAGGGGGCGGCGGCUACAGGGCUUGUGGCCCACUGGCCCAUCCCCUCCGGUGGAUCUUUGCGCGGGUAUUUUUCAUAUUUUCCAGAAAUAUUCUCGAUAAAUUUUCAGGACGUUCCGAGAACUUUCAUUUCUGCACAAAAACAACACCAAGGCAAUUCUGCUGAAAACAGCAUCAGUCCAGGUUAGUUCCAUUCAAAUCAUGCAAAUUAGAGUCCAAAACAAGGGCAAAAGAGUUUGGAAAAGUAGAUACGAUGGAGACGUAUCAGCCACCCACCCAGUAGAGAACCUAAUAGGCCCAUGGGUGGCGCACCAGCCCUUAAUGGGCUGGUGAGGCCAGCCCAAUAAGGCUAUUUCGACCAAGGAAAAAAUAAAGAAGGAAAAGAAAAAAGGAGGUGGACAAGAUAGGAAGGAGUCCUCCACCAAACCGAAUUGGAGGAGGACUCCUCCCUCCUUGCCUCGGCCGAAGGAGGCAAGCCACCAUCCCCUUGGUUCCUCCUAUAUAUAGUGGAGGGUUUUAGGGUUUUUUGCACCUCAAGCCUUUGUGCAACCCUCUCUCCCUCCACUACUUUGUGACAACUCGUAGCUAGAUCGGUACCGCACGGCGAAGCCCUGCCGGAGUAGCUCCACCAUCAUCACCGCCACACCGUCGUGCUGCCGGAGAAUUCAGCUACCUCUCCGUCUCUCUUGCUGGAUCAAGAAGGCGAAGAUCGUCAUCGAGGUGUACGUGUGCUGACCGCGGAGGUGACGUCCGUUCGGUGCUAGAUCGGGACGGAUCAUGGGGCGUGUUGGAAAUAUGCCCUAGAGGCAAUAAUAAAUUAGUUAUUAUUAUAUUUCUUUGUUCAUGAUAAUCGUUUAUUGUCCAUGCUAUAAUUGUAUUGAUUGGAAACACAGUGCAUGUGUGGAUACAUAGACAAAACACUGUCCCUAGUAAGCCUCUAGUUGACUAGCUCGUUGAUCAAAGAUGGUCAAGGUUUCCUGACCAUAGGCAAGUGUUGUCACUUUAUAAUGGGAUCACAUCAUUAGGAGAAUCAUGUGAUGGACAAGACCCAAACUAAUAGACGUAGCAUGUUGAUCGUGUUAUUUUGUUGCUACUGUUUUCUGCGUGUCAAGUAUUUGUUCCUAUGACCAUGAGAUCAUAUAACUCACUGACACCGGAGGAAUGCUUUGUGUGUAUCAAACGUCGCAACGUAACUGGGUGACUAUAAAGAUGCUCUACAGGUAUCUCCGAAGGUGUUAGUUGAGUUAGUAUGGAUCGAGACUGGGAUUUGUCACUCCGUGUGACGGAGAGGUAUCUCGGGGCCCACUCGGUAAUACAACAUCACACACAAGCCUUGCAAGCAUUGUGACUUAGUGUAAGUUGCGGGAUCUUGUAUUACGGAACGAUUAAAGAGACUAGCCGGUAAACGAGAUUGAAAUAGGUAUGCGGAUACUGACGAUCGAAUCUCGGGCAAGUAACAUACCGAAGGACAAAGGGAAUGACAUACGGGAUUAUAUGAAUCCUUGGCACUGAGGUUCAAACGAUAAGAUCUUUGUAGAAUAUGUAGGAUCCAAUAUGGGCAUCCAGGUCCCGCUAUUGGAUAUUGAUCGAGGAGCCACUCGGGUCAUGUCUACAUAGUUCUCGAACCCGCAGGGUCUGCACACUUAAGGUUCGACGUUGUUUUAUGCGUAUUUGAGUUAUAUGGUUGGUUACCGAAUGUUGUUCGGAGUCCCGGAUGAGAUCACGGACGUCACGAGGGUUUCCAGAAUGGUCCGGAAACGAAGAUUGAUAUAUAGGAUGACCUCAUUUGGUUACCGGAAGGUUUUCGUGCAUUACCGGAAAAGUUUCGGGCUCAUCGGUAGUGUACUGGGAGUGCCGGGAGGGUGCCGGGAACCAUCAGGAGGGGUGUCACGCCCCAAGGGGUCUCAUGGGCUAUGGGAAGAGAUAAACCAGCCCCUAGUGGGCUGGAAUAAGUUCCCACUAAGGCCCAUAAGGUUUGAGAAGGAAAAAACACAAGGUGGAAAGAGUUUCCAAGUGGGAAGGUGGAAUCCUACUCCAAGUAGGAUUGGAGUAGGUUUUGAGGCUGCCUCCUCCCCUCCCUCCCUCCUAUAUAUAGUGGGGUUUUAGGGCUGAUUUUAGACAACUUUUGCCACGGCAGCCCGACCACAUACCUCCACGGUUUUACCUCUCUAGAUCGCGUUUCUGCGAAGCUCGGGCGGAGCCCUGCUGAGAUUAGAUCACCACCAACCUCCGGAGCGCCGUCACGCUGCCGGAGAACUCAUCUAUCUCUCCGUCUCUCUUGCUGGAUCAAGAAGGCCGAGAUCAUCGUCGAGCUGUACGUGUGCUGAACGCGGAGGUGCCGUCCGUUCGGCACUAGAUCGGAGAGGAUCAUGGGACGGAUCGCGGGACGGUUCGUGGGACGGUUCGCGGGGCGGAUCGAGGGACGUGAGGACGUUCCACAACAUCAACCGCGUUUCUUAACGCUUCUUCUGUGUGAUCUACAAGGGUACGUAGAUCGGAAAUCCCCUCUCGUAGAUGGACAUUACCAUGAUAGGUCUUCGUGCGCGUAGGAAAGUUUUUGUUUCCCAUGCGACGUUCUCCAACAGUGGCAUCAUGAGCUAGGUUCAUGCGUAGAUGUAAUCUCGAGUAGAACACAAAAGUUUUUGUGGGCGGUGAUGUGCGUUUUGCUGCCCUCCUUAGUCUUUUCUUGAUUCCGCGGUAUUGUUGGAUCGAAGCGGCUCGGACCGACAUUACUCGUACGCUUACGAGAGACUGGUUUCAUCGCUACGAGUAACUCCGUUGCUCAAAGAUGACCGGCGAGUGUCGGUUUCUCCAACUUUAGUUGAAUCGGAUUUGACCGGGGAGGUCCUUGGAUGAGGUUAAAUAGCAAUUCAUAUAUCUCCGUUGUGGUGUUUGCGUAAGUAAGAUGCGAUCCUACUAGAUACCCAUGGUCACCACGUAAAACAUGCAACAACAAUUAGAGGACGUCUAACUUGUUUUUGCAGGGUAUGCUUCUGAUGUGAUAUGGCCAACGAUGUGAUGUGAUAUAUUGGAUGUAUGAGAUGAUCAUGUUGUAAUAGUUAAUAUCGACUUGCACGUCGAUGGUACGGCAACCGGCAGGAGCCAUAGGGUUGUCUUUAAGCUAACGUUUGUGCUUGCAGAUGUGUUUACUAUAUUGCUAGGACGUAGCUUUAGUAGUAAUAGCAUGAGUAGCACGACAACCCCGAUGGCAACACGUUGAUGGAGAUCAUGAUGAUGGAGAUCAUGGUGUGACGCCGGUGACAAGAAGAUCGUGACGGUGCUUUGGUGAUGGAGAUCAAGAAGCACAUGAUGAUGGCCAUAUCAUCUCACUUAUGAAUUGCAUGUGAUGUUAAUCCUUUAUGCACAUUAUCUUGCUUAGAACGACGGUAGCAUUAUGAGGUGAUCUCUCACUAAAAUUUCAAGACAAAAUUGUGUUCUCCCCGACUGUGCACCGUUGCGACAGUUCUUCGUUUCGAGACACCACGUGAUGAUCGGGUGUGAUAGACUCAACGUUCACAUACAACGGGUGCAAAACAGUUGCACACGCGGAACACUCGGGUUAAGCUUGACGAGCCUAGGAUGUACAGACAUGGCCUCUGAACACAUGAGACCGAAAGGUCGAGCAUGAAUCGUAUAGUUGAUAUGAUUAGCAUAGAGAUGCUUACCACUGAAACUAUUCUCGACUCACGUGAUGAUCGGACUUGAGAUAGUGGAUUUGGAUCAUGUACCACUCAAAUGACUAGAGAGAUGUACUUUUUGAGUGGGAGUUCUUAAGUAAUAUGAUUAAUUGAACUAAUUGUCAUGAACAUAGUCUAAUGGUCUUUGCGAAUUACGAUGUAGCUUGCGCUAUAGCUCUACUGUUUUUAAUAUGUUCCUAGAGAAAAUUUAGUUGAAAGUUGAUAGUAGCAAACUUUGCGGACUUAGUCUGUAAAACUAAGGAUUGUCCUCGUUGCUGCGCAGAAGGCUUAUGUCCUUAAUGCACCACUCAGUCUGCUGCACCUCGAGCGUCGUCUGUGGAUGUUGUGAACAUCUGACAUACACGUUUUUGAUGACUACACGAUAGUUCGGUGCAAAAUACUUAAUGGCUUAGAAGCGUGGCACCGAAGACGUUUUGAAACGUCACGGAACAUGAGUGAUGUUCUAAAGAGAUGAAAUUGUGAUUUCAUGCUUGUGCCCUUGUUAAGAGGUAUGAGACCUCUUACAAGAUUCUUUGUCCAUGAAGUAAAGGAGAAGAACUCAAUCGUUGAGAGUGUGCUCAGAUUGUCUGAGUACGAAAAUCGCUUGAAUCAAGUGGGAGUUAAUCUUCCAGAUGAGAUAGUGAUGGUUCUCCAAAGUCACUGCCACCAAGCCGUGAGAGCUUCGUGAUGAACUAUAACAUAUCAAGGAUAGAUACAAUGAUCCUUGAGAGAUUCGUGAUGUAUGACACUACGAAAGUAGAAAUCAAGAAGGAGCAUCAAUGGUUGAUGGUUAGUAAAACCACCAAGUUUCAUAAAAGGCAAGGGCUAGAAGGGAUACUUCGUGAAACAGCAAAGCAGUUGCUGCCCUAAUGAAGAGACCCCAGAUUAAACCCAAGCCCGGGACUAAGUGCUUCUGUUAUGAGGGGAACGGUCACUGAGGCGGAGCAACUCUAGAUACUUGGUAGAUAAGAAGGCUGGCAAAAGUCGAAAGAAGUAUAUUUGAUAUACAUGAUGUUGAUGUGUACUUUACUAGUACUCCUAGUAGCACGAGGGUAUUGGAUACCGGUUCGGUUGCUAAGUGAUUAGUAACACGAAAUGAAAGCUACGGCAUAAACGGAGACUAGCUAAAGGCGAGGUGACGAUACGUGUUGGAAGUGUUUCCAAGGUUGAUAUGAUCAAACAUCGCACGCUCCCUCUACCGUCGGGAUUGGUGUUAAACCUAAAUAAUUGUUAUUUGGUGCUUGCGUUAAGCAUGAACAUGAUUGGAUCGUGUUUAUUGCAAUACGAUUAUUCAUUUAAAGAGAAUAAUGGUUACUCUAUUUGCUUGAAUAAUCACCUUCAAUGGUUUAUUGAAUCUCGAUUGUAGUGUUACACAUGUUCAUGAUAUUGGUGCCAAAAGAUACGAGGUAAUGAUGAUAGUACCACUUGUGGCACUGCCGCUUGAGUCAUGUUGGUGUAAAAUGCAUGAAGAAGCUCCAUGCUGAUGGAUCGUUUGGACUCACUUGAUUUUGAAUCACUUGAGAUAUGCAAAACAUGCCACAUGAAAUAAGUAGAGUAACUUGUUGGGAGUAAUGCAUUUUUUAUGUGUGCAGUCCAAUAAGUGCUAAGGCAGGCAGUGGAUAUCAUUAUGUUCUUACUUCACUCACGAUUUGAGUAGAUACAGGAGUAUUUACUUGAUGAAUCACAAGUCUGAAAUGUUGAAAAGUUCAAAGCUAUUUUAGAGUGAAGAUCGUCGUGACAAGAGGAUAAACAGUCUACGAUAUGAUCAUAGAGAUGAAUAUCUGAGUUACGAGUUUUGGUACGCAGUUAAGACAAUGUGGAAAUUGUUUCGCAGUUCAUGCCACCUGGAACACAAUAGUGUGAUGAUGUGUCUGAACGUCUUAGCCACGCCCUAUUUGAUAUGGUGCAUACUAUGAUGUCUCUUAUCGAAUUACCACUAUCGUUUAUGGGUUAUGCAUUAGAGACAACCACAUUCACUUUAAAUAGGGCACCGCGUAUUUCCGUUGAGAUGACACAGUAUAGACUAAGGUUUAGAGAAAUCUAAGCUGUCGUUUCUUGAAAGUUUGGAGCUGCGAUGCUUAUGUGAAAAAGUUUCAGUUUGAUAAGCUCGAACCCAAAGCGGAUAAAUGCAUCUUCAUAAGAUAUCCAAAACAGUUGGAUACAUCUCCUAUCUCAGAUCCGGAAGCAAAGUGUUUGUUUCUAGAAACGGGUUCUUUCUUGAGGAAAGGUUUCUCUCGAAAGAAUUGACUGGGAGGGUGAUAGAACUUGAUGAGGUUAUUGAACCAUCACUUCGACUAGUGUGUAGCAGGGCACAGGAAGUUGUUCCUGUGGCGCCUACACCAAUUGAAGUGGAAGCUGAUGAUGGUGAUCAUUGAGCUUCGGAUCAAGUUACUACAAACCUCGUAGGUCGACAAGGUCGCGUACUACUACAGAGUGGUAUGGUAACCCUGUCUUGGAGGUCAUGUUGUUGAACAAUAAUGAACCUACGAGCUGUGGAGAAGCGAUGGUGGGCCCGGAUUCCGACAAAUGGCUGGAGGCCAUGAAAUCCAAGAGAGGAUCCAUGUAUGAAAACAAAGUGUAGACUUUGGAAGAACUACUUGAUGGCCAUAGGACUAUUGAGUAAAGAUAGAUCUUUAAAAGGAAGACAGACGACGAUGGUGAUAAGUCACUAUUAAGAAAAGCUCGACUUGUCGCAAAGAUGUUUCCGACAUGAUCAAACAGUUGACUAUGGUGAGAAUUUCUCACUCGUAGCGAUGCUAAAAGUCUGUUAGAAUUAUGUUAGUAGUUGUUGCAUUAUUUUUGAAAUAUUGCACAUAGGAUGUCAAAACAUUGUUUCCUCGACGGUUUCCUUGAGCAAACAUUGUAUGUGAUACAACCAGAAGGUUUUGUCGAUCCUAAAGAUACUAACAAGUAUGCAAGCUCCAGCGUGUUGGAAUUAUGCCCUAGAGGCAAUAAUAAAUGUAUAGUUAUUAUUNNNNNNNNNNNNNNNNNNNNNNNNNNNNNNNNNNNNNNNNNNNNNNNNNNNNNNNNNNNNNNNNNNNNNNNNNNNNNNNNNNNNNNNNNNNNNNNNNNNNCGUAAGCGUACGAGUAAUGUCGGUCCAAGCCGCUUCAAUCCAACAAUGCCGCGGAAUCAAGAAAAGACUAAGGAGGGAAGCAAAACGCACAUCACCGCCCACAAAGCCUUUUGUGUUCUACUCGAGAAGACAUCUACGCAUGAACCUAGCUCAUGAUGCCACUGUUGGGGAACGUCGCAUGGGAAACAAAAAUUUUCCUACGCGCACGAAGACCUAUCAUGGUGAUGUCCAUCUACGAGAGGGGAUGAGUGAUCUACGUACCCUUGUAGAUCGUACAACAGAACCGUUAGAGAACGCGGUUGAUGUAGUGGAACGUCCUCACGUCCCUCGAUCCGCCCCGCGAACAAUCCCGCGAUCAGUCCCACGAUCUAGUACCGAACGGACGGCACCUCCGCGUUCAGCACACGUACAGCUCGACGAUGAUCUCGGCCUUCUUGAUCCAGCAAGAGAGACGGAGAGGUAGAAGAGUUCUCCGGCAGCGUGACGGCGCUCCGGAGGUUGGUGAUGAUCUUGUCUCAGCAGGGCUCCGCCCGAGCUCCGCAGAAACACGAUCUAGAGGAAAAACUAUGGAGGUAUGUGGUCGGGCAGCCGUGAGAAAGUCGUCUCAAAUCAGCCCUAAAACCUCCGUAUAUAUAGGUGGGAGAGGGAGGGAAGAGGCAGCCUCAAACCCUCAAGGGUUGGCCGAAAUUGGAGGUGGAGGAGUCCUACUCCAAUCCUACUUGGAGUAGGAUUCCACCUUCCCACUUGGAAACUCUUUCCACCUUGUGUUUUUUCCUUCUCAAACCUUAUGGGCCUUAGUGGGAACUUAUUCCAGCCCACUAGGGGCUGGUUUAUCUCUUCCCAUAGCCCAUGAGACCCCUUGGGGCGUGACACCCCUCCUGAUGGUUCCCGGCACCCUCCCGGCACUCGAUGGUCCCCGGCACCCCUCCCGGCACUCCCGGUACACUACCGAUGAGCCCGAAACUUUUCCGGUGACCAAAACAGGACUUCCUAUAUAUCAAUAUUUACCUCCGGACCAUUCCGGAGCUCCUCGUGACGUCCUGGAUCUCAUCCGGGACUCCGAACAACAUUCGGUAACCAACCAUAUAACNNNNNNNNNNNNNNNNNNNNNNNNNNNNNNNNNNNNNNNNNNNNNNNNNNNNNNNNNNNNNNNNNNNNNNNNNNNNNNNNNNNNNNNNNNNNNNNNNNNNNNNNNNNNNNNNNNNNNNNNNNNNNNNNNNNNNNNNNNNNNNNNNNNNNNNNNNNNNNNNNNNNNNNNNNNNNNNNNNNNNNNNNNNNNNNNNNNNNNNNNNNNNNNNNNNNNNNNNNNNNNNNNNNNNNNNNNNNNNNNNNNNNNNNNNNNNNNNNNNNNNNNNNNNNNNNNNNNNNNNNNNNNNNNNNNNNNNNNNNNNNNNNNNNNNNNNNNNNNNNNNNNNNNNNNNNNNNNNNNNNNNNNNNNNNNNNNNNNNNNNNNNNNNNNNNNNNNNNNNNNNNNNNNNNNNNNNNNNNNNNNNNNNNNNNNNNNNNNNNNNNNNNNNNNNNNNNNNNNNNNNNNNNNNNNNNNNNNNNNNNNNNNNNNNNNNNNNNNNNNNNNNNNNNNNNNNNNNNNNNNNNNNNNNNNNNNNNNNNNNNNNNNNNNNNNNNNNNNNNNNNNNNNNNNNNNNNNNNNNNNNNNNNNNNNNNNNNNNNNNNNNNNNNNNNNNNNNNNNNNNNNNNNNNNNNNNNNNNNNNNNNNNNNNNNNNNNNNNNNNNNNNNNNNNNNNNNNNNNNNNNNNNNNNNNNNNNNNNNNNNNNNNNNNNNNNNNNNNNNNNNNNNNNNNNNNNNNNNNNNNNNNNNNNNNNNNNNNNNNNNNNNNNNNNNNNNNNNNNNNNNNNNNNNNNNNNNNNNNNNNNNNNNNNNNNNNNNNNNNNNNNNNNNNNNNNNNNNNNNNNNNNNNNNNNNNNNNNNNNNNNNNNNNNNNNNNNNNNNNNNNNNNNNNNNNNNNNNNNNNNNNNNNNNNNNNNNNNNNNNNNNNNNNNNNNNNNNNNNNNNNNNNNNNNNNNNNNNNNNNNNNNNNNNNNNNNNNNNNNNNNNNNNNNNNNNNNNNNNNNNNNNNNNNNNNNNNNNNNNNNNNNNNNNNCAACAUUCGGUAACCAACCAUAUAACUCAAGUACGCAUAAAACAACGUCGAACCUUAAGUGUGCAGACCCUGCGGGUUCGAGAACUAUGUAGACAUGACCCGAGAGACUCCUCGGUCAAUAUCCAAUAGCGGGACCUGGAUGCCCAUAUUGGAUCCUACAUAUUCUACGAAGAUCUUAUCGUUUGAACCUCAGUGCCAAGGAUUCAUAUAAUCCCGUAUGUCAUUCCCUUUGUCCUUCGGUAUGUUACUUGCCCGAGAUUCGAUCGUUAGUAUCCGCAUACCUAUUUCAAUCUCGUUUACCGGCAAGUCUCUUUACUCGUUCCGUAAUACAAGAUCCCGCAACUUACAUUAAGUUACAUUGCUUGCAAGGCUUGUGUGUGAUGUUGUAUUACCGAGUGGGCCCCGAGAUACCUCUCCGUCACACGGAGUGACAAAUCCCAGUCUCGAUCCAUACUAACUCAACGAACACCUUCGGAGAUACCUGUAGAGCAUCUUUAUAGUCACCCAGUUACGUUGCGACGUUUGAUACACACAAAGCAUUCCUCCGGUGUGNNNNNNNNNNNNNNNNNNNNNNNNNNNNNNNNNNNNNNNNNNNNNNNNNNNNNNNNNNNNNNNNNNNNNNNNNNNNNNNNNNNNNNNNNNNNNNNNNNNNNNNNNNNNNNNNNNNNNNNNNNNNNNNNNNNNNNNNNNNNNNNNNNNNNNNNNNNNNNNNNNNNNNNNNNNNNNNNNNNNNNNNNNNNNNNNNNNNNNNNNNNNNNNNNNNNNNNNNNNNNNNNNNNNNNNNNNNNNNNNNNNNNNNNNNNNNNNNNNNNNNNNNNNNNNNNNNNNNNNNNNNNNNNNNNNNNNNNNNNNNNNNNNNNNNNNNNNNNNNNNNNNNNNNNNNNNNNNNNNNNNNNNNNNNNNNNNNNNNNNNNNNNNNNNNNNNNNNNNNNNNNNNNNNNNNNNNNNNNNNNNNNNNNNNNNNNNNNNNNNNNNNNNNNNNNNNNNNNNNNNNNNNNNNNNNNNNNNNNNNNNNNNNNNNNNNNNNNNNNNNNNNNNNNNNNNNNNNNNNNNNNNNNNNNNNNNNNNNNNNNNNNNNNNNNNNNNNNNNNNNNNNNNNNNNNNNNNNNNNNNNNNNNNNNNNNNNNNNNNNNNNNNNNNNNNNNNNNNNNNNNNNNNNNNNNNNNNNNNNNNNNNNNNNNNNNNNNNNNNNNNNNNNNNNNNNNNNNNNNNNNNNNNNNNNNNNNNNNNNNNNNNNNNNNNNNNNNNNNNNNNNNNNNNNNNNNNNNNNNNNNNNNNNNNNNNNNNNNNNNNNNNNNNNNNNNNNNNNNNNNNNNNNNNNNNNNNNNNNNNNNNNNNNNNNNNNNNNNNNNNNNNNNNNNNNNNNNNNNNNNNNNNNNNNNNNNNNNNNNNNNNNNNNNNNNNNNNNNNNNNNNNNNNNNNNNNNNNNNNNNNNNNNNNNNNNNNNNNNNNNNNNNNNNNNNNNNNNNNNNNNNNNNNNNNNNNNNNNNNNNNNNNNNNNNNNNNNNNNNNNNNNNNNNNNNNNNNNNNNNNNNNNNNNNNNNNNNNNNNNNNNNNNNNNNNNNNNNNNNNNNNNNNNNNNNNNNNNNNNNNNNNNNNNNNNNNNNNNNNNNNNNNNNNNNNNNNNNNNNNNNNNNNNNNNNNNNNNNNNNNNNNNNNNNNNNNNNNNNNNNNNNNNNNNNNNNNNNNNNNNNNNNNNNNNNNNNNNNNNNNNNNNNNNNNNNNNNNNNNNNNNNNNNNNNNNNNNNNNNNNNNNNNNNNNNNNNNNNNNNNNNNNNNNNNNNNNNNNNNNNNNNNNNNNNNNNNNNNNNNNNNNNNNNNNNNNNNNNNNNNNNNNNNNNNNNNNNNNNNNNNNNNNNNNNNNNNNNNNNNNNNNNNNNNNNNNNNNNNNNNNNNNNNNNNNNNNNNNNNNNNNNNNNNNNNNNNNNNNNNNNNNNNNNNNNNNNNNNNNNNNNNNNNNNNNNNNNNNNNNNNNNNNNNNNNNNNNNNNNNNNNNNNNNNNNNNNNNNNNNNNNNNNNNNNNNNNNNNNNNNNNNNNNNNNNNNNNNNNNNNNNNNNNNNNNNNNNNNNNNNNNNNNNNNNNNNNNNNNNNNNNNNNNNNNNNNNNNNNNNNNNNNNNNNNNNNNNNNNNNNNNNNNNNNNNNNNNNNNNNNNNNNNNNNNNNNNNNNNNNNNNNNNNNNNNNNNNNNNNNNNNNNNNNNNNNNNNNNNNNNNNNNNNNNNNNNNNNNNNNNNNNNNNNNNNNNNNNNNNNNNNNNNNNNNNNNNNNNNNNNNNNNNNNNNNNNNNNNNNNNNNNNNNNNNNNNNNNNNNNNNNNNNNNNNNNNNNNNNNNNNNNNNNNNNNNNNNNNNNNNNNNNNNNNNNNNNNNNNNNNNNNNNNNNNNNNNNNNNNNNNNNNNNNNNNNNNNNNNNNNNNNNNNNNNNNNNNNNNNNNNNNNNNNNNNNNNNNNNNNNNNNNNNNNNNNNNNNNNNNNNNNNNNNNNCAACAUUCGGUAACCAACCAUAUAACUCAAGUACGCAUAAAACAACGUCGAACCUUAAGUGUGCAGACCCUGCGGGUUCGAGAACUAUGUAGACAUGACCCGAGUGGCUCCUCGAUCAAUAUCCAAUAGCGGGACCUGGAUGCCCAUAUUGGAUCCUACAUAUUCUACGAAGAUCUUAUCGUUUGAACCUCAGUGCCAAGGAUUCAUAUAAUCCCGUAUGUCAUUCCCUUUGUCCUUCGGUAUGUUACUUGCCCGAGAUUCGAUCGUUAGUAUCCGCAUACCUAUUUCAAUCUCGUUUACCGGCAAGUCUCUUUACUCGUUCCGUAAUACAAGAUCCCGCAACUUACAUUAAGUUACAUUGCUUGCAAGGCUUGUGUGUGAUGUUGUAUUACCGAGUGGGCCCCGAGAUACCUCUCCGUCACACGGAGUGACAAAUCCCAGUCUCGAUCCAUACUAACUCAACGAACACCUUCGGAGAUACCUGUAGAGCAUCUUUAUAGUCACCCAGUUACGUUGCGACGUUUGAUACACACAAAGCAUUCCUCCGGUGUGAGUGAGUUAUAUGAUCUCAUGGUCAUAGGAAUAAAUACUUGACACGCAGAAAACAGUAGCAACAAAAUGACACGAUCAACAUGCUACGUCUAUUAGUUUGGGUCUAGUCCAUCACAUGAUUCUCCUAAUGAUGUGAUCCCGUUAUCAAGUGACAACACUUGCCUAUGGCCAGGAAACCUUGACCAUCUUUGAACAACGAGCUAGUCAACUAGAGGCUUACUAGGGAUAGUGUUUUGUCUAUGUAUCCACACAAGUAUUGUGUUUCCAAUCAAUACAAUUAUAGCAUGGAUAAUAAACGAUUAUCAUGAACUAAGAAAUAUAAUAAUAACUAAUUUAUUAUUGCCUCUAGGGCAUAUUUCCAACAGUCGCGCCACUGACCCAUGGACUGCAGUGGAAGCCAAUGAGUUGCUCAAGCGAGGUGAUAGCCCUUUGUGCCGUUGUCGAGGUAGUCGAGACCGUGGAUGGUGUAGCCGUGGUCGAGGUAGCUGUGAAAAGAAUAUUGUGGUCGAUGUCGAGUCAGGGUAGCCGGUGACGAGGAAGUCAUCGUGGAGUCGUGGGUGCAAGGAGGCGUCGAGUAAGUCAUAGGCGCGAUGUCGAAGUAGUGAUGCGCCAGAAAGAGGGCGUUGUUCACGAUGAGUCGCGUCGGGUUUGCCAAGCCCGGGGACACAUAAUGGACGAAGGCACACAUCGGUGUUGCCAGCACCGGGCAUGUGUAGACGAACGAAGUCGAUGUUGGCAAUGCACCGCUCGAGGCUUGCGAGGACUAGGAGCACAUCGGGGACGAAGGCACAUGUUGUUGCCAGCAUCGGGCAUGCGUAGACGGGGACCUGCACACAAUUUGUACGCCACGUUGAGGGGUCUAGGACAAAAGGACUCGGUGAUGGUUGUGACGCAAAUCAGCGGGAGGCCGAAGUCGCGUGCUGUUGUCGGAGUAGAUGACGAUGACACUUAGGAUGAGAUGGUGCUGGACAAACAUAAAUGGGGUGGAGUGGUGGGGCAGCUCGGGCGGGCGACUUGCCGCAGCGCCAAAGAAACGGGGCGACGCGGCUAGGGUGGGCGAGUCGUAGUGGCACCGAAGAGGAGGGGUGGAUGCGGCCUAAUGGCGGCCGCUAGUUAGGAGUGUGGCAUCGAUGCUCGAAGUUCGCGAGGAAGAACUUGACAGCAUGACGAAGACCGACGCGGACGGUGACUUUCCCGUGCUGAGGGAGUCGUCAUGGCGCAUGCCACAUAGAAGUUGACACACGCGGACGACGGAGUGGGCCACAUGUCGCGGCGCUAUAGCCCGAAGGGGCCACGCAGUGACAGCGCGCAGGUCGGGGAAACGACGGGAAGACUUCGGGGCGGCGGCAUGGACCGUGAGCCACGACGUGACAACCCAAAGGGGAGGCGCAACGGUUGAGGGCGGGUCGGUGCAGCCAUGGGGAUGGCCUCGGGCGAUGGCGGGGACCGCGUGUCGCGACACUACAGCCCGAAAGGCCGACACAAUGGCAACGCACGAGCCGGUGCAGCCGCGAGGAGAACCACGGGGCGGCGGUACUGCGGCUCGAUGGGGCGACGCACCGGCAACCCGUUGCUUGAUCGAUGGAGGGACGCGCUUUACUAGGGACAGUCUUCACGGGACAUGCGGAUGCGUGUGCAACCGACGGGCCAGGUCGGGUGCCCGACGUGGAUGAGGCUGAUCGCAGGUGAGCGGGUGAUCAAUCCAAUCGCGAACGUGGGCGGGAACGUCGCUCGGUGGAGGCGGGGUGGCGGAUAAGUCUGAGAUGAAACCGGAGCGAGCAACGACCUUCGCCGUGAGAUGACGUGUGUACGAGCCCAACGCGGUCGGAGCCAGCAGCCGAUCCGAUGCAUCCGAUGAGGCUGAUGAAGCCAACAGCCAGCAGACGACGUUCCCUACGCGGACGGAGCCGGCAGCCGACGAGGCGAUGAAGCCGGCCCCGGCAGCCGGCCCAAGGCAGUCGGUUGGGCAACUGUACGAUGCGACGAAGGAGGGUGGUGAUGAAAAGGUCCCGGUCGGAGUAGGGCGACAUGAAAGAAGGAGCACAAGCGACAGCCGUAAGGGGAAGCCACGUAGCCCGAGGCCGACCGAUUGGAGAAGAGACCGGGUGGUUGCACCGAUGUCGAAGUAGAGGCGCGCGGUCGACAACGGCGACAGAUGACGCAAAUCGAUCUUAGAUUGCAAAACCAAAAUGAAGAUGUCGAUCAAAGUGACCAGCGGGAGAGAGAAGACCCGGAUCAAAAGAUUGGGGAAAAGACUCUCGAGGGCAGCCGGUAAACACGACCGACGGACGAAUCCUAGGUACGGGCGACAGGACCCCUGGUGACGGUCAUGGAGGAUGACCGCCCCGGGGGCGGCGUGGAGCGGAAGCAGCGGACGGCGGCUAGGGUUGAAUCGGUUAGGUUGAUACCAUGUUAGAAGAGAUAGAGGGAUUGGUGCGGAAUAUGAUAGAUGUUGUAUUGAGACUAAUGGAUGAGUAUAUAUAGAAAUACAGACUUGAAGGACAAGAAGCGUGUCCUACCUAGAGAUAAGGUAAGAAUGGGAUUACAAAUCUGAAAGUACCAAAUACAUAUACAUCAAAUAUAUCUCUAAGAGCAUCUAUAACCGGACGCCUCAAAUGACCCUCAUUGCCCACGGACGUGUCCGAUCAGUGACCGGACAGGAGAGAGAAGAAAAAGAAGUGACCCAACCGGAACCCUCGUAUCAUUCAUAUACGCCCGGGUUGUCCUUGAUCCCUCGUAUACAUCUCAAAUAUAGGGAGUAUAUGAGGGCUCGCGGGCGCGUCCGGGCAUUCCGUCACGUAGGAUGCGAUUCCAUCUUGAACCACAUUUUUCUUUUCUUUAUUCAUUUUUUUCUCUUCCUCUUCGUCAAUCACAUGUAAGUGAUCGAACACAUGAAAAAAAAGAGUAAAAAGUGUGAAGAACAUGUCCGAUCACUAACUAGGAGGGUCCGCAGACAUUUAGAAAGUCAUAUUUGUUAUAUCUGUUUGUAGAUGCUCUAACAUGAUAGUACCAUGGUAGAACCAUACGUUGAUGAGACAUUCUGAUGUGGACCGUAUAGUUGUGAGACAUGAGUCAGCCAUGACUCCAUUCCCUGAAGUCUGUGUCCGCGUAUGUUUAUGCUUUCGUAAUUAGAAGCAUAUAGUAACAACAGGUGCAUCAAAAGAUAACGUAUAUAUUUUAUUUUAUUUUGAAACAACUAGGCUGCUCGUCGGUUUCUAUUAUAGAAACCGCCAUAAAGUAUGUGGGUUUGCAUGCAUUGACCGAGUCACACAUCACGGGCACGCCGGUGUAAUAUUGACAUCAUAUUCGGGUGGCGACUGGUGCCGCUGAACAGCCAAGCAAAACCUAAGUGUCAUCCCACCACGGGCGGUGAAAAAGUCGAAAACUUUGGGCUGAAAUCAAUUUGAUACUGCCUCCAAUUAUGUGAUCCCUCCAGUCCAGGCGUACGUGCGAAGAAGUCUAAGAGCAAUUCUAGCACACCCCGCAAAACGACCGGUUCAUAAAAAAUCCGACGACUAUACAGAUUUAAACUCAUUUUCCUGCCAAAGCAAACACUGCAAAAGCGGCCUGACCUGGAUUUUUUUGCAGUGGUCCAUAAACGCGACCCUCGACCGAUAUAACUGCGGGUUCGACCGUUGGAUCCGGGUCGAAACUCUAUCCCUCCGCCGCCGCGAAAAGCCCCCCCCCCUCCCGUCCGCCUCAUCGUCGGCGCCUCCAAUCCGCCGCUGCGCGCCUCCAUUACGCCGCGUAGCCGCUCCAAUCCACCGCCGCGCAUGGCCAGCUCCGGUAGUCGUAGGGACGACGACCCCGAGAGGGCUCGUCGCGUCAUAUCCGACGCCGCCCGUAAGCGUGCCGCCCGCCGGUACACGCGAUGGGCCUGACGCCGCCGCCGUCGCUCCUCCGUCGUGAGACAGAGGAGUACGACCGCGCGCGCGGCCGCCUCUUCUCCAGCAGCAGCUCAAUCGAGGCGUCGAGCUCCCGCUCGUCCUCCUCCAUCCCACCGGUGAAGAGGGAGCUCAAAAAGCUCCCAUCGGUGAAGAUGGAGCCGGAAGCCGAGGCGGUGCCGGAGCGACGUGCCGGGGCCGUCGUUGGACCGGAGGACUUCCUCCCUCCGGAGGAGGCGGAUAGCCUCCUGCCCGUGCUGCUGGCGCCGAGUGCACGAGAGACGGAAGAGGACCAGCAGCGCCGCCGGAGGGAGGAGGAGAUCGACACCGUGCUCUACGAGCAGGGUGUCGCGUCGGCCAUCGUCUUCGGCCACAAGGUGGAGGAGUGGCGCCGCGAAGCUACUGCGCAGAAGCGCAUCUACGUCGAGCUCUCCUCCGACGAGGACGACGAGGACGACGACUGAAUGUAGGCUAUCUACUAUUGCACGAGCUCGACUCCGGAGAGCUCCAUUUUGCGUAGUGCGGUAGUAUAGGUAGUAGCUCGAGUAGGUGAUGCCCCCUCUAGUACUGAAUGUAGUGUUGUAUGAUCAUGAAUGUAGUGUCGUAUGAUCAUGACUGUGGUCCUGAACAUGCCCGCGAAUGUUUAUUUUUUAAAUUAUGCAGUUUUAUUAUGCGAAUUCUGUUCUGCAGCGCAACUUUUCGUCCCUCAAAACCCCACUUCGUCGAACUGCAAAACGCGUUUGCAGGUCGUGAUUAUACAGGGUCUGCUAGAGUUGCUCUAACUAGACCAUCCGCAUCCACCCGUACGUACUCCGAGUGCCGAAUCUAGCAGGGGGCUUCGAUAGGCUCGAGNNNNNNNNNNNNNNNNNNNNUGAGGCCCCCGCCCCCCCCCCCCCCCCCCCUCUUUCAAAAAUAGGAAAAGAAAAAUUACUUUUAUUUUAUAUAUUUUUUGUUUUUAUUUGGAUCAAAGAAUUAAGAAUUAUUAACUUUUUAUACACACAUUGUAACUUUGAGCUUCCCCUUCAUGUUCUUCCAAGAUUCGCCAUUGCGUACUCCGUGGGCUCGACAGGUAACAGGAGAGAUUGACUUGUAAAUCACUCGAAAAUGAUGACCGAACAAGCAAAUUUAAUUUAUUAACGAACCACCUAACCGGUUUGGCCACCACUCUAUCUCCCACCAUUGCCAUUCCCACGCUAAGCAUCCAGCAAGUACGUACGUCGUCCUCAACGCUUUCGGUCGCACCGUCACCUUCUUCUAGCUCUAGCUAAAGCUUCCUCGCCCCUGCCGGCCGGUGCGCGAACCACAUCAUCCUCCACAACUUAUCUCCAUCCAUCACUAUCACCAUCCACAGUUUAUCGCUCCAUCUCCGUACCGCAAAGAACCCGGCCUACUCGAGCACUAUACAGAUCAUCUUGAUCGAUAAGUAAUCCAUCUCAUCUUGAUCGAUAAGUAAGUAAGUAAGUUACCACCAGACAUGACACAACAGCUUUUCAUCUACCUUUGAUGUACAAUCGUGUUUGUUGUUUUCUCGUGUAAGAAAAUGUGAUGGAACGAACGAACGAACACCUCGCAAGUUCAGAGACCGGGACAAGGUACGUAGGUAAGCUUCUCAUCCUGCUUGGGACAUGUCAUCCUGCUUUGGACGUGGACACGUAUGGUGAGAUUAAUUCCGCGGUUUCCACUGGAUGGCUGGCGAGAGUGCGUGUCCGGGCCCGCCGGCGACGGCGAGAAGCACGAGCACACAUCCACACACCGGAGAGACCGAGAGCGCCUGGUCACCGGCCGUCGCCGCGCGGCUUCGGGGAUAGGAUCCAGUGCUGGCCAUGGGGGCGGACGGUGAGGCCCUUGACCCUGGCGAAGAGCGUGACGGCGCGCCGGACGCCGCGGUCGUCGGCGGCCGUGAAGUAGUCGUGGCCGAACAUGACGCCGCCGGGGCGCAGCACGGCCCAUGCCAGGUUGAUGUCCGCCCACGCCGAGUGGAAGUCGUGGCCGGCGUCCACCUCGAUGAGGUCCGCGUAGACGCCCCACCGGCACAGCGCCCCGAGCGUGGACGCCGUGGAGAAGGGCAGCGGCAGCACCGUGGCCGCGGCCUCGGGCCCCGCGGCGAGCACGUUGGCCAUGAACUGUGGCAGCAGCAGAGCGUCGCCGUGGCGCUGCUGCGGGACGUCGCGGCGGAAGCGGCCGCGGAAGGCCGGCCAGCCGCGGAAGUCGUCCACGCAGAGGAUGGCCGGGAACAGCGAGAGGUUCCUGGCCACGGCCGCCAUGUGCAGCGCCGAUGCGCCCAGGAACGCGCCCAGCUCCACGAUCACGUCCGGCCGCACCUCCUCGAUCAGCUCCGCGAACACCGCCCCCGUCGACCCCCACCCGCGCGGCCGCGCCGCCGCCGGGUGCAGCAGCGCCGCGGUGUGCGCCGGCGGGAAGCUCGCGUACGGGCUCUCGCCGUCGAACAGCUUAUCAAGAAGCGUCUUCACCACGUCCUCGGCCGGCACCGGCUGCCCGCACUCGUCCCCGAACCUGAACAGGUCGUGCGGCGGCGAGCGCGGGUAGCUCGUGCCCGUGCCGUUCGACGAGGCGGGGACGCUGGAGGAGGCAGCGGUGAGGUGCGCGGCGUGCGGCCGUAUGACAGUCUGCGACGGCUUGGGCGUGGGCGGGCGGGCGGACGACGAGACGAUGCCGAGCGAGUAGCCAACAGAGAAGACGAUGAGGAAGGCGGUGACCCGCGGGAGGUGCGGCCGGAGCCUGGCCGGCACGCCAGACGCCGCCGCUGCCGCCGGAGGCGCACGCGGCUUCAUGAUCACGCACGCACGCCGGCACGCGGCUCUUCUUGUUGGAUGUCCGGGCUAUCAACCGGGAAAAAUCUCAACUUUCGAUCAGGAUCCUGGAGGUUGGUUGGGGAUACCGCAUUUAUAGAUGGAUAGAUGGCGGGAGCCGAGCCGAGGGGCUGUUAGCUUGGCGCUCUGUGCUCCCCUUGUUUCGGGGGGGAAGAGAGAUGAGAUAUCAGAUAUGCACCAACGAAACGAGAGGAGUACAAGACUGGGAGAAAGUUUCGACCUUGUCGUGUUGGUGAGGGGUGACUGCUCUGCUCUGCUUUGACGACGGGUUGGUGAGUUGUGGGUGGUGAAUCUGAUCGCGGUUGGUUUGGGAGCAUCGGAAAAACAUCAGGUAGUGGAAUUUCGUGCAUGCGGGAGAGAAUGUCAGGAGGCCUUUCCGUGGCAGGAGGAUAGUGUCAGUGUGGAUACUCUGGCACUCACUGACUGUAGCCUGGUCCCUGGAGAAUCUGGUUCGGCCACGUACUGUCCCGGUGAAGGUGCAACUAACUCUCAUGUGUGGCGCCAAUGGGGUUGUGUGUGUGUGUGUGGGGGGGGGGNNNNNNNNNNNNNNNNNGGNNNNNNNNNNNNNNNNNNNNNNNNNNNNNNNNNNNNNNNNNNNNNNNNNNNNNNNNNNNNNNNNNNNNNNNNNNNNNNNNNNNNNNNNNNNNNNNNNNNNNNNNNNNNNNNNNNNNNNNNNNNNNNNNNNNNNNNNNNNNNNNNNNNNNNNNNNNNNNNNNNNNNNNNNNNNNNNNNNNNNNNNNNNNNNNNNNNNNNNNNNNNNNNNNNNNNNNNNNNNNNNNNNNNNNNNNNNNNNNNNNNNNNNNNNNNAGAAAGGGGAGGGGGAGGGGGAGGGGGGGCCGCGGCUGACCUUGACGCAGUCGGUCUCGCUGAGGCACUUGACGAGCUCCAUGGCUAGCCCCUUGCACGACUUGGACAUCGUCCUCCUCCACCUCCGACUCUCGAUCGCUCGGCUGCGGCACGGCUUGCGGGGAGGGGAGGGGAGGGGAGGGGAAAGAAGCGAGACGGCGGCGUGUCUCUCCUCCCCCCGGCGGCCGGCGCAACAGGUCGGGUGGGAGAUGGCUUUGGUUGGGCCUUCGUGGACCGUUUCCCGGCCUGAUUCAGGUAACUGGUCUUCCACGGUCCACAUAGCAGAAGAUUGUCUAAAAAAACAUAGCAGAGUAAAGUUCUCAAGCCCCUAAAAAAAGAUAGAAUUAUCAAAAGGAGCAACGGCGAGCAAUCCGUACACUAGGCUACACUAAAUCGAAUCGGGCCAAGGGGCGGCGGCACGGGGAGGCGCGGGGAGGAGAAAGGGGGCGAGAGAAANNNNNNNNNNNNNNNNNNNNNNAGAAAGGGGAGGGGGAGGGGGAGGGGGGGCCGCGGCUGACCUUGACGCAGUCGGUCUCGCUGAGGCACUUGACGAGCUCCAUGGCUAGCCCCUUGCACGACUUGGACAUCGUCCUCCUCCACCUCCGANNNNNNNNNNNNNNNNNNNNNNNNNNNNNNNNNNNNNNNNNNNNNNNNNNNNNNNNNNNNNNNNNNNNNNNNNNNNNNNNNNNNNNNNNNNNNNNNNNNNCAGUGUUGUUGUUACGAUACGGACACUCCCUACGCGGGUGACCAGCACACCUACAUACGCGGCAUCGUCUUGGUUCUCCCAACUGGCUGUGGUCCAUGUCAUUGCGAUGACGCCUAGACUGACGCCGUCCCUUGCUGAUUCACAUCAAUGCGGGAUCUGGAACCCAUGUGGUGCCUUCUGGCCAUAAUUGCUUGUAGUUCGUAUCAAUGCCCCAUGCCCAAAACUCACCGUUCCAAGUGUUGUACAAAUUGUGCAUGUUGAAGUAUGUUGAUACGUACGGCUCGACACUAAUUUGUUGAUCUGCACCUGCCCGCAAUACGUGACUACAAGGAUAUCCCAGAAGCUUGGGCUUGUUGCAAGUGCACUCACACGAGGUUGCGCCAAGCGUCACAACUUGUUUUUUUGCUCCCCUGUGGUGACCCUUCACAAACUUUGCUCGCACACUAACUUCCCAUUUAUUCCUAAGUGCAUCUACCUGCCUGCACCCAUGUCUUUGCGACUUCUUUGCUUUGUCAUCAAGAUGUCUUUGCAUCUUCUCAGACCAGGUCUUGUUCAAAUCAACUAGCGCCUUGGCAACGGUGACUCUAUCUGCAAAGUAUGACACAGUCCGGUUCCAAGUUUCAUCAAUUAGUGCUGUGAUAGGUAGUGCCCUCACCCCUUUAAGAACACCAUUGUACACCUCGGACAUGUUGCUUGUCAUUAUACCGUAUCUAGCGCUAGUGUCAUGAGACUGCACCCACUUGUACAAAUUGGGACAAUUCUUAUUAAUCCACUGGCUCAAAUUUAUUGCUGUUCGACGACCCCUCCGGUCUUCUCUCGUCGGGAGGGAUGCGCGCUCGAUCUGACCAUUGAUACCUGCCCAGAUAGCAUUCAUUUUUGCUGUAGUUUUCUGCAUGCACAUCCUCUUGAAUAGCUUGAACCAAUCUUUGUUUUUGAAUUUCGAAUAAAAAUUAGCUUCCAAAUGCCUCAUGCACCACCUUGUCUCCAGAUCGGGCCACCCCAAUCUGGAUCUUGUGAAGCCUUAAUUAUCUCAAGCGCGCUUAAUAGUCCGGUGUUGCGAUCAGAGAUGAUGCAAACCCCUUCCCGAUCUUUGAUGACACCCAUCUUCAGGCAACACAGGAACCAUAGCCAACUAUGUUUGUUUUCGCUCUCCACUAGUGCAUAGGCAAUAGGAAGAAGUUGAUUGUUUGCAUCAGCUGCCAUCGCCACUAAGAGUGUGCCCUUGUACUUUCCUGUGAGAAAUGUACCAUCAAUUGAUACAACGGGACGACAAUGCUUGAAUGCUUGUAUAGUCUGGGCGAAUGCCCAGAAUAAGCGGUCCAGGAUUUGCUCGUCCGGGUUCAAUGGAUUUGGACGUUCUUUCCGGAAAACUUGAGUCCCCCUAUUAGCAACUGAAAUCUGAUGCAACAUUCUAGGGGCAAAAGAGUACGCCUCCUCAUAGGUUCCAUACAACCUCUGAAAUAUCUUUUCCUUUGCAUGACGAGCCUUGCUAUAGCUGACAGGGAAACCAAUCAGAUCAGAUGCAGUUGCACGCAAAGCCCUAAUACUAAUAUUAAGACUUUGCUGCACAAUGGUUUGCAUCACCUGUGACACAUAUUCUGCAGUCACGUUGCGGUGCUCUGAAAGAGUGCCGGUUUGCUCACAACCAUGUUGCUCUAUUUUUGUGACAUGCCAUGGCUGACAUACCCCAGGCUUCUGGCGAGCAAUAACUCUUCCGCGGCAACCCGCUUCGCGAUGGAUGCAUAUGAGCUUCAACUCCUUUUUAUCAGACUGCUUCACUCUAUGUUGCCUGUGUAUAGCAAUUGCAUAGCUAUGUAUUGCUUGUUUAGCAGAUUUCUUAUCUGGGAAAAUCUGUCCAACGGCCAGACUCCCCGCGUCUAGGCCAGCAACAGAGUGAAAUUCAUUGGUGAUGCUCAUAACCUGUAAAAACUCUGGGUUGAUUGCUGCAGCGACCGCAUUCUCAGGAGGAACAACUUCAUCAUCAUCUGAUUCCGAAGACGCAGAAGAAUGACCAUCAUCGUCAUCAUCUAGCGCCUCCGGCAAUCCCUCGACAUGUUCGCUCAUGUCAACGACCGCAGACCAAUAUCCCGUGUCAUACACUUGAUGGCCACCUAUUGGUUCCGUUGGGCCGGCGUCGGGGGCUACAGUUAUGGCCAUAUGUUCGCCACCGCUUGGUUCCGAUGGGCCGGCGUCGGGGGCUACAGUUAUGGCCAACUCGGCCUCACCGGCACCGCUAGUGCACUCGGCGACAUCACUGGCAGAAAUGAACUCCACAUAAACCAUGGGUUGUCCAUACAUGGAGUUAUUGGGAUUUCUUGCAAAACCCAUGUACGACGCCCAUGCUCUUCCACCGGUAACCCGUCGCAAAACCCAACGAUUUCCUCCCUCAACCACGAAAGCCUCCAGGGUCAUUUUUUUUCCAUUCAUCGCUGAACCAAACACCGAUCGGAUGCACCUUCUAACUGCCGCAUACUCUACAUUAACCAUGUCUUUCACUACAACCGUAGUCAUCCCGCACCUAGACACAUCCACACCAGAAGGACCCUCACGUACGAUGUGCCCAUAAAACACUAACAAAUUUUCCAUAGUACCUAACGAGCAGCCAUAUUUACAUCGUUAGUCCAUUAAAAAUCAUAUUUUUAGAUUUACAUUGUAAUAACAACAUCCAUUACUUAUCUUUUUUACAUAUAACAAUUUAACAACAUCCAUUACAUCUACGCAUAAUAAUUUAUAUUGUAUCAUUUAUCGUCACACUACAUCUAUAAAAUAAAUAGAAGAUGAAUUACAAUAUGUCAUUCAUACCUCUGGUUUAAAUAAGGAUAUCCUUCCGAAUAUAAUAUAUCACGAGAAUAAUAUCAGCGAAUUCCACCUAUUUUCAUAUGAACAAAAAUAUUACACACAUAAUUAUUUUCGUGCUAGCAAAAGUCUAAAAAUACAUACUGCAUGCAUAUAUAUGUUCCAAGNNNNNNNNNNGCAUAUAUAUAUAUAUAUAUAUAUAUAUAUCACGAAUCAUAUUUCUACGGGGUUGGCAAAUUAUCAAAUAAACAAAUAUAUUACACACGCGUCUUGCAUGUAAUAAUACUAAUGGAGCUAACAUAUUAUUACAUGUUUUUUACAAAAAUGCUAGUUACAUAGGCAUUUUUCCGGCUCCUUUCUAAAUACCAGUUGCAUGCAAACACGAACAAAUCAUCGGUAAUAUAUGAACAUAGUCGACCUAUUAUCACAUGAACACAAAUAUGAACAAAGUCUCAUACCUUGAUCUUCAACUUAGUAGUUCAUAUCGCAUGACAAAAUAGUUCCACAAAAGUGAUAAUACGCUCCCUAAGACAAAAGAAAACACAUACUUAGAAACUAAUCAAACAAAAUAAAAACAUCAUGCAUGCAAACACGACCAACAGAAAUGGAAAGCUCUUACCUUGAUCUAUCUUUUCUUCAACUACAACGUCUUCAAAAUAGUUCCACAAAAGUGAUAAUACACUCCCUAAGACAAAAGAAAACACAUACUUAGAAACUAAUCAAACAAAAUAAAAACAUCAUGCAUGCAAACACGACCAACAGAAAUGGAAAGCUCUUACCUUGAUCUAUCUUUUCUUCAACUACAACGUCUUCAAAAUCUCACUUUAAUCCGUCCUAAAUCGCCACAUAAACAUUCAUACGGAGUAGCUCUUGUGAGAAAGAGAAGAGAGUGAGAAAGAGAAGAGAGUGAGAAAGAGGAGUGACACGGGAGGCAACGGCAGGACAAGAGAGUGAGAGAGGAGGCAGCGACGCGGUUCGCUUAUAAAGAAGAAGUUUCGCACUGUUUCGUCGGUGGAGAGCGGGAAAAAUUCCCACUGUUCCGGCCGGCCGCGCGGGAAAAAUUCGAGCGGGAAAGGAGCCUGGGAAUCAGCGCAAUCAGCAACAGUGCCGGCCGCGCGGAAAAAGUGCACCUGGCCGCCUGCUCCCGAGGCGGCAGGGCCCACCCGGCCUUGUCCGUUACGGACAGGAGUGGGCGGGAACGGGAUCCCGCGCUGGCCGCCAGGGGCGGUGGCGGCAGGCCCCACGGCCGCCUCGUGCGGUGGCGGCAGGUGCCACGUGCCGCCUGGCGCGCCUGCCGCCGCCCGGGGUGGGGGUCUUUUUUGUCGUUUGCACUCGCAGGUGGUCUCUUUUGACAAUCCCACUCGACAGGGGGUCCUUUUGGACAAAAAUUCCAUAUAAAACGGUGCAUCGAUGACGACAUGGCGUUGGGAUUGAAUGAACGGAUCCUUCUAAUCAGAACCAAAGAAAGGCAAUUUUAAUUAGAGGCCUUAGACUAUCUAUAGUGAGGGUAAUGUAGGUAGUAACAUAGUUGCAACCUAAAUAAAAAAAUGUGAUGUGGUAAUUAAUUAAUAAGAAGAGAAAAAAAUUGAGUAACUUAGCUAGUUACUCAUCAGGUUGUCCAUAGUGGGGUAUCAUAACUAGUAUCAUAGUCUUGGGACAAACAAACAUGUUAAUGUGGUAAGUAAUUAAAAAAGAACGGGGUUAGAGUAACAUAGGUAGAUACCGUAUCAUGUUAAAUGAUAUGCUACUAUAUGUCAUGCAUGUUAAUAAAUGAGAUUAUCUAUGAUAGUACUAGUUUAUGAUACUAUGCAUUAUAAAGGUAGUAUCAUACAAUAGUAUCAUAUGCAUGAUACUACUGUAUGUUACUCUCCAGUAUGAGCAGUCUCAUAGUACUAGUACUAGGAGUAACAUAACACAUGCCAAGGUAAGAUGAGUCUAUAAACUAAUAAAUGCAAAACUCAAUGUCACUAUCCUACGUUACAUAUAUUCAUUAUAAAGUUAGUAACUUAGAUUAGUAACAUAUACAUACAUGUUACUACUGUAUGUUACUUUUUUUGGUGAAUAGCCUAAAGCGAUGACCAAACUAUGAUACAACAAGAUACGCCAUGCUUCUCAAGAAAGAUAGAGAACGUCUGUUGGAUGAAGAGCCUGGAAGGCCCGGACUAAGCGGCAGGAAACAUGUGAUCCACUCUAAACCCUAGACCAAUUGAACAAAACAUGUAAAGCAGUUAACAAGUAAAAAGAAAAAGCUACCCACAGGAACUACUAAUUACAUGCGUCUCCUCCAUAUGAGCGGUAAAUAAAAUAUGAAAACACCAGAGAAAAGGAACCUUUACGGAGUUAGUAUUCUAGUUAUGAGGUUUUACAUUCUCCAAUGUUAAAAUGGUAUGCCAAUGAUAAAAACACUAAAAUAAACAUGACAUUUUCUUUUUGCUACUUCCUUCGUUUCCUAUUAUAACAUUGUAGACAUAUUAGUGUGAAUUAGAUACGAAUUCAUCUUUUUUUAAGAAAAGAAGGAUUACCUCCAGCCUCUGCAUGAGCCCGAUGCAUACGACCCCUAGAUACAAAUUCAUCUAGACGCUCCUUGUGUAUAGAUUUAUUUAUUUUGUUUCGUAUUUAAUUUAAGUAUCCAUAGUGUCUUAUAUUAGAGAACGGAAGGAGUAGAUGUUUUGACAAUACUAACACCAUAUAUUGUCCAGGAGCACAUGCUCUGGUUACUACUUUGAAUUACCGCUGCUAUCCUACACUGUUAAAGAUCGUGCUAGCAUUCGUGCUGUUUGUUUACAUCCUUAAUCAGUAUCCACACAUAUAUGAAUACCGACUAAGCCAUAUUUGGCCCACCUUUAGGAGCCCGACGCCUGGUCGCCUCAUGCUAGGGCGACUCGGGCAGAGAUCCAGCCCGCUCCCGGGCCGCCUUCACCCUGUCCUCCCCUCCGUCGCCAUUGAAUGAAACCGUCAGGCGAAGCCCUGGCCGACUGAUGGCGGCGGCGGAGGAUCACUUUCUUCCCACGUCCAGAUCUGGUGAGGCAGGUCACCCAUCGACGCUGGGGCGCCUCGCCCUGAUCUGUGGCGCGACGGCUUGCCUCCGGCGAUGGCUCAAGGCGGCGGCGACGGCGUGGUGGGCGGAGGCGACGUGGAUGAUCUCGUGGUACAGGCUGCUGGGCGCGUCCACGUGGUCACGGCGGCCAUGGUGGCUGUGGCCGGCGGCGCGCGGUUCGGCGACGGCGGAACGUGGCCGGUGGCGGCGGCUAUGUUCCGCCUGGAUCCCAGGGCAACGACCUUGGACGGUGGCGGUAGGUGGAGCUCCGGCUGUCCGCGGCAGCAUGGCAUGGUGCAGUCCCCAUCCAAGGCGGAUCUGCGCCGACGAUCUUGUGGUCUUUUACUAUGGAUUUGUUCGGAUCAGAAACGGCGACGAGCACGCGCGAUCCAUCCCUACGGCUCUUGCGGUCUGGCGAGGUGGGGUGGGAGCCCUUCUCCCAGGCUCCAGUGUUGGCACACUCGGGCAGUUGCUAAUGCGCCAGGGCUCUUACGGUGGCAGUGCUGUCGUGGAUGGUCGCCGGAUUUAGGCGGCUAGAUCUGAGGCUUUGAAGAUGGUCGGGGCGGUGCACAGGUUGUCGGGUGGAUUUUUUUGGGACGGAUCCAGGUGAAAACCUUGUCUUCGGCCCAUGGUCGGAGCCGGUGAUGACAUCGCCCUUAUCGUUGUUUCCUUCAUGAAGGCAUCAUCGAGGUGAAGCUCCCAACUCCACCCAAUUGUUGGUGAAUGUUGCAUGGAAAACAAAGUUUUUUCUACGCACACGAAGACCUAUCAUGGUGAUGGUCAUCUAUGAGAGGGAGAUCGGAUCUACAUACCCUUGUAGAUUGCUAAGUGGGAAGCGUUAAUAAAUGCGGUUGAUGUACUGGAACAUCUUCCGCGAUUCAAAUCGCAGCCGUCAUUAGCUUCCUCUUCAACUGGUGUUGCGUCGACAUAAAUUUCUUUCUACCCUGCGCCACCAUCUUGUUGAAGCAGAGGUUCCGAAACCUCAUCAAGUUCUAUCUUCCUCCCACUCAAUUCUUUCGAGAGAAAUUCUUUCUUAAAAAGAGCUCCGCUCUUAGCGACAAACACUUUGCCAUCGGAUCUGAGAUAGAAGGUAUACCCAACUGUCUCUUUUGGGUAACCUAUGAAGACACACUUUUCCGCUUUGGGUUCUAGCUUUUCAGGCUGAAGCUUUUUUGACGUAAGCAUCACAUUCCCAAACUGUAAGAAACGAAUACUUUGGCUUCUUGCCAUACCAUAACUCAUAUGGUGUCGUCUCAACGGAUUUUUACGGUGCCCUAUUUAAAGUGAAUGCAACUGUCUCCAAUGCAUAGCCUCAAAAUGAUAAUGGCAAAUCGGUAAGAGGCAUCAUAGAACGCACCAUAUCUAAUAAAGUACCAUUACAACGUUCGGACACACCAUUGCGCUGUGGUAUUCCAGGCGGUGUCAAUUGUGAAACAAUUCCACAUUGUCUUAAGUGAGCACCAAACUCGUAACUCAGAUAUUCACCUCCUCGAUCAAAUCGUUGGAACUUGGUCUUCUUGCUACGAUGAUUUUCAACUUCACUCUGAAAUUGUUUGAACUUUUCAAACAUUUAAGACUUGUGCUUCAUCAAGUAUAUAUAACCGUACCUACUCAAGUCGUCAGUGAAGGUGAGAAAAUAACAAUAUCCGCUGUGCGCCUCUAUGCUCAUUGGUCCGCACACAUCAGUAUGUAUGAUCUCCAACAAGUCACUUGCAGGCUCCAUUGACCCAGAGAACGGAGUCUUAGUCAUCUUGCACAUGAGACAUGGUUCACAUGUGUCAAGUGAUUCAAAAUCAAGUGACUCCAAAAGUCCAUCAGUAUGGAGUUUCUUCAUACGCUUUACACCAAUAUGACCUAAGUGGCAGUGCCACAAGAAAAUGGCGCUAUCAUUGUUAGCUCUACAUCUUUUGGUCUCAAUGCUAUGGACAUGAGUGUCAUCACAAUCGAGAUUCAAUAUGAACAAACCCCUCACAUUGGGUGCAUGAUCAUAAAAGAUAUUACACAUAUAAAUAGAACAACCAUUAUUCUCUGACUUACAUGAGUAACCGUCUCGCAAUAAACAAGAUCGAGAUAUAAUGUUCAUGCUCAACGGAGGCAGUAAAUAACAAUUAUUUAAGUUCAUCACUAAUCCCGAUGGUAACUGAAGUGAGAGCGUGCCGACGGUGAUCGCAUCAACCUUGGAACCAUUUCCCACGCGCAUCGUCACUUCAUCCUUCGCCAGCCUUCGUUUAUUCCGCAGUUCUUGUUUUGAGUUGCAAAUGUUAGCAACAGAACCGAUACCAAAUAAUGAGGCACUACUACGAGAGCUGGUGAGGUACAUAUCAAUAACAUGUAUAUCAAAUAUACCUUGUUUGGCGUUGGCCGCCUUCUUAUCGGCCAGAUACUUGGGGCAGUUGCGCUUCCAGUGACCAGUCCCUUUGUAACAAUAGCACUCAGUUUCCGGCUUAGGUCUAGCCUUGGGUUUCUUCGUCGGAGGAGCAACAGCUUUGUCACUCUUCUUGGAGUUACCCUUCUUGCAUGUGCGUUUUUCUUGAACUAGUGGUCUUAUUGACCAUCAACACUUGAUGUUCUUUCUGGAUUUUUGACUCAGCGACUUUCAGCAUCGCAAAUAACUCGCUGGGUGACUUAUUCAUCCCUUGCAUGUUAUAGUUCAACACGAAGCUGUUAUAGCUAGGUGCCAGUGAUUGAAGAAUUCUGUGAGUGAUAACUUCUUGCGGGAGUUCAAUCCCUAGCUCAGCUAGAUGGUUAGAGUACCCAAACAUUCUGAGCACUUGUUCACUGAUAGACGAAUUCUCCUCCAUUUUUCAAACAUAGAACUUAUCAGAGGUCUCAUACCUCUCGAUCCGGGCAUUUUUCUCAAAGAUAAACUUGAACUUCUGGAACAUCUCAUAUGCUCCAUGACGUUCAAAAUGUUUUUGAAGUCCCGGUUCUAAGCUAUACAAAACUGCACAUUGAACUAGUGAGUAGUCAUCCUUACGCGCUUGACAAGCGUUCAAAACAUCUUGGGUCGCCGUAGCGGAUGGUGCAUCACCUAGCGCAGCAUCAAGCACAUAUUGCUUUUGGCCAGUUGUGAGGAUAAGCCUCAGAUUUUGAGCCCAGUCAACAAAGUUGCUUCCAUCAUCUUUCAGUUUAGCUUUCUCUAGGAACGUAUUAAAAUUCAGGGUUGCUACUGCGCGAGCCAUUGAGCUACAGCAUAAAAUUCUGCAAAGAUUACUUAGACUAUGUUCAAGACAAUUGAGUUUAGUUAAUCAUAUUACUAAUAAACUCUCACUCAAAUAGACAUCCCUCUAGUCAUUCGAGUGUCGCAUGAUCCACAUUCACUAGCUCAUGUCCGAUCAUCGCGUGAGUUGUGUAUAGUUUCAGUGGUGAACAUCUCCAUGUUGAUCAUAUCAACUAUAUGAUUCAUGCUCGACCUUUCGGUCUCUUGUGUUCUCAGGGCAUGUUUGGACAUGCUAGGUCGUGAUGACCCACAAUUAUAGGGGAUCAAUCGUAGUCCUUUCGAUAAGUAAGAGUGUCGAACCCAACGAGGAGCAGAAGGCUCUGAUAAACGGAUUUCAGCAAGGUAAUAACUGCAAGCACUGAAAGUAGUGGUACCAAGUGAUUGUGUAGCGAGGUGAAACGUAGCAAGCAAAGAGUAACAAGUAACAAGUAGUAGCAACGGUGCAGCAAGUGACCCAAUCCCUUUUGUAGCAAGGGACAAGCCUGAACAAAGUCUUAUAGGAGGAAAAACGCUCCCGAGGACACACCGGAAUUUCUGUCAUGCUAGUUUCAUCAUGUUCAUAUGAUUCGCGUUCGUUACUUUGAUAGUUUGAUAUGUGGGUGGACCGGCGCUUGGGUACUGCCCUUACUUGGACAAGCAUCCCACUUAUGAUUAACCUCUCUCUCAAGCAUCCGCAACUACAAAAGAAGAAUUAAGACAAAGUCUAACCAUAACAUUAAACUAGUGGAUCCAAAUCGGCCCCUCACGAAGCAACGCAUAGACUGGGGUUUAAGCUUCUGUCACUCCAGCAACCCAUCAUGUACUUACUACUUCCCAAUGCCUUCCUCUAGGCCCAAAUAUGGUGAAGUGUUAUGUAGUCGACGUUCACAUAACACCACUAGAGGAAAAACAACAUACAUCAUAUCAAAAUACCGAACGAAUAUCAAAUUCACAUGACUAUUAUUAACAUGACUUAUCCCAUGUCCUCAGGAACAAAAGUAACUACUCACAAGACAUAACCAUAAUCAUGACCAGAGGUGUAAUGAAUAGCAUCAAGGAUCUGAACAUAAACUCUUCCACCAAGUAAUCCAACUAGCAUCAACUACAAAGAGUAAUCAACACUACUAGCAACCUUACAAGUACCAAUCGGAGUUGCGAGACGAAGAUUGGUUACAAGAGAUGAACUAGGGAUUGGAGAGGAGAUGGUGCUGAUGAAGAUGUUGAUGAAGAUGCCUCCCCUCCGACGAGACGAGUGUUGGUGAUGACGAUGGCGACGAUUUCCCCCUCCGGGAGGGAAGUUUCCCCGGCAGGAUCGUCCUGCCGGAGCUCUAGAUUGGAUCUGCUCAAGUUCCGUCUCGUGGCGGCGGCGAAACCACGAAAAAGCUCCCUAUUGAUUUUUUCCAGACCAGGACGCUUCAUAUAGCAAAAGAGGGGGGCUAGUGGGCCGUCAGGCAGCCCACAAGCCUGCCCUGCGCCACUAGGGGGGGGUGGUGGUGGCGGUGGGCAAGCUUGUGGAGCCCUGGUGGCCCCCUGCCGUAGUUCUUUCGCCCAGUAUUUUUAAUAUAUUCCAGAAAAAAUCCACGUAACUUUUCAGGGCAUUUGGAGAUGUGCAGAAUAGUGGACUAGGAUUUGCUCCUUUUCUAGUCCAGAAUUCCAACUGUCUGAAUUCUCCCACUUCAAAUAAACCUUGCAAAAUAAGAGAGAAAAGGCAUAAAUAUGGUACCACAAGUAAUAUAACAGCCCAAAAAGCAAUAAAUAUCAACAUGAAAGCAUGAUGCAAAAUGGACGUAUCAACUCCCCCAAGCUUAGACCUCGCUUGUCCUCAAGCGAAAACCAAGUUCCAUAAACAUGUCCACAUGUUGAGGGACAAAGGUGUCGAUAGAACAUAAUACAGACAUGAGGGCAUCAUGAUCACACAUAGGACAACAAUACAUCAUAAAGAUUCUUAAGGGAAAGUAACAAUUCCUUCACAAAGCAAAGCAUGAAGUAAAAACCUUACCGAGAAGUAACCAACAAUAGUCCAUAGUCAUUGAAGCAAUUGCAAUUUAUCACAACAUCAGAAAGAGUCAAAUAAGAGCUUGUAAGGCAAACCCACAUACUCAAUCAUCUCUUUUGUUUUCCACAAUUGUUACAACUCACAUGGUACUCAUGGUGUCAAAGUUUCAGCUGGACACAGAGGAAGAUAGGGGCUUAUAGUUUUGCCUCCCAACGGUUUACCUCAAGGGUAAAGUCAACAACAAUAAAGCAUAAGUACUCAACUCCAAGUUGAUAUAUGAAUAUAGAUCUUUCCCAAGCAUGCGACGGUAGCCAAGACAAAGACAAAAAUAGGGAAUUGGUGAUGAUCACCAUGACUCUUACAAGGGUAAAAAGUAAAGGUACAAGAUAGGCCCUUCGCAGAGGGAAGCAGAGGUUGUCAUGCGCUUUUGAGGUUUGAAUGCGUGUCCUCUUACUGUGGAGGAACGUCACUUUAUAUUGCCUCCUGUGAUAAAGAACUUUAUUAGGCAGUCUGUCGCUUUUAUGUCUUCCUCAUCACAGGUUCGUACAAAGCUUAUUUUCCACACACUAAUAGAUCAUACAUAUUAGAGAGCAAUUUUUAUUGCUUGCACCGAUGACAACUUACUUGAAGGAUCUUGUUCAAUCCAUAGGUAGGUAUGGUGGACUCUCAUGGCAAAAUUGGGUUGGAGGUUUAUAGAUGCACAAGUAGUAUCUCUACUUGGUGCGGAGUUUUGGCUAAUAUGAGGUGGAAGCAAUCGUCACAUGCUAAGGGAUCUCUAAUCAUAUAACAUUGUUUGGAACCAAGCAAACACAAUUCAUUAUGUUGUCUUCCUUGUCCAACAUCUAUUCCUAGGCAUGUAAUAGUUUGGUGAGUGCUCACAAUUGCAAAAAGUGUCUAAGAUGAUGUAUUUAUAUGCGAACCUCUCUUUCCUUAUUACUUCUUAUUAAUUGCAACAAUGACUGAGGUCUAUGUUGAUUUAUUCUCAACAAGUUUCAAUCAUCAUACGUGUCAUAAGUGAAGUUAUCACUUUCCAUAAGAUCGUCUCAUGAUCUUUCAUGCUAUCGUUCUUUUCAUACUCUUGAUCAUGGCACAACGCAAAGCCCUUGACUAAGAAACUCUUUAUUAUAUAGCUCGUAAGCUCGAAUACAUCGAGGGAGAGACAAAAGCAAAAGACUCAAACUAAAAACUAAAGACUUAUUCCUAAAAAAAGAAGAAAUAAAAACUAAAAAGGAAAGAACUAAAACAAAGGUAAAAGCAAAAGAUAUAAAGGUGAUACGGUACCAGGGCAACUCCUCCAAGCUUGGCAGAAGCCAAGGGGAUUGCCCAUACCAAUGCUUAGUUGCCUUCCUUUGGUGGUGAUGGUGGUGUUGUUGGAGCAGUCUUGAGCUUGUCUAAUUUCCACUUGAGCAAAAAGUUCUGCUCCCUUAGAUCAUCAUUUUCCUCCUCAAGUUUCAAAACUCUAUGGCAAAGCUCCUGCUUACUCUCCUGCAAGAAAUGAGAAGGGAUAAACAAGGUCUUAGGCUUCUUCCUAUGGUCAGGGAGGCUUGACUUCUUGAACUCCACAUGGGUGUUUGCAGGUUGAGGUAGAGGAGCCUCCUUUUCAUCGGAACUCGUUUGCUCCUUCCCUUUGGGCUCAUAGUCCUCUUCCUCAUCAGUGGUCCAGCCAUAUUGUUCCAAGUCCCCAUAGACCUUGGGGUUAGCAAGGUAGUCAGCCACAUAGCUCUCUCCCUCUGAAUCUUGAGAAGACAUCUUGACCUAGAUCUGCGGCAGAACAAGCUCGAAACGAAAACAGAGGAAAACUGUGCGAUACGGAGGUCAAAACCUUCGGGCGACUAUAUAUUGAUUUUUUUUCUGGGCCAGAAGAAAUCCUCCGCAAGAAAACGGAGUCCGGGAGGCACACGAGGUGCCCACAAGCUUGCCCUCCGCCACCAGGGGGGUAGGGGGCGGUGGCAGGGCUUGUGGCUGCCUCGUUCGCUCUCCGGACUGCUUUUUAUUUUUCUAAUUUUCCAAAAAUUCCAAAAUGGAAGAAAUUUCCUAUUGGAAAAGUAUCGGAGUCCAAUUUCUUACUGAAACAGAUACAUCUUCAUUUUCAAGGUCUGAAACAGGCUGAUAAACAUCCCUUAUGUACUCCUCUGGAGUUAUGACAUUGAUGAUAUUGGUCUCAACAUUUAUGGGAGUACCAGAGAUGUAAUGCUUGAUUCUUUGCCCAUUUACCACUCCAGAAAAAUUUCCUUCCAUGUUAUUGAUUUUGAUGGCACCGGAACGAUAUACUUCCUCGACAACAUAGGGACCUUCCCAUUUAGAGAGAAGCUUGCCUGCAAAGAAUCUCAAACGAGAAUUGUAUAGCAAGACAUAAUCACCUACAUUGAACUCUCGUUUUUGUAUUUGUUUGUCGUGCCAUCUCUUAACCUUUUCCUUGAACAACCUGGCAUUCUCGUAUGCCUGGGCUCUCCAUUCAUCUAACGAGCUGAUAUCAAACAACCGCUUCUCACCGGCAAGUUUGAAAUCAAAGUUGAGCUCUUUGAUUGCCCAAUAAGCUUUGUGUUCCAGCUCAAGAGGUAAAUGACAGGCCUUACCGUAAACCAUUUUAUACGGUGACAUGCCCAUGGGAUUCUUAUAAGCAGUCCUAUAAGCCCAUAGUGCAUCGUCAAGUUUGCUAGACUAGUUCUUUCGAGAUCUAUUGACGGUCUUUUGUAAGAUCAACUUGAUCUCCCUAUUACUCAACUCCACUUGACCACUAGACUGAGGAUGAUAAGGACAUGCAACUCUAUGGUUGACAUCAUACUUAGCUAGCAUCUUGCGGAAAACACCAUGAAUUAAGUGUGAACCGCCGUCAGUCAUCAAGUAUCCAGGGACUCCAAAUCUUGGGAAUAUGACUUCUUUAAGCAUCUUAAUAGAGGUGUAGUGAUCAAAAUUUUUAGUGGGGAUAGCUUCUACCCACUUAGUAACGUAAUCGACAACAACUAAGAUGUGAGUGUACCCAUUGGAACUCGGGAAGGGUCCCAUAUAAUCAAAUCCCCAGACAUCAAAUGGUUCAAUGACAAGUGAAUAGUUCAUAGGCAUCUCUUGACGCUUACUGAUGUUCCCUAUUCUUUGGCAUUCGUCACAAGACAAGACAAACUUACGAGCAUCCUUGAAGAGAGUGGGCCAAUAGAAACCUGAUUGCAAUACCUUAUGGGCAGUUCUAUCUCUAGCAUGGUGUCCUCCGUAGGCUUCGGAAUGACACUUCUGCAGGAUCUGUCCCUAUUCAUGUUCAGGCACACAACGUCUAAUAACACCAUCUACUCCUUCCUUAUAAAGGUGAGGAUCAUCCCAAAAGUAGUGUCUCAAAUCAAAGAAGAACUUCUUCUUUUGUUGAUAGGUGAAACUGGAUGGUAUGUAUUUGGCUACGAUAUAGUUUGCAUAAUCAGCAUACCACGAUGCACUAAGUGAAGUGCGGAUGACAUUUAAUUGCUCAUCAGGAAAGAUGUCAUCAAUUGGUAGUGGGUCAUCAAGGACAUUCUCUAGCCUAGACAAGUUAUCUGCUACAGGGUUAUCAGCACCCUUUCGGUCAAUGAAGUGCAAAUCAAAUUCCUGUAGCAGGAGAACCCAUCUAAUCAGCCUAGGCUUAGCGUCCUUCUUCUCCAUGAGGUACUUAAUAGCAGCAUGAUCAGAGUGAAUAGUGACUUUGGAGUCAACUAUGUAAGAUCUGAACUUUUCACAUGCAAACACGAGUGCUAAAAAUUCCUUCUCCGUAGUGGCAUAGUUUCUUUGGGCACUGUCUAGAGUUUUACUAGCGUAGUGAAUGACAUUCAACUUCUUGUCAACUCUUUGUCCUAGAACAGCACCAACAGCAUAAUCAGUAGCGUCGCACAUGAUUUCAAAGGGCAAGUUCCAGUUAGGUGGUUGAACAAUAGGUGCAGUUAUCAAAGACUUCUUAUGUAUUUCAAAGGCUUCCUCACAAUCCUCAUCAAAAACAAAAGGAACACCCUUCUACAAGAGGUUGGUAAGAGGCCUAGAAAUCUUAGAGAAGUCUUUAAUGAACCUUCUAUAGAAACCAGCAUGACCUAGGAAACUUCGUAUACCUCUGAUAUCUGUGGGGCAAGGCAUUUUCUCAAUUGCAUCAACCUUAGCCUUAUCAACUUCAAUGCCUCUCUCAGAAAUUUUGUGUCCUAAGACGAUACCUUCAUUAACCAUAAAGUAGCACUUCUCCCAAGACGAGGUUGGUUUCUUCGCAUCUCUGUAAGACUUGAUCAAGGUUGCUGAGGAAAUCAUCAAUAGAAGAUCCGUAAACGGAGAAGUCAUCCAUGAAAACCUCGACGAUCUUUUCACAAAAGUCAGAGAAUAUAGCCAUCAUACAUCUUUGGAAGGUGGCAGGUGCAUUACAUAAGCCAAAAGGCAUACGUCUAUAGGCAAAGGUACCGAAAGGGCAAGUGAAACUGGUUUUCUCUUGAUCAGAUUGUGCAACAGGUAUCUGCGAGAAACCUGAAUAACCGUCUAGAAAGCAGAAGUGUGUGUGUUUUGAUAGCCUUUCUAGCAUUUGGUCGAUGAACGACAAAGGAUAAUGAUCUUUCCUGGUUGCCUUGUUCAGUUUCCGGAAGUCUAUCACCAUUCUAUAGCCGGUAAUAAUCCUUUGUGGGAUUAGUUCAUCCUUAUCAUUAGGAACGACGGUGAUACCCCCUUCUUAGGUACGCAAUGUACUGGACUUACCCAAUCACUAUGAGCCACAGGAUAAAUGAUUCCUGCUUCCAGAAGCUUUAAUAUUUCUUUUCUAACGACCUCUUUCAUCUUAGGAUUUAAUCUCCUUUGAUGAUCAACAACUGGUUUAAAGUCAGGAUCGGUUUUAAUCUUGUGCUGACAUAGAGUAGGACUAAUACCCUUAAGAUCAUCAAGAGUAUAUCCAAUAGCAGCACGGUGCUUCCUGAGAGUUUUUAGUAACUUCUUCUCUUCACGCUCUGAGAGGAGAGCACUAAUAAUGACAGGAUAUAUCUCCUUCUCAUCAAGAUAGGCAUACUUAAGAGUAUCAGGCAACUGUUUAAGCUCGAACACAUGAUCACCCUUUGGUGGGGGAGGAUCCCCAAGCAGUUCAACAGGCAAAUUAUUCUUGAGAAUAGGAUAUUGUUCUAAGACAAUUUUAUCUAUCUCAUCUCUCUCCUCCAUAUGCAUAUCAUCUCCUCCAUAUGCAUAUCAUUUUCAUGCUCAAGCAGAUAUUGCUCUAAAGGAUCCGUAGGAGGUACGACAAUAGAGGCAAGAGCAAUGAUUUCAUCUCUACGAGACGACUCUCUUUCAUGGGUUUGUCUUCCAAACUUGGAGAAGUUAAAUUCAUGAGACACACCCUCGAAACUUACUGUGACAGUCUGCUUAAUGCAAUCAAUGUGAGCAUUGACAGUGUUGAGAAAGGGUCUACCGAAUAUGAUGGGACAAAAACUAUCUUGUGCAGUACCAAGGACGAGGAAAUCAGCAGGAUACUUCGUCUUACCAGACAAGACUUCUACGUCUCUCACAAUUCCCACACGACAGAUAGUGUCUCUAUUAGCUAGCAUAAUAGUGACAUCAAUGGGUUCUAACUCAGCAGGUGCAAUCUCAUCUUUGAUAUCAUCAUAUAGAGAACGGGGUAUUGCACUAACACUAGCUCCCAUAUCACAUAAACCAUGGUAACAGUGAUCUCCUAUCAUAACAGAAACAACGGGCAGGCCAACUACAGGUCCGUGUUUGUAUUUCGCGUGAGGUUUAGCAAUUCUAGCGGAGUCCUCACAGAAUUUGAUAACAUGCCCAUCUAUGUCUUCGGCUAAGAGAUCUUUGAUAAUAGCAACACUAGGUUCAACUCUAAUCUCCUCAGGGGGUGCAAGUGGUCUAAUGUAACCCCUACGUAUCAUAGUUGGAGCUUUAGAAUAAUCCUUUAUCCUAGCAGGGUAUGGUGGUUUCUCAGUGUAAGCACAAGGAACAACAGGAUCACUAAAAGCUAUGAUUUUAUCCUCAACUAGAUUGGUUUUGGCUAUGUUGCUUUCUACAGGAGGAUGAUAUUUAAACCACUUCUCUUUGGGAAGAUCAACAUGAGCAGCAAAAGAUUCACAUAGGGAAGCUACUAUCUCAGAGUCAAGUCCAUACUUAGCGCUGAAAUCUCUAGAAGUGUUUGCGUCAACAAAAGAUUUAACGCAAUCAAACUGGAAAUUCAUACCUGACUCCUUACCUUCCUCCAGCUCCCAAUCUUCAGAGUUGCGUUUGAUUCUCUCCAAUAAAUUCCAUUUGUGAUCAAUACCCUUCUUCAUAAAAGAACCGGCACAAGAAGUGUCAAGCAUGGUACGAUCUUCAUGAGAAAGCCGAGCAUAAAAGUUUUGAGUGAUGAUUUCUCUCAAGAGCUUAUGAUUGGGGCAUGAAUAUAGCAUGGAUUCAAGCCUCCUCCAAGCUUGAGCUAUGCUUUCCCUGUCACGAGGCCAAAAGUUAUAAAUAAAGUUCCGAUCACGAUGUACUAAAUGCAUAGGAUAGAACUUUUGAUGAAAUUCCAAUUUCAACCGAUUGUAGCCCCAUGAUCCAGUAUCAUCACAUAGCCUAUACCAUGUCAACGCCUUAUCCUUCAAAGAUAAAGGAAAGACUUUCUUCUUUACCUCAUCCUUGGGCAAACCUGCAAGCUUAAAUAAACCACAAACUUCAUCUACAUAAAUUAGAUGCAAGUCUGGAUGUGAAGAUCCAUCUCGUGUGAAAGGAUAGCCAGCAGUUUCUCAAGCAUACCCAAAGGAAUUUCAUAAAAGAUAUUUUCAGUAGGUACCUCAGGUUGAGGAGCAACUCCUCGUGCUUCCGUUCAUGGUGAAGAUACCCCAAACAAACUCCUCAAAGAAACAGUUUCCAUAGUGACAAGUGACAAUAAAUUUUGGCACAAUAUAUAAAUGUUUCCUUACCAAUUUCCACUUACCAAAGGCGCUUCACUCCCCGGCAACGGGGCCAGAAAAGAGUCUUGAUGACCCACAAGUAUAGGGGAUCAAUCAUAGUCCUUUCGAUAAGUAAGAGUGUCGAACCCAACGAGGAGCAGAAGGCUCUGAUAAACGGAUUUCAGCAAGGUAAUAACUGCAAGCACUGAAAGUAGUGGUACCAAGUGAUUGUGUAGCGAGGUGAAACGUAGCAAGCAAAGAGUAACAAGUAACAAGUAGUAGCAACGGUGCAGCAAGUGACCCAAUCCCUUUUGUAGCAAGGGACAAGCCUGAACAAAGUCUUAUAGGAGGAAAAACGCUCCCGAGGACACACCGGAAUUUCUGUCAUGCUAGUUUCAUCAUGUUCAUAUGAUUCGCGUUCGUUACUUUGAUAGUUUGAUAUGUGGGUGGACCGGCACUUGGGUACUGCCCUUACUUGGAAAAGCAUCCCACUUAUGAUUAACCUCUCUCGCAAGCAUCCACAACUACAAAAGAAGAAUUAAGACAAAGUCUAACCAUAGCCUUAAACUAGUGGAUCCAAAUCAGCCCCUCACGAAGCAACACAUAGACUGGGGUUUAAGCUGCUGUCACUCCAGCAACCCAUCAUCUACUUACUACUUCCCAAUGCCUUCCUCUAGGCCCAAAUGUGGUGAAGUGUUAUGUAGUCGAUGUUCACAUAACACCACUAGAGGAAAAACAACAUACAACAUAUCAAAAUACCGAACGAAUAUCAAAUUCACAUGACUAUUAUUAACAUGACUUAUCCCAUGUCCUCAGGAACAAAAGUAACUACUCACAAGACAUAACCAUAAUCAUGACCAGAGGUGUAAUGAAUAGCAUCAAGGAUCUGAACAUAAACUCUUCCACCAAGUAAUCCAACUAGCAUCAACUACAAAGAGUAAUCAACACUACUAGCAACCUUACAAGUACCAAUCGGAGUUGCGAAACGAAGAUUGGUUACAAGAGAUGAACUAGGGAUUGGAGAGGAGAUGGUGCUGAUGAAGAUGCCUCCCCUCCGACGAGAGGAGUGUUGGUGAUGACGAUGGCGACGAUUUCCCCCUCCGGGAGGGAAGUUUCCCCGGCAGGAUCGUCCUUACGGAGCUCUAGAUUGGAUGUGCUCAAGUUCCGCCUCGUGGUGGCGGCGAAACCAUGAAAAAGCUCCCUAUUGAUUUUUUUCCAGACCAGGACGCUUCAUAUAGCAAAAGAGAGGGGCUAGUGGGCCGUCAGGAAGCCCACAAGCCUGCCCUGCGCCACGAAGGGGGGUGGUGGCGGUGGGCAAGCUUGUGGAGCCCUGGUGGCCCCCCUCCGGUAGUUCUUUCGCCCAGUAUUUUUAAUAUAUUCCAGAAAAAAUCCACGUAACUUUUCAGGGCAUUUGGAGAUGUGCAGAAUAGUGGACUAGGAUUUGCUCCUUUUCUAGUCCAGAAUUCCAACUGUCUGAAUUCUCCCACUUCAAAUAAACCUUGCAAAAUAAGAGAGAAAAGGCAUAAAUAUGGUACCACAAGUAAUAUAACAGCCCAAAAAGCAAUAAAUAUCAACAUGAAAGCAUGAUGCAAUAUGGACGUAUCAGGUCGUCAAGUUUAACCCGAGUAUUUCGCAUGUGCAACUGUUUUGCACCCGUUGUAUGCGAACUUUGAGUCUAUCACACCCGAUCAUCAUGUGGUGUCUCGAAACGACGAACUGUCGCAACGGUGCAUAGUCGGGGUAAACACAAUUUUAUCUUGAAAUUUUAGUGAGGGAUCACCUUAUAAUGCUACCGUCGUUCUAAACAAAAUAAGGUGCAUAAAAGGAUUAAUAUCACAUGCAAAUCAUAACUGACAUGAUAUUGCCAUGAACUUGUGCUUCUUGAUCUCCAUCACCAAAGCACCGACAUGAUCUCCAUCGUCACCGGCGCCACACCAUGAUCUCCAUCAUUGUGCUGCCAUCGAGGUUGUCGCGCUAUCUAUGUUGUUACUACUAAAGCUACUGCCUAGCGAUAUAGCAAGAGCAUCUACAAGCGCAAAAUAAUUAAGGACAACCCUAUGGCUCUUGCGGGUUGUCGUAGCAUCGAUGUGCAAGUCGGUAUUUAACUAUUACAACAUGAUCAUCUGAUACAUCCAAUAUAUCAUAUCAUGUCUUUGGCCAUAUCACAUCACAUGCAUAGCCUGCAAAAACAAAUUAGACGUCCUCUAAUUUGUUGUUGCAUGUUUUACGUGGCUGCUAAGGGUAUCUAGUAUGAUCGCAUCUUACUUAUGCAAAGCCACAACGAUGGUAUGCAAAUUGCUAUUUAACCUUCUCCAAGGACCGCCUCGGUCAAAUCCGAUUCGACUAAACUUGAAGAAUAGGCACCCGUCAGUCAUCUUUAUGCAACAAGUUGUAUGUUAGUCGAUGAAACCGGUCUCUCGUAAGCGUACGAGUAAUGUUGGUUCAGGCCGCUUCAAUCCAACAAUACCGCUGAAUCAAGAAAAGACUAAGGAGGGCAGCAAAUUGAACAUCAACGCCCACAAAAUCUUUUGUGUUCUACUCGACAUAUCAUCUACGCAUGAACCUAGCUCAUGAUGCCACUGUUGGUGAACGUUGCAUGGGAAACAAAAAAAUUCCUAUGCACACGAAGACCUAUCAUGGUGAUGAUCAUCUAUGAGAGGGAGAUCAGAUCUACAUACCCUUGUAGAUCGCUAAGUGGGAAGCGUUAAUAAACGCGAUUGAUGUAGUGGAACGUCUUCCGUGAUUCAAAUCACCGUCGUCCUGUUGGAGAACGUCGCAUGGGAAACAAAAAUUUUCCUACGCGCAUGAAGACCUAUCAUGGUGAUGUCCAUCUACGAGAGGGGAUUUCCGAUCUACGUACCCUUGUAGAUCGCACAGCAGAAGCGUUAAGAAACGCGGUUGAUGUAGUGGAACGUCCUCACGUCCCUCGAUCUGCCCUGCGAACCGUCCCACGAUCCGUCCCGCAAUCCGUCCCACGAUCCGCUCCGAUCUAGUGCCGAACGGACGGCACCUCCGCGUUCAGCACACGUACAGCUCGACGAUGAUCUCGGCCUUCUUGAUCCAGCAAGAGAGACGGAGAGGUAGAUGAGUUCUCCGGCAGCAUGACGGCGCUCCGGAGGUUGGUGGUGAUCUAAUCUCAGCAGGGCUCCGCCCGAGCUUCGCAGAAACGCGAUAUAGAGAGGUAAAACCGUGGAGGUAUGUGGUCGGGCUGCCGUGGCAAAAGUUGUCUCAAAUCAGCCCUAAAACCCCACUAUAUAUAGGAGGGAGGGAGGGGAGGAGGAAGCCUCAAAACCUAAAGGUUUGGCCGAAAUUGGAGGUGGAGGAGUCCUACUCGAGUCCUACUUGGAGUAGGAUUCCACCUUCCCACUUGGAAACUCUUUCCACCUUGUGUUUUUUCCUUCUCAAACCUUAUGGGCCUUAGUGGGAACUUAUUCCAGCCCACUAGGGGCUGGUUUAUCUCUUCCCAUAGCCCAUGAGACCCCUUGGGGCGUGACACCCCUCCUGAUGGUUCCCGGCACCCUCCCGGCACUCCCAGUACACUACCGAUGAGCCCGAAACUUUUCCGGUAAUGCACGAAAACCUUCCGGUAACCAAAUGAGGUCAUCCUAUAUAUCAAUCUUCGUUUUCGGACCAUUCUGGAAACCCUCGUGACGUCCGUGAUCUCAUUCGAGACUCCGAGCAACAUUCGGUAACCAACCAUAUAACUCAAGUACGCAUAAAACAACGUCGAACCUUAAGUGUGCAGACCCUGCGGGCUNNNNNNNNNNNNNNNNNNNNNNNNNNNNNNNNNNNNNNNNNNNNNNNNNNNNNNNNNNNNNNNNNNNNNNNNNNNNNNNNNNNNNNNNNNNNNNNNNNNNGGUCGGGCAGCCGUGAGAAAGUCGUCUCAAAUCUGCCCUAAAAGCCCCAUAUAUAUAGGAGGGAGGGGGACCUUGCCUUGGGGUCCAAGGGACCCUCAAGGGGUCGGCCGAGCCAAGGGGGGGAGGACUCCCCCCCCCCAAACCGAGUUGGACUUGGUUUGGUGGGAGGAGUCCCCCUCCCUUCCCACUUCCUCCCUCUUUUUUUUUCUUUUCCUUUGAUUUUCUUUUCUUGGCGCAUAGGCCCCCUUGGGGCUGUUCCACCAGCCCACUAAGGGCUGGUGUGUCUCCCCAAAGCCUAUGGGCUUCCCCGGGGUGGGUUGCCCCCCCCCCUCCGGUGAACUCCCGGAACCCAUUCGUCAUUCCCGGUACAUUCCCGGUAACUCCGAAAACCUUCCGGUAAUCAAAUGAGGUCAUCCUAUAUAUCAAUCUUCAUUUCCAGACCAUUCCGGAAACCCUCGUGACGUCCGUGAUCUCAUUCGAGACUCCGAACAACAUUCGGUAACCAACCAUAUAACUCAAAUACGCAUAAAACAACGUCGAACCUUAAGUGUGCAGACCCUGCGGGUUCGAGAACUAUGUAGACAUGACCCGAGAGACUCCUCGGUCAAUAUCCAAUAGCGGGACCUGGAUGCCCAUAUUGGAUCCUACAUAUUCUACGAAGAUCUUAUCGUUUGAACCUCAGUGCCAAGGAUUCGUAUAAUCCCGUAUGUCAUUCCCUUUGUCCUUCGGUAUGUUACUUGCUCGAGAUUCGAUCGUCAGUAUCCGCAUACCUAUUUCAAUCUCGUUUACCGGCAAGUCUCUUUACUCGUUCCAUAAUACAAGAUCCCGCAACUUACACUAAGUUACAUUGCUUGCAAGGCUUGUGUGUGAUGUUGUAUUACCGAGUGGGCCCCGAGAUACCUCUCCGUCACACGGAGUGACAAAUCCCAGUCUCGAUCCAUACUAACUCAACUAACACCUUCGGAGAUACCUGUAGAGCAUCUUUAUAGUCACCCAGUUACGUUGCGACGUUUGAUACACACAAAGCAUUCCUCCGGUGUCAGUGAGUUAUAUGAUCUCAUGGUCAUAGGAAUAAAUACUUGACACGCAGAAAACAGUAGCAACAAAAUGACACGAUCAACAUGCUACGUCUAUUAGUUUGGGUCUAGUCCAUCACGUGAUUCUCCCAAUGACGUGAUCCAGUUAUCAAGCAACAACACCUUGUUCAUAAUCAGAAGACACUGACUAUCAUCGAUCAACUGGCUAGCCAACUAGAGGCAUGCUAGGGACGGUGUUUUGUCUAUGUAUCCACACAUGUAAAUGAGUCUUCAUUCAAUACAAUUAUAGCAUGGAUAAUNNNNNNNNNNNNNNNNNNNNNNNNNNNNNNNNNNNNNNNNNNNNNNNNNNNNNNNNNNNNNNNNNNNNNNNNNNNNNNNNNNNNNNNNNNNNNNNNNNNNGGUUCCGGGAGUUCACCUGGGGGGCAACCCACCCCGGGGAAGCCCAUAGGCUUUGGGGAGACACACCAGCCCUUAGUGGGCUGGUGGGACAGCCCCAAGGGGCCUAUGCGCCAAGAAAAGAAAAUCAAAGGAAAAGAAAAAAAAAAGAAGAGGGAGGAAGUGCGAAGGGAUGGGGACUCCUCCCACCAAACCAAGUCCAACUCGGUUUGGGGGGGAGUCCUCCCCCCCUUGUCUCGACCGAUCCCUUGAGGGUCCCUUGGACCCCAAGGCAAGGUCCCCCUCCCUCCUCCUAUAUAUAUAGGGCUUUUAGGGCAGAUUUGAGACGACUUUCUCACGGCUGCCCGACCACAUACCUCCAUAGUUUUUCCUCUAGAUCGCGUUUCCGAGGAGCUCGGGCGGAGCCCUGCUGAGACAAAAUCAUCACCAACCUCCGGAGCGCCGUCACACUGCCGGAGAACUCUUCUACCUCUCCGUCUCUCUUGCUGGAUCAAGAAGGCCAAGAUCAUCGUCGAGCUGUACGUGUGCUGAACGCGGAGGUGCCGUCCGUUCGGUACUAGAUCGUGGGACUGAUCGCGGGAUUGUUCGCGGGGCGGAUCGAGGGACGUGAGGACGUUCCACUACAUCAACCGCGUUCUCUAACGGUUCUGUUGUACGAUCUACAAGGGUACGUAGAUCACUCAUCCCCUCUCGUAGAUGGACAUCACCAUGAUAGGUCUUCGUGCGCGUAGGAAAAUUUUUGUUUCCCAUGCGACGUUCCCCAACAGUGGCAUCAUGAGCUAGGUUCAUGCGUAGAUGUCUUCUCGAGUAGAACACAAAAGGUUUUGUGGGCGGUGAUGUGCGUUUUGCUGCCCUCCUUAGUCUUUUCUUGAUUCCGCGGUAUUGUUGGAUUGAAGCGGCUUGGACCGACAUUACUCGUACGCUUACGAGAGACUGGUUUCAUCGUUACGAGUAACCCCCUUUGCUCAAAGAUGACUGGCAAGUGACGGUUUCUCCAACUUUAGUUGAAUCGGAUUUGACCGAGGAGGUCCUUGGAUGAGGUUAAAUAGCAACUCAUAUAUCUCCGUUGUGGUGUUUGCGUAAGUAAGAUGCGAUCCUACUAGAUACCCUUGGUCACCACGUAAAACAUGCAACAACAAAAUUAGAGGACGUCUAACUUGUUUUUGCAGGGUAUGAUUGUGAUGUGAUAUGGCCAAUGAUGUGAUGUGAUAUAUUGGAUGUAUGAGAUGAUCAUGUUGUAAUAGAAAUAUCGACUUGCACGUCGAUGGUACGGCAACCGGCAGGAGCCAUAGGGUUGUCUUUAUACUAACGUUUGUGCUUGCAGAUGCGUUUACUAUUUUGCUAGGAUGUAGCUUUAGUAGUAAUAGCAUGAGUAGCACGACAGCCCCGAUGGCAACACGUUGAUGGAUGAUCAUGGUGUGGCGCCGGUGACAAGAAGAUCGUGCCAGUGCUUUGGUGAUGGAGAUCAAGAAGCACGAGAUGAUGGCCAUAUCUUGUCACUUAUGAAUUGCAUGUGAUGUUAAUCCUUUUAUGCACCUUAUUUUGCUUAGAACGACGGUAGCAUUAUGAGGUGAUCUCUCACUAAAAUUUCAAGACGAAAUUGUGUUCUCCCCGACUGUGCACCGUUGCUACAGUUCGUCGUUUGGAGACACCACGUGAUGAUCGGGUGUGAUAGACUCAACGUUCACAUACAACGGGUGCAAAACAGUUGCGCACGCGGAACACUCGGGUUAAGCUUGACGAGCCUAGCAUGUGCAGACAUGGCCUCGGAACACAUGAGACCGAAAGGUCGAUCAUGAAUCAUAUAGUUGAUAUGAUUAGCAUAGGGAUGCUUACCACUGAAACUACUCUCGACUCACGUGAUGAUCGGACUUGGGAUAGUGUAAGUGGAUCAUGAACCACUCAAAUGACUGGAGAGAUGUACUUUUUGAGUGGGAGUUUAGCAUAUAAUUUGAUUAAGUUGAACUCUAAUUAUCUUGAACAUAGUCUAAGUCCACUUUGAAUAUAUUUGUGUUGUAGAUCAUGGCUCACGCAAGUGUCAUCCUGAAUUUUAAUACGUUCCUAGAGAAAGCUAAGUUGAAAUAUGAUGGAAGCAACUUUGUAGACUGGGCUCGUAAUCUUAAGCUAAUCUUACAAGCUGGAAAGAAGGAUUAUGUCCUUAAUGCUGCGCUAGGAGAUGAACCACCCGCUACGGCUGAUCAGGAUGUUAAGAACGCUUGGUUAGCGCGUAAGGAGGACUACUCAAUAGUUCAAUAUGCAGUAUUGUAUGGCUUGGAACCAGGACUUCAACGUCGCUUUGAGCGUCAUGGAGCAUUUGAGAUGUUCCAGGAGUUGAAGUUUAUCUUUCAGAAGAACGCCCGGAUCGAGAGGUGAGACCUCCGAUAAAUUCUAUGCUUGCAAGAUGGAGGAAAACUCGUCUGUCAGUGAACAUGUGCUCAAAAUGUCUGGGUACUCAAACCGUCUAGCUGAACUGGGGAUUGAACUCCCGCAAGAAGCUAUCACUGACAGAAUCCUUCAAUCACUGCCGCCAAGCUAUAAAGGCUUUGUGUUGAACUACAACAUGCAAGGGAUGAACAAGUCUCCCGGCGAGUUGUUUGCGAUGCUGAAAGUCGCAGAGUCUGAACUCCGUAAAGAGCAUCAAAGUGUUGAUGGUGAGCAAGACCACUAGUUUCAAGAGAAACGGCAAAGGCAAGAAGGGCAAUUCGAAGAAGAGCGGCAAGCCUGUUGCCAAUCCGCCGAAGAAACCCAAGGCUGGACCUAAGCCUGAAACAGAGUGCUUCUAUUGCAAGGGUAUGGGUCACUGGAAGCGCAAUUGCCCCAAGUAUCUGGCAGAUAAGAAGGCGGGCAAAGAAAAAUCAGGUAUAUUUGAUAUACAUGUUAUUGAUGUGUACUUAACCGGCUCUCGUAGUAGUGCCUGGGUAUUCAAUACCGGUUCUGUUGCUCACAUUUGCAACUCGAAGCAGGAACUGCGGAAUAGACAAAGGUUGGCAAAAGACGAAGUGACGAUGCGCGUAGGAAACGGUUCCAAGGUUGAUGCAAUCGCCGUCGGCACAGUGUCACUUCAACUACCAUCGGGAUUAGUGAUGAACUUAAAUCAUUGUUAUUUAGUGCUUGCGUUGAGCAUGAACAUUAUAUCUGGAUCUUGUUUAUUGCGAGACGGUUACUCUUUUAAGUCUGAGAAUAAUAGUUGUUCUAUUUCUAUGAGUAACAUCUUUUAUGGUCAUGCACCGAAUGUGAGAGGAUUGUUCAUAUUGAAUCUUGAUAGUGAUACGCGUAUACAUAACAUUGAGACCAAAAGAGUUAGAGUAAACAAUGAUAGCGCCAUAUUUUUGUGGCACUGCCGCUUGGGUCAUAUUGGUGUAAAGCGCAUGAAGAAACUCCAUGCUGAUGGACUUUUGGAGUCACUUGACUUUGAUUCACUUGACACGUGCGAACCAUGCCUCAUGGGCAAGAUGACUAAAACUCCGUUCCCCGGAACAAUGGAGCGUGCAAGUGACUUAUUGGAAAUCAUACAUACCGAUGUGUGUGGUCCAAUGAGCGUGGAGGCACGCGGCGGAUAUCGUUAUUUCCUCACCUUCACUGACGAUUUAAGUAGAUAUGGUUAUGUCUACUUGAUGAAGCACAAGUCUGAAACAUUUGAAAAGUUCAAGCAAUUUCAGAGUGAAGUGGAAAAUCAUCGUAACAAGAAGAUCAAGUUCCUACGGUCUGAUCGUGGGGGUAAAUAUCUGAGUUUCGAGUUUGGUGCUCACUUAAGACAAUGUGGAAUUGUUUCACAGUUAACACCGCCUGGAACACCACAGCGUAAUGGUGUGUCCGAACGUCGUAAUCGUACUUUGUUAGAGAUGGUGCGAUCUAUGAUGUCUCUUACUGAUUUGCCGUUAUCAUUUUGGGGUUAUGCAUUAGAAACAGCUGCAUUCACUUUAAAUAGGGCACCAUCAAAAUCCGUUGAGACGACACCAUACGAACUGUGGUAUGGCAAGAGGCCAAAGUUGUCGUUUCUUAAAGUUUGGGGAUGUGAUGCUUAUGUCAAAAAGCUUCAGCCUGAAAAGCUGGAACCCAAAGCGGAAAAGUGCGUCUUCAUAGGUUACCCAAAAGAGACAGUUGGGUACACCUUCUAUCUCAAAUCCGAGGGCAAAGUGUUUGUUGCUAAGAACGGAACUUUCCUCGAGAAGGAGUUUCUCUCGAGAGAAUUGAGUGGGAGGAAGAUAGAACUUGACGAGGUUGUCGAACCUCUCAUCCCUCUGGAUGGUGGCGCAGGGCAAGGGGAAACCUCUGUCAUUGCGACGCCGGUUGAGGAGGAAGUUAAUGAUGAUGAUCAUGAAAUUCCAGUUCAAGUUUCUGUUGAACCACGCAGGUCGACGAGAUCACGCACUGCUCCAGAGUGGUACGGUAAUCCCGUCUUAUCAAUCAUGUUGUUAGACAACAAUGAACCUGCAAAUUAUGAAGAAGCAAUGGUGGGCCCAGAUUCCAACAAAUGGCUAGAAGCCAUGAAAUCCGAGAUAGGAUCCAUGUAUGAGAGCAAAGUGUGGACUUUGGAGAUACUACCUGAGGGCCGCAAGGCUAUUCAGAACAAAUGGAUCUUUAAGAAGAAGACGGACGCUGGCGGUAAUGUGACCGUUUAUAAAGCUCGACUUGUGGCAAAGGGUUUUUCACAAGUUCCAGGAGUUGACUACGAUGAGACCUUCUCACCCGUAGCGAUGCUUAAGUCCGUCAGAAUCAUGUUAGCAAUAGCUGCAUUUUUCGAUUAUGAAAUCUGGCAGAUGGAUGUCAAAACGGCGUUCCUUAAGGAAGAGUUGUAUAUGAUGCAACCCGAAGGUUUUGUCGAUCCUAAAAAUGCUGACAAGGUGUGCAAGCUCCAGCGAUCCAUUUAUGGACUGGUGCAAGCAUCUCGGAGUUGGAACAAACGCUUUGAUGAGGUGAUCAAAGCAUUUGGGUUUAUACAAGUGGUUGGAGAAUCUUGUAUUUACAAGAAAGUGAGUGGGAGCUCUGUGGCGUUUCUGAUAUUAUAUGUGGAUGACAUAUUACUGAUUGGAAACAACGUAGAGCUUUUGGAAAGCAUAAAAGGUUACUUGAAUAAAAGUUUCUCUAUGAAGGACCUAGGAGAAGCUGCUUACAUUCUAGGCAUUAAGAUCUAUAGGGAUAGAUCAAAGCGCCUGAUAGGACUUUCACAAAGCACAUACCUUGAUAAAGUUUUGAAGAGGUUCAAAAUGGAACAGUCCAAGAAAGGGUUCUUGCCAGUGUUAUAAGGUACGAGAUUGAGUAAAACUCAGUGCCCAGGAACUGAUGAAGAUAAAGAGCAUAUGCGCUCCGUCCCCUAUGCUUCAGCCAUAGGCUCUAUCAUGUAUGCAAUGUUGUGCACUAGACCGGAUGUUAGCCUGGCCAUAAGUAUGACAGGCAGGUUCCAGAAUAAUCCAGGAGUGGAUCACUGGACGGCGGUCAAGAAUAUCCUGAAGUACCUGAAAAGGACUAAGGAGAUGUUUCUCGUGUAUGGAGGUGACGAAGAGCUCGCCGUAAAAGGUUACGUCGAUGCAAGCUUUGACACAGAUCCGGACGACUCUAAGUCGCAAACCGGAUACGUAUUUAUUCUUAAUGGGGGUGCAGUAAGCUGGUGCAGUUCCAAGCAAAGCGCCGUAGCAGAUUCUACAUGUGAAGCGGAGUACAUGGCUGCCUCGGAGGCGGCUAAGGAGGGUGUCUGGAUGAAGCAGUUCAUGACGGAUCUUGGAGUGGUGCCAAGUGCACUGGAUCCAAUAACCUUGUUCUGUGACAACACUGGUGCCAUUGCCUUAGCAAAGGAACCAAGGUUUCACAAGAAGACCAGACACAUCAAACGACGCUUCAACCUCAUCCGCGACUACGUCGAGGAGGAGGACGUAAAUAUAUGCAAAGUGCACACGGAUCUGAAUGUAGCAGACCCGCUGACUAAACCUCUUCCACGGCCAAAACAUGAUCGACACCAGAACUGUAUGGGUGUUAGAUUUAUUACAAUGUAAUUCACAUGGUGAUGUGAGGGCUAGAUUAUUGACUCUAGUGCAAGUGGGAGACUGUUGGAAUUAUGCCCUAGAGGCAAUAAUAAAUGUAUAGUUAUUAUUAUAAUUCCUGUAUCAAGAUAAUAGUUUNNNNNNNNNNNNNNNNNNNNNNNNNNNNNNNNNNNNNNNNNNNNNNNNNNNNNNNNNNNNNNNNNNNNNNNNNNNNNNNNNNNNNNNNNNNNNNNNNNNNGGUGAACUCCCGGAACCCAUUCGUCAUUCCCGGUACAUUCCCGGUAACUCCGAAAACCUUCCGGUAAUCAAAUGAGGUCAUCCUAUAUAUCAAUCUUCGUUUCCGGACCAUUCCGGAAACCCUCGUGACGUCCGUGAUCUCAUUCGAGACUCCGAACAACAUUCGGUAACCAACCAUAUAACUCAAAUACGCAUAAAACAACGUCGAACCUUAAGUGUGCAGACCCUGCGGGUUCGAGAACUAUGUAGACAUGACCCGAGAGACUCCUCGGUCAAUAUCCAAUAGCGGGACCUGGAUGCCCAUAUUGGAUCCUACAUAUUCUACGAAGAUCUUAUCGUUUGAACCUCAGUGCCAAGGAUUCGUAUAAUCCCGUAUGUCAUUCCCUUUGUCCUUCGGUAUGUUACUUGCUCGAGAUUCGAUCGUCAGNNNNNNNNNNNNNNNNNNNNNNNNNNNNNNNNNNNNNNNNNNNNNNNNNNNNNNNNNNNNNNNNNNNNNNNNNNNNNNNNNNNNNNNNNNNNNNNNNNNNNNNNNNNNNNNNNNNNNNNNNNNNNNNNNNNNNNNNNNNNNNNNNNNNNNNNNNNNNNNNNNNNNNNNNNNNNNNNNNNNNNNNNNNNNNNNNNNNNNNNNNNNNNNNNNNNNNNNNNNNNNNNNNNNNNNNNNNNNNNNNNNNNNNNNNNNNNNNNNNNNNNNNNNNNNNNNNNNNNNNNNNNNNNNNNNNNNNNNNNNNNNNNNNNNNNNNNNNNNNNNNNNNNNNNNNNNNNNNNNNNNNNNNNNNNNNNNNNNNNNNNNNNNNNNNNNNNNNNNNNNNNNNNNNNNNNNNNNNNNNNNNNNNNNNNNNNNNNNNNNNNNNNNNNNNNNNNNNNNNNNNNNNNNNNNNNNNNNNNNNNNNNNNNNNNNNNNNNNNNNNNNNNNNNNNNNNNNNNNNNNNNUCUCAUGGUCAUAGGAAUAAAUACUUGACACGCAGAAAACAGUAGCAACAAAAUGACACGAUCAACAUGCUACGUCUAUUAGUUUGGGUCUAGUCCAUCACGUGAUUCUCCCAAUGACGUGAUCCAGUUAUCAAGCAACAACACCUUGUUCAUAAUCAGAAGACACUGACUAUCAUCGAUAAACUGGCUAGCCAACUAGAGGCAUGCUAGGGACGGUGUUUUGUCUAUGUAUCCACACAUGUAAAUGAGUCUUCAUUCAAUACAAUUAUAGCAUGGAUAAUAAACUAUUAUCUUGAUANNNNNNNNNNNNNNNNNNNNNNNNNNNNNNNNNNNNNNNNNNNNNNNNNNNNNNNNNNNNNNNNNNNNNNNNNNNNNNNNNNNNNNNNNNNNNNNNNNNNCGAGAACUAUGUAGACAUGACCCGAGUGGCUCCUCGAUCAAUAUCCAAUAGCGGGACCUGGAUGCCCAUAUUGGAUCCUACAUAUUCUACAAAGAUCUUAUCGUUUGAACCUCAGUGCCAAGGAUUCAUAUAAUCCCGUAUGUCAUUCCCUUUGUCCUUCGGUAUGUUACUUGCCCGAGAUUCGAUCGUNNNNNNNNNNNNNNNNNNNNNNNNNNNNNNNNNNNNNNNNNNNNNNNNNNNNNNNNNNNNNNNNNNNNNNNNNNNNNNNNNNNNNNNNNNNNNNNNNNNNNNNNNNNNNNNNNNNNNNNNNNNNNNNNNNNNNNNNNNNNNNNNNNNNNNNNNNNNNNNNNNNNNNNNNNNNNNNNNNNNNNNNNNNNNNNNNNNNNNNNNNNNNNNNNNNNNNNNNNNNNNNNNNNNNNNNNNNNNNNNNNNNNNNNNNNNNNNNNNNNNNNNNNNNNNNNNNNNNNNNNNNNNNNNNNNNNNNNNNNNNNNNNNNNNNNNNNNNNNNNNNNNNNNNNNNNNNNNNNNNNNNNNNNNNNNNNNNNNNNNNNNNNNNNNNNNNNNNNNNNNNNNNNNNNNNNNNNNNNNNNNNNNNNNNNNNNNNNNNNNNNNNNNNNNNNNNNNNNNNNNNNNNNNNNNNNNNNNNNNNNNNNNNNNNNNNNNNNNNNNNNNNNNNNNNNNNNNNNNNNNNNUCUCAUGGUCAUAGGAACAAAUACUUGACACGCAGAAAACAGUAGCAACAAAAUAACACGAUCAACAUGCUACGUCUAUUAGCUUGGGUCUAGUCCAUCACAUGAUUCUCCUAAUGAUGUGAUCCCGUUAUCAAGUGACAACACUUGCCUAUGGUCAGGAAACCUUGACCAUCUUUGAUCAACGAGCUAGUCAACUAGAGGCUUACUAGGGAUAGUGUUUUGUCUAUGUAUCCACACAUGCACUGUGUUUCCAAUCAAUACAAUUAUAGCAUGGAUAAUAAACGAUUAUCAUGAACAAAGAAAUGUAAUAAUAACUAAUUUAUUAUUGCCUCUAGGGCAUAUUUCCAACAGUCUCCCACUUGCACUAGAGUCAAUAAUCUAGUUCACAUCACCAUGUGAUUCCAAUGAAUCCAACACCCAUAUAGUUAUGGGGUCUGAUCACGUCUUGCUCGUGAGAGAGGUUUUAGUCAACGGUUCUGAAACUUUCAGAUCCGUGUGUUCUUUACAAAUCUUUAUGUCAUCUUAUAGAUGCUGCUACUAUGUGCUAUUCGGAAAUACUCCAAAUAUCUACUCUACUAUACGAAUCCGUUUCACUACUCAUAGUUAUUCGGAUUAGUGUCAAAGCUUGCAUCCACGUAACCCUUUACGACGAACUCUUUAACCACCUCCAUAAUCGAGAAAAACUCCUUAGUCCAUCAGUUACUAAGGAUAAAUUUUGACCGCUGCUAGUGAUUCAAUCAUGGAUCACUCUCUGUACCUCUCAACAGACUUUGAGUCGAGGCACACAUCAGGUGCGGUACCCAGCAUGGCAUACUUCAGAUUCUACGGCCAAGGCAUAGAAGACGACCUUCGUCUAUUCUCUUUUUUCUGCCGGGGUCGGGUUUUGAGUCUUACUCAAAUUCACACCUCACAACGCAACAAAGAACUCCUUCUUUAUUGAUCUAUUUUGAACUCCUUCAAAAACUUGUCAAGGCAUGCAUCUUGUUGAAACUUCUAUUAAGUGCUUUCGAUCUAUCUCCAUAGAUAUUUGAUGCUCAACGUUCAAGUAGCGCAAUCCAGGUAUUCCUUUGAAAACUCCUUUCGAACAACCUUGUAUGCUUUAUAGAAAUUCUACAUUACUUCUGAUCCACAAUAUGUCAACCACAUAUACUUAUCAGAAAUUCUAUAGUGCUCCCACUCACUUCUUUGGAAAUACAAGUUUCUCAUAAACCUUGUACAAACCCAAAAUCUUUGAUCAUCUCAUCAAAGUGUAUAUUCCAACUCCGAGAUGCUUGCACCAGUCCAUUGAAGGAUCGCUGUGCUGGGGAACGUCGCAUGGGAAACAAAAAUUUUCCUACACGCACGAAGACCUAUCAUGGUGAUGUCCAUCUACGAGAGGGGAUGAGUGAUCUACGUACCCUUGUAGAUCGUACAACAGUAGCGUUAGAGAACGCGGUUGAUGUAGUGGAACGUCCUCAUGUCCCUCGAUCCGCCCCGCGAACAAUCCCGCGAUCAGUCCCACGAUCUAGUACCGAACGGACGGCACCUCCGCGUUCAACACACAUACAGCUCGACGAUGAUCUCGGCCUUCUUGAUCCAGCAAGAGAGACGGAGAGGUAGAAGAGUUCUCCGGCAGCGUGACGGCGCUCUGGAGGUUGGUGAUGAUUUUGUCUCAGCAGGGCUCCGCCCGAGCUCCGCGGAAACGCGAUCUAGAGGAAAAACUAUGGAGGUAUGUGGUCGGGCAGCCGUGAGAAAGUCGUCUCAAAUCUGCCCUAAAAGCCCCAUAUAUAUAGGAGGGAGGGGGACCUUGCCUUGGGGUCCAAGGGACCCUCAAGGGGUCGGCCGAGCCAAGGGGGGGAGGACUCCCCCCCCCCAAACCGAGUUGGACUUGGUUUGGUGGGAGGAGUCCCCCUCCCUUCCCACUUCCUCCCUCUUUUUUUUUCUUUUCCUUUGAUUUUCUUUUCUUGGCGCAUAGGCCCCCUUGGGGCUGUUCCACCAGCCCACUAAGGGCUGGUGUGUCUCCCCAAAGCCUAUGGGCUUCCCCGGGGUGGGUUGCCCCCCCCCCUCCGGUGAACUCCCGGAANNNNNNNNNNNNNNNNNNNNNNNNNNNNNNNNNNNNNNNNNNNNNNNNNNNNNNNNNNNNNNNNNNNNNNNNNNNNNNNNNNNNNNNNNNNNNNNNNNNNACUUUACAAAUAUCUAUCACUCCACUCUGGACAUGGUCCUGGAUGGAGUUGUAGCGGCGUUUGAUGUGCUUCGUCUUCCGGUGAAACCUGGGCUCCUUGGCAAUGGCAAUGGCCCCAGUGUUAUCACAGAAGAGUGUCAUUGGACCCGACGCGCUUGGAACCACUCCAAGGUCAGUGAUGAGCUCCUUCAUCCAAAUUCCUUCAUGUGCCGCUUCUGAAGCAGCUAUGUACUCCGCUUCACAUGUAGAUGCUGCCACGACUUCUUGCUUGCUGCUGCACCAGCUCACUGCCCCACCAUUCAACACAUAUACGUAUCUGGUCUAUGACUUAGAGUCAUCCGGAUCUGCGUCGAAGCUAGCGUCGAUGUAACCCUUUACGACGAGCUCUUCGUCACCUCCAUAAACGAGAAACACUUCCUUGGUCCUUUUCAGGUACUUAAGGAUAUUCUUGACCGCUGUCCAGUGUUCCAUACCGGGAUCACUUUGGGACAUCCCUACCAAACUUAUGGCAAGGUUUAUAUCAGGUCUGGUACACAGCAUGGCAUACAUUAGAGAGCCCACGGCUGAAGCGUAGGGGAUAGAACUCAUCUUCUCUCUAUCUGCUGCCGUGGUCGGCGACUGAGUCUUACUCAAUCUUAUACCUUGCAAAACUAGCAAGAACCCUUUCUUUGAGUUUUCCAUAUUUAACUUCUGCAAUAUCUUGUCAAGGUAUGUACUUUACGAAAGACCUAUGAGGUGUCUUGAUCUAUCUCUAUAGAUCUUGAUGACUAAUAUGUAUGCAGCUUCUCCAAGGUCCUUCAUUGAAAAACUUUUGUUCAAAUAGGCCUUUAAGCUCUCCAACAUCUCUAUAUUAUUCCCCAUCAAUAAUAUGUCAUCCACAUACAGUAUGAGGAAAGCUACAGAGCUCCCACUCACUUUCUUGUACAGACAGGCUUCUCCGUAAACCUGUAUGAACCCAAACGCUUUAAUCACCUCAUUAAAGCGAAUGUUCCAACUCCGAGAUACUUGCAGCAGCCCAUAGAUGGAGCGCUGGAGUUUGCACACUUUGUUAGCACCCUUAGGGUCGACAAAACCUUCUGGUUGCAUCAUAUACAACUCUUCCUUAAGGUUCCCGUUAAGGAACGCUGUUUUGACGUCCAUUUGCCAAAUUUCAUAAUCAUAAAAGGCGGCAAUUGCUAACAUGAUUCGGACUGAUUUCAGCUUCGCUACGGGAGAGAAAGUCUCUUCAUAGUCAACUCCUUGAAUUUGUCGAAAACCCUUUGCGACAAGUCGAGCUUUGUAAACGGUUACAUUACCGUUUGCAUCAGUCUUCUUCGUGAAGAUCCAUUUAUUUUCUAUGGCUCGCCGGUCAUCGGGCAAGUCCACCAAAGUCCAUACUUUGUUCUCAUACAUGGAUCCUAUCUCGGAUUUCAUAGCCUCAAGCCAUUUGUUGGAAUCCAGGCCCGCCAUCGCUUCUUCAUAGUUCGAAGGUUCACCGUUGUCUAACAACAUGAUUUCCAUUACAGGGUUGCCGUACCACUCUGGUGCGGAGCGUGCCCUUGUGGACCUUCGUGGUUCAGUAGUAACUUGAUCCGAAGCUUCAUGAUCAUUAUCAUUAACUUCCUCUUCAGUCGGUGUAGCUGCCACAGGAACAACUUCCCGCGCUGCGCUACUAUCCUGUUCGAGAGGGGAUGUAAUUACCUCAUCAAGUUCUACCUUCCUCCCACUUACUUCUUUCGAGAGAAACUCUUUCUCUAGAAAGGAUCCGUUCUUGGCAACAAAGGUUUUACCUUCGGAUCUAAGAUAUAAGGUAUACCCAAUAGUUUCCUUAGGGUAUCCUAUGAAUACGCAUUUCUCCGCUUUGGGUUCGAGCUUUUCUGGUUGAAGUUUCUUCACAUAAGCAUCGCAGCCCCAAACUUUAAGAAACGACAACUUAGGUUUCUUGCCAAACCAUAGUUCAUAAGGUGUCGUCUCAACGGAUUUAGACGGUGCCCUAUUUAAAGUGAAUGCUGCAGUUUCUAAUGCGUAUCCCCAAAAUGAUAGCGGUAAGUCAGUAAGAGACAUCAUAGAUCGUACCAUAUCUAAUAAAGUGUGAUUACGAUGUUCAGACACUCCGUUGCAUUGCGGUGUGCCAGGCGGCGUCAGUUGUGAAACGAUUCCACACUUCCUUAGGUGUGUGCCAAACUCGUGACUCAAAUAUUCUCCUCCAUGAUCAGAUCGUAGACACUUGAUUUUUCUGUCACGUUGAUUCUCGACCUCACUCUGGAAUUCCUUGAACUUUUCAAAUGUCUCAGAUUUGUGCUUCAUCAAGUAGAUAUACCCAUACCUACUCAAAUCAUCGGUGAGAGUGAGAACAUAACGAUAGCCACCGCCAGCUUCAACGUUCAUUGGACCACACACAUCAGUAUGUAUUAUUUCCAAUAAGUCGGUUGCUCUCUCCAUUAUACCUGAGAAUGGAGUCUUAGUCAUCUUGCCCAUGAGGCACGGUUCGAAUGUGUCAAAUGAUUCAAAAUCAAGAGACUCUAAUAGUCCAUCAGUAUGGAGCUUCUUCAUGCGCUUAACGCCGAUAUGACCAAGGCGACAGUGCCACGAGUAUGUAGGACUAUCAUUAUCAACUUUACAUCUUUUGUACUCACACUAUGAAUAUGUGUAACAUCACGAUCGAGAUUCAUCAACAAUAAACCAUUCACCAGCGGACCAUGACCAUAAAACAUAUCACUCAUAUAAAUAGAACAACCAUUAUUCUCUGACUUAAAUGAGUAGCCGUCUCGCAUUAAGCAAGACCCUGAUACAAUGUUCAUGCUUAAAGCUGGUACUAAAUAACAAUUAUUAAGGUUUAAAACUAAUCCCGACGGUAGAUGUAGAGGUAGCGUGCCGACGGCGAUCACAUCGACCUUUGAACCAUUCCCGACGCGCAUCGUCACCUCGUCCUUGGCCAGUCUCCGCUUAUUCCGCAGUUCCUGCUUUGAGUUGCAAAUGUGAGCAACAACACCGGUAUCAAAUACCCAGGAGCUACGACGAGCGCUGGUAAGGUACACAUCGAUAACAUGUAUAUCACAUAUACCUUUAACGUUGCCGGCCUUCUUGUCUGCUAAGUAUUUGGGGCAGUUCCGCUUCCAGUGACCUUUUCCCUUGCAAUAGAAGCACUCAGUCUCAGGCUUGGGUCCAUUCUUUUUCUUCUUCCCGGCAUCUGGCUUACCGGGUGCGGCAACAACUUUUCCGUCUUUCUUGAAGUUCUUCUUACUCUUGCCCUUCUUGAAACUAGUGGUCUUGUUGACCAUCAACACUUGAUGCUCUUUCUUGAUUUCUACUUCUACAGACUUAAGCAUCGAGUACAACUCGGGAAUGGUCUUCUCCAUCCCUUGCAUGUUGUAGUUAAGCACAAAUCCUUUGUAGCUUGGUGGGAGAGACCGGAGGAUUCUGUCAAUUAUAGCAUCAUCCGGAAGUUCGACUCCAAGUGAAGUCAGACGACCGUGUAACCCAGACAUUUUGAGUAUGUGAUCACUGACACAACUGUUCUCCUCCAUCUUACAGCUAAAGAACUUGUUGGAGACUUCAUAUCUCUCGACACGGGCAUGAGCUUGAAAAACUAGCUUCAGCUCCUGGAACAUCUCAUAUGCCCCGUGUUGAUCAAAACGCCUUUGGAGCCCCGUUUCUAAACUGUAUAACAUGCCACACCUAACCAGAGAGUAGUCAUCACUCCGCGUUUGCCAGACGUUCAAAAUGUCCUGGGCUGCUGCGGGAGCGGGAGGGUCACCUAGCAGCGCAUCAAGGACAUAAGCCUUUUUAGCUGCUUCAAUGAUGAGCUUCAAGUUGCGAACCCAUUCCGCAUAGUUGCUACCAUCAUCUUUCAGCUUGUUUUUCUCUAGGAAUGCGUUGAAAUUGAGGUUGACGUUGGCCAUCUACAAUAUUUAUAAAGACAAACCUUUUAGACUAAGUUCAUGACAAUUAACUUCAUUUAAUCAAAUUAAGUAUGAACUCCCACUUAAAUCGACAUCCCUCUAGUCAUCUAAGUGAUACAUGAUCCAUGUUGACUAACCCGUGUCCGAUCAUCACGUAAGACGGACUAGUCACCAUGGUCAGCAACUUCAUGCUGAUCGUAUUCAACCAUACGACUCAUGUUCGACCUUUCGGUCUCUUGUAUUCGAGGUCAUGUCUGUACAUGCUAAGCUCGUCGAGUCAACCUAGGUGUUUCGCGUGUGUAAAUCUGGCUUACACCCGUUGUAUGCGAACGUUAGAAUCUAUCACACCCGAUCAUCACGUGGUGCUUCGAGACAACGAACCUUCGCAACGGUGCACACUUAGGGGAAUACAUUCUCGAAAUUUUAAGAGGGAUCAUCUUAUUAUGCUACCGUCGUUCUAAGCAAUAAGAUGUGAAACAUGAUAAACAUCACAAUGCAAUCAUAUAGUGACAUGAUAUGGCCAGUAUCAUCUUCGCCCUUUCGAUCUCCAUCUUCAGGCAUCGCAUGAUCAUCAUCGUCACCGGCGUGACACCAUGAUCUCCAUCAUCAUGAUCUCCAUCACCGUAUCUCCGUGAAGUCGUCACGCCAACUACUACUAUCACUACUACUAUAGCUAACCGUUAGCAAUGAAGUAAAAGUAGUAAGGACAUGGCGUUGCAUCUCAUACAAUAAAUUAAGACAACUCCUAUGGCUCCUGUCGGUUGUCAUACUCAUCGACAUGCAAGUCAUGAAACCUAUUACAAUAACAUGAUCAUCUCAUACAUACAUGCAACAUCACAACUUUGGCCAUAUCACAUCACAUGUCAAACCCUACAAAAACAAGUUAGAGUCCUCUAAUUGUUGUUGCAAGUUUUACGUGGCUGAUUUGGGUUUCUAGCAAGAACGUCUUCUUGCCUACGUGACAGCCACAACGAUGAUAUGCCAAAGCUAUUUACCCUUCAUAAGGACCCUUUUCAUCAAAUCCAAUCUGACUAGAGUAGGAGAGACGGACACCCGCUAGCCACCUUUAUGCACGGUGUGCAUGUCUGUCGGUGGAACCAGUCUGACGUAAGCGCACGUGUAAAGUCGGUCCAGGCCGCUUCAUCCCACAAUACCGCCGGAAAAUAAUAAGACUAGUAGCGGCAAGAAAAUUGACAAAUCAUCGCCCAUAACUUAUGUGUUCUACUCGUGCAUAGAAUCUACGCAUAGAAAACCUGGCUCGGAUGCCACUGUUGGGUAACGUAGCAUAAAUUCAAAAUUUUCGUACGCAUAUUCAGAUCUUCCUAUGGAGAGACCAGCAACCAUAGAGGGGUAAGACCAUCUUCAUACCUUUGAAGAUCGCUAAGCGGAAGCGUUGCUAGAACGCAGUUGAUGGAGUCGUACUCGCAGCAAUUCGGAUCUAGUGCCGAACUACGGCACCUCCGCGUUCAACACACCUGCAGUCCGGUGACGUCUCCCGCACCUUGAUCCAACAAGGAGGAGGGAGAGGUUGGGGAAGAACUUCAGCAGCACGACGGCGUGGUGUCCAUGGAGAGACGAGGUCUCCCGGCAGGGAUUCGCCAAGCACCAGCAGAGAGGAGGAGAAAGAAGGGCAGGGUUGCGCCGAGGGAGAGGGAUAAGUCUGUCUCCCAAGGGCCAAAACCCCUCUCUAUUUAUAGGAGAGGGGGAGGGGCUGCGCCACCCCUAGGGCUCCCUCCCUAGGUGGUGCGGCAGCCACCAGAUGGGAAAGGAGGUGGCGGCUAGGGUGGGAGGGGGUGGCGCACCACCUGGUGGGCCUAAGGCCCACCUGUGCCUAGGGUUUGCCCCCCUUCCCUCUCCCGUGCGCAUUGGGAUGAGUGUGGAGGCGCACCAGCCCACCUAGGGGCUGGUUCCCUCCCCCACUUGGCCCACCUUACCUCCCGGGGUCGCUGCCCCCCUUCGGUGGACCCCAGGGCCACCUCUGGUGGUCCCGGUGGUCCCGGUACGUUACUGGUGAUGCCUGAAACACUUCUUGUGUCCGAAUCCAUCUGUCCUAUAUAUCAAUCUUUACCUCCGGACCAUUCCGGAGCUCCUCGUGAUGUCCGGGAUCUCAUUGGUGGACCCCAGGGGCCACUUUGAUGGUCCCGGUGGUCCCGGUACGUUACCGGUGAUGCCUGAAACACUUCCGGUGUCCGAAAUCAUCCGUCCUAUAUAUCAAUGUUUACCUCCGGACCAUUCCGGAGCUCCUCGUGACGUCCGGGAUCUCAUCCGGGACUCCGAACAACUUUCGGUAACCUCAUAUAACAAUUCCCUAUAACCCUAGCGUCACCGAACCUUAAGUGUGUAGACCCUACGGGUUCGGGAGACAGGCAGAUAUGACCGAGACACUUCUCUGGCCAAUAACCAUCAGCGGGGUCUGGAUACCCAUGGUGGCUCCCACUUGCUCCAUGAUGGUCUCAUCGAAUGAACCACGAUGUCAAGGAUUCAAUCAAUCCCGUAUACGAUUCCCUUUGUCUGUCGGUAUAGAACUUGCUCAAGAUUCGAUCGUCGGUAUGCCUAUACCUUGUUCAAUCUCGUUACCGGUAAGUCUCUUUACUCGUUCCGUAGCACGUCAUCGCGUGACUAACUCCUUAGUCACAUUGAGCUCAUGAUGAUGUUCUACCGAGUGGGCCCAGAGAUACCUCUCCAUCAUACGGGGUGACAAAUCCCGAUCUCGAUUCGUACCAAUGUCACACAGAGUGACUGAUGGGGUCAUAGUCCUAGGGUAGGGUCAUAGGCCUGCCCUACAUGUCCUACCCAAGGACUACCCCACACAAAGGACAGGACCUUAAGUCUGCCCCGACUGAAUUAAGGUAUCCUCAUCAUCCAGUCGGUAAGAGGCCCUGAAUCAUCCAGUCGGUAACUAGCAUUCGGAGGACACGAGGCUCACCGACUGGAUACACUCGGUACGUCGUAACCUCUCCGGAGGGAAACUGAUGUACGUUUCCGGGUGCAUUUAUUAGCAUUUAGAGCAUACGCUACCUGUAACGUACGCAUUCAAUCGCCACUACUCCACCCCUGAGUCAGAACCAUUGUGGGGGGCAGCGCACUCUAUAUAAGCCGCCCUCCCUCACUGGUAAAGGGGUUAGAAAAACAUUGUACUCCAUAUUACACUCGGUAACAAGCUCCGAGAGCACUGAGACGUAGGGCUAUUACCUCCACCGUAGAGGGGCCUGAACUCAUACAACCUCGCCGUAGCUAGGACUCUGCCCAUCUCAUUCGUACCCUACACAUCUACUGCCAGGCUUAUACCCACGACAGUUGGCGCCCACCGUGGGGCAGGCGUCUAAGCGACUUUCGGCGAGUUUGCGACUACUUCCUUUCGUCAUGUCGUCCGGUGGAGAUUCGAGCAUGGGUCACCAGAUCCUCUUCGGUGCUCUCUCCUUCGUCGUCGACGAUUCGGCGUGGCUUUGGGAAGCACCUCUCGACGUCGAGGCGCUUCCCCGUCGCGGGGCCACGCACUUCUGUGCCGACGCUCGCGGCGUUCUUCUUCUCCAACAAUCGGCUCCAUUGCCGGCUUGCACCUUCGUCACGCGCCGCAAUAAGCGGUCCCGUAGUCCACGUCUCCAACGUUAGGUGCAACAUGCCCGAGCGCGUCAGAUCGCGUCCUCUCAGGUGGCAGUUCUGGAGUCUGUUGUGGUUGCCCCGCGUUCCCAGUGCUCGGGCUCGGUUACGACUGAGCUCCCUUCCGAGUACGCGGGUCGUGGGCCUGCAGCAGAAGUACACAUGGACAACUCCCACGAAGAUCCCCGUCAAGCCGACCGAGGUGAAAUCGGCGAAGCAUCCGGUGCGCGCCGUCCGCCUCGUCGUUCUGCCAGUCGACACACUCGGCGGAGCAACGUGGAGUUGUUCCGCACACCUCUCCUCAACUUGGUCGCGGCUGCCCAGAUUGCCGAUUCCCUCCAGCCGACUGAUUCGGAGGCAGGCAGGGGAAUCGAGCAAAUCCGAGCUCUGUUGCGCACGGCGCAGCAGCACAAUUCGGCAGUCUCCCAGUCACACAAUCGGAUCCACAAUAGUUCCGUCCAUGCAAACACGCAUCGAUCGGUUCACAGUCCUGGUUCUCAUCAGUAUCGCUGCCGCUCACGCACCCCUCCGCGGGGUGGGCCCUAUGGGUCCCGACAUCAUGAUGAUCGGCGUUCGGUCGGCGACACUUACGACCCAAGACCCGACGCGAGGGGGCGAAUCGCCCAGCGAAGAGUCGACAGGGGUCGAGCCCACCGCGAUGGUCGCGAUAUGGACCAUCCGAAUGGAAGCAGGACCAUCGUGUCCGGCCCCGAGUGUUUUAGUCGAGCCAUCCGCUCGGCUGAUAUCCCGCCCAACUUCCGAUUAGCAGCGGGAAUCGGUAAAUUCUCAGGGGAGUCCAAGCCCGAAACAUGGCUAGACGACUACCGAGUGGCAGUCCAGAUCGGAGGAGGAGACGACCAUCUCGCUAUGAAGCACCUCCCUCUGAUGCUCGACGGCUCGGCUCGAGCUUGGCUGAACCAGUUGGCCCCUCAAGCAUUUACAGUUGGGCAGAUCUAGCCCGAGUGUUCAUCAGAACCUUCGAAGGGACGUGCAAGCGCCCUGCAGGUCUUGUGGAGCUUCAGCACUGUGUCCAGAAGCCGAAUGAGCCUCGCGCGACUUCAUCCAGCGAUGGACGACUCUCUACCACAUGGUGGAGAACGUCACCGAGCAUGAAGCAGUCUGCGCCUUCAAGGCAGGCGUGCGGUACAGAGAACUGUACUUGAAGUUCGGUCGAACGGGCGACAUCUCCAUGAGCAAGAUGAUGGAGAUAGCGGCUCGCUACGCAGAUAGCGAAGAAGAGGACCACAUCCGGAGCGGCAAACACAAGACAGUCGGCGAUGCCGACGGAGGUAACACUUGGAAGCAGAAACAAAAGGUUCCGCCCACACCGCAAGCAGAAGCCGCAGCUGUAACCAGCGCCAAGUUCAAGGUAAAAGGGAAAGCGCAGUUCACCCCCAAGAAGAAGCCUUUCAACAAUCCCAUCCUGGACCAGCCUUUUCCAGUUCACUCGAAGAUGGACGAGGAAGGCAACCCCAUAUACGCGAAGCACACCACUCGGCAGUGCCAUCUCCUGAUCCAGGGGUUCAGCGAAGGGCAGCCGAGUGAGAAGAAUCCCGAACAGGAUGAGGAGGACAAGGAGGAUCCGUUCCCCCAAGUCCAUGCAACCCUCAUGAUUUUUGCUGACGUCGAAAGCAAGAGUCGACUGAAGUUGGUGAACAGAGAAGUCAACAUGGCCGUUCCGACUGCCCCCAAGUUUCUCAAAUGGUCUGAGACUGCGAUCACCUUUGACCAGUCGGAUCAUCCAACACAUGUUCCCACCCCAGGAAGGCAGGCUCUGGUCAUCGACCCGGUGGUGGAAGGAGUCCGACUGCGCAAAGUCCUCAUGGACGGCGGUAGCGGACUGAAUAUUAUGUACGCUGACACUCUCAAGGGGAUGGGCAUUCCGAUGUCCAGACUCAGCGAGAGCAAUAUGCAGUUCCACGGAGUCGUCCCUGGACGGAAGGCCAAGUCACUCGGCCAGAUCGCAUUGGAAGUCAUCUUCGGUUCUGACAAGAACUUUCGCAAGGAGAAGCUCACAUUUGAGGUGGUGGAUUUCCAGAGCGCUUAGCAUGCAAUUCUGGGCCGCCCGGCAUACGUGAGUUUCAUGGCACGCCCGUGCUAUGUGUACUUGAAGUUGAAGAUGCCAGGUCCAAAAGGCGUUAUCACCAUCACCGGCAACCGCCAGCGAGCCGAGGAGUGUCUGCAAGAGGGAUCAAGGAUCGCCGACCAGCAGAGUCUGUACUCGAGCUCGAAGAGUACAAGAAGACAGUCGACCCUGCCGACUUAAUGCGCUCAAAGAAGCCAGCUUCUGAGUCCGCGUUCCAGUCGGCGGGAGAGACUAAGAAGGUCAGCAUCCACCCGACGGACGAGUCUGCCGCCCUGACGAACAUCUCCACCACCCUAGAUCCUAAAUAGGAAGCCGAGCUCACCGAAUUCCUCCGUGAGAACUAGGACAUCUUCGCAUGGAAGCCAUCUGACAUGCCGGGUGUACCUAGGGAGUUGGAUGAGCACCGACUACAUGUGGAUCCCGCCGCUCGGCCUGUCCGAGAGCGCCUGCGCCGGUCCACCGCGCACAAGAGGAAGGCAAUCGGAGAAGAGGUGGCUAAGCUGCUAGCUGCCAACUUCAUUCGCGAGGUUCACCACUCCGAGUGGCUUGCCAAUGUCGUCAUGGUGCCCAAGAAGGACAAGUCACUCCGAAUGUGCAUUGACUUCAAGCACCUCAAUAAGGUCUGCCCGAAAGACCAUUUUCUGCUCCCCCGCAUAGAUCAAAUUGUCGAUUCGACUGCAGGAUGCGAGCGUUUUUCAUUUCUUGAUGCCUACUCGGGUUAUCAUCAUAUCCGUCUGUAUGGUCCCGAUGAGUUGAAAACAGCUUUCAUCACCCCGUUUGGGUGCUUCUGCUACAUCACUAUGCCUUUCGGUCUGAAGAAUGCAGGAGCUACCUUUAUGCGCAUGAUCCAAAAAUGUCUCCUCGACCAGAUUGGUCGCAAUGUGGAGGCAUACAUGGAUGAUAUCAUAGUCAAGUCACGCAAAGGUUCCGAGCUGCUGACUGACUUGGCAGAAACAUUCGCCAACCUUUGUAGGUACAAUAUCAAGCUAAACCCAGCCAAAUGUUCAUUCGGUGUUCCCAGCGGAAAGUUACUCGGUUUCUUCGUUUCCGAGCGAGGGAUCGAUGUUAGCCCCGAAAAGAUCGGGACCAUCGUCUGAAUGGAGAGGCCGGUCAGAAUACACGAUGUUCAACGGCUCACAGGUUGCCUAGCGGCUUUGAGCAGGUUCAUCAGUCGACUCGGCGAAAAAGCACUUCCUCUGUACCGACUCAUGAAGAAGUCAGAUACCUUCGAGUGGACAGACGAAGCCCAAGUCGCAUUCGACGACCUCAAAGUCCUACUUUCCACCCAGCCGGUUCUUACUGCUCCGCUCAGUAAAGAUCCCCUUCUUCUAUAUAUCGUGGCUACAAAUCAAGUCGUCAGUACUGUUCUUACAGUCGAGCGAGAAGAAGAAGGCAAAGCAUACAAAGUUCAGCGGCCAGUGUACUACGUCUCCGAAGUCCUGACACCUUCCAAGUAGAGGUAUCCCCACUAUCAAAAGCUUAUCUAUGGGAUCUAUAUGACUCCAAAGAAGGUGGCCCCUUAUUUCCAAGACCACUCGGUAUCUGUCGUUUCUGAUGCUCGGUUGUCGAAAAUUCUCCACAAUCGGGACGCAUCGGGCCGAGUGGCGAAGUGGGCGAUGGAGAUGCUGUACUGCGACAUCAAGUUCGAGGCCAAGAAAGCUAUUAAGUCUCAAGCCCUGGCUGACUUUAUAGCAGAAUGGGUAGAACAACAACAACCGACUCACAUCUACUCGGCUCAUUGGACAAUGUUCUUUGAUGGGUCUAAGAUGUUGAAUGGAUCCGGCGCUGGUGUUGUGAUCAUAUCGCCAAAGGGCGACAAGCUCAAGUACGUGCUUCAGAUACACUUUGAUUCCUCUAACAACGAGGCAGAGUAUGAAGCUCUUCUCUAUGGAUUGCGCAUGUCCAUCUCACUCGGCGUCCGUCGCCUGAUGGUCUACGGCGAUUCGGACUUGGUGGUCAACCAAGUGAUGAAAGAGUGGGACGUAAGGAACCCCACCAUGACGACAUACUGCAAUGCAGUUAGGAAGCUGGAGAAGAAGUUUGAAGGUCUAGAACUUCAUCAUGUUCCAAGACUGAAGAACCAAGCAGCGGACGAGUUGGCGAAACUCGGAUCCACUCGGAGACCAGUCCCGAGUGAUGUCUGCCUUGAGCACCUCCAUCUUCCUUCAGUUAAAGAAGAUCCCUUCACGGAAGAACCAGUACAACCAAGAGCGCAACAGAUCCGACUGAAGUCGAUGUGCCUGCUGUGGUUGAUCUGGUCACAGAGAUUCUGGUAAUCAUUCCCGAUUGGGCUGUGCCGAUCAUGGCAUAUAUCCUGAGACAAGAACUUCCAGAAGAUGAAGUCCAAGCCCGGCAAAUAGUUCGCAGGUCGAAGGCAUUCACUGUCAUUGACGGUCAAUUGUACAAGGAGAGUGUUUCAGGCGUCCUCCAACGUUGCAUUUCCCCAGAGGAAGGACAGUUGAUCCUAGAGGAUAUCCACUCGGGAACCUGCAGCCAUGACGCUUCUUUGAGAGCAAUCAUCGCCAAGGCGUUCAGAGCUGGAUUCUUCUGGCUGCAGGCUAACGAGAUGGCCAAAGCUAUGGUCGACCGAUGCGAAGGCUGUCAGUUCUACUCCAACAAGUCCCACAAGCCAACAUCUGCACUAAAGACAAUCCCACUUGUGUGGCCAUUUGUAGUUUGGGGAUUAGACACAGUCGGACCAUUCAAGACAGGCCAAGGAGGCUACACACAGCUGUUGGUGGCAGUCGACAAGUUUACAAAAUGGAUAGAAGCUAAGCCCAUCAAGAAACUCGACGCCUCCACAGCCGUUAAGUUUGUCAGGGACAUCAUCUCCAGAUUCGGAGUGCCUCACAGCAUAAUCACGGACAAUGGGACAAACUUCGACUCGGACAGAUUCAAAGGUUUCUGUGCGAGUCAGGGUAUCCGAGUGGAUUUUGCUUCCGUAGCAUAUCCGCAAUCCAAUGGACAAGCUGAGCGUGCGAAUGGACUUAUCCUUCAAGGUUUGAAACCUCGACUCUUGCGAGUGGUAGGACAUGCUGCUGGUGCAUGGGUAACCGAGUUACCUUCAGUACUUUGGGGCCUCCGCACCACUCCGAAUAGAUCAACAGGGCGAUCACCGUUCUUCCUCGUCUAUGGAGCAGAAGCGGUCCUUCCGAGUGACCUGCUUCACAAUGCCCCGCGAGUCGAACUCUUCUCCGAAGCCGAAGCAGAACAAGCAAGGCAAGAUGGAGUCGAUCUUCUAGAGGAGGAGCACGAGAUGGCACUUACUCGCUCAACAAUUUACCAGCAAGAUCUGCGACGUUUUCAUGCACGUCAUGUCAGGAGCCGCACAUUCCAAGCUGGCGAUUUGGUGCUCCGAGUGGAUCGGCAAAGACCACACAAGUUGGCUCCGGCCUGGGAAGGGCCUUUCAUCAUUUCCAAGGUGCUGAACAAUGGGGCAUACAGACUCUACAACAUUCAGAGGGAGACAGACGAGCCACGCGCAUGGAACGGAGACCUCCUCAAUCGUUUUUAUACGUGAUCGUCGACUGAAGCAGUGUAACGAACAAGUUUUGACGAAAUAAUAUACAACAGAUUCAGUUUUUUGGCAGAUUCAGAGUUCUUCCGCGGUUGCAGACUACGGUCACACACACACACACAAAAACGUAGCUGCGAUCCCGAAUCGCCUAAGUACUACCUUCCUCCGAGUGUGCACUAUACGUCGCACUCGAGGACUUAGCUGCGAUCCUCAAUCGCCUAAGUACUAACCUCCUUCGAGUGUGCACUAUACGUCGCACUCGGGGACUUAGCUGCGAUCCUGCAUCGCCUAAGUACUAACCUCCUUCGAGUGUGCACUAUACAUCGCACUCGGGGACUUAGCUUUGAUCCUGCAUCGCCUAAGUAAUAACCUCCUUCGAGUGUGCACUAUACGUCGCACUCGGGGACUUAGCUGCGAUCCUGCAUCGCCUAAGUACUAACUUCCUUCCAGUGUGCACUAUACGUCACACUCGGGGACUUAGCUGUGAUCAAGAAUCGCCUAAGUAUUAACUUCCACCUCCUUCGAGUGCGCACUAUACGUCACACUCGGGGACUUAGCUGUGAUCAAGAAUCACCUAAGUACUAACCUCCUUCGAGUGUGCACUAUAAGUCGCACUCGGGCACUUAGCUGCGAUCCUGCAUCGCCUAAGUACUAACCUCCUUCGAGUGUGCACUAUAAGUCGCACUCGGGCACUUAGCUGCGAUCCUGCAUCGCCUAAGUACUAACCUCCUUCGAGUGUGCACUAUAAGUCGCACUCGGGCACUUAGCUGCGAUCCUGCAUCGCCUAAGUACUAACCUCCUUCGAGUGUGCACUAUAAGUCGCACUCGGGCACUUAGCUGCGAUCCUGCAUCGCCUAAGUACUAACCUCCUUCGAGUGUGCACUAUACGUCGCACUCGGGGACUUAGCUGCGAUCCUGAAUCGCCUAAGUAUUAACAUCCUUCGAGUGCGCACUAUACGUCACACUCGGGGACUUAGCUGCGAUCCUGAAUCGCCUAAGUAUUAACCUCCUUCGAGCGCGCACUAUACGUCGCACUCGGGGACUUAGUUGCGAUCCUUAAUCGCCUAAGUAUUAACCUCCUCCGAGUGUGCAUUAUACAUCACACUCGGAGACUUAGUUGUGAUCAAGAAUCACCUAAGUACUAACCUCCUCCGAGUGUGCACUAUACGUCACACUCGGGAACUUAGCUGUGAUCACGAAUCACCUAAGUCUUAAUAUUAUCCGAGUACACACUAAGUGUUGCACUCGAAACAGAAUUCAAGCAAAAGACUAAAUGUUUUCAUUCCGACUCCAACAGUCUAGAAACAAUAAUUGACUCGGUGCGGAUCAAGCUUACCCGCACCGAUUUAAAAGUUUGACGGCCAACAGAAGUGGCCAGAGUAUCUUACAGGCAAACACUCGGCAUACCGAGGAUAAAGUUUGAUCACGCGUCAGCUGGGCCGGCGUCAGGACUGGAGGGCUCCACAAAAGUAUCCAAGUCGAUUCCAUCAGCAAUGCGGGUAGCAGUCUCCAGGAACGUCUCCAUGAAGUCUUCGAAUCGAAGCUUCUUCGUGUUGGCGACCUUCAAUGCUUUCAGCUUAUCUUCCCGCACCUCCUUGCAAUGGACUCGGACCAAGGACAGCGCAACAUCAGCACCGCAACGCGCUGCCGAUUUCUUCCACGAUUGCACUCGGCUCGGAACCUCCUCCAGUCGGCUCGUCAGGGUCUCCAUCCCCUCCUGCGACUCGUCUUCUGGCCAAAGUUCCUUGUUAAUUCGGCCGACGACUUCUCUCAGUCGACCGAUGAAAGGACCUACUUUGCCUACGUGGAUAUGUGCUCGGAGCAGAUCCCGAUUGGCGUCCUCACCGAGUGGAACUUUGUCCUUAACAGACCGCUCCACAGCUGCUGCCUCAGCUUCCGCGUCUCCGCAAAAGUCUGCAACAAACGAGCAAGCAUACAAUGAAAACCGAGUGUACGACACACCGUACAACCACUCAAUAAAGCAUAAAACUUACCAGCCAGACGAGUCAUCAUUUGCGCAGCCCAGUCGGUGACAUACUUCUCUUGAGCUAAGCAUCAUCUGUUCAGGACGCCCAUCUGAUUGUGACACUCAGUCCUGUGUUUCUUCAGUCUCUCCACCUCUGCCUCAACACCCUGUUUGCUUCCAGGGCCUCCUCCAAAGACUUCUCUCGAACUUCCAGCGCGUCUUUCAUGCCGGCCAUGGCGAGCGUUGCAGCUUCCAGUUCACCAGCAUACUGGUUCCUUUCCGCUCUAAGGGCUUCAUAAGCAGUUCCCAUUUCACAAGUUUUCUGCACCAAGAAACAAAGGGUAAUCAGCAAGUUUAUCAGUUCACAGGCUAAGUUCUUCAGACCCCCUGCCGACGCAAGCGGUCGACAGCGGUCUCGGGGACUACACCCAGUGGGUUCACUAAGAGUGACCCCACUAGCAUGCACCUCAAACAGGUCUGCCCUAUUGAGGUGCACGUUUUCACCUACGCCUCCGAGGCCAAUACUACUCGACCUGCGUGCAAUUUACUCUCGGGGCCUCUUACCGCAAGAGUGCUCCGACUGCAGUAAGUACUCGCACUCGGAAAUCUUGUCUACGGACAAAACCAAACUAAAGACCAAAUGUAUAAAGACAACUGUCGGUGCAAGCACUCGACAGAAGUCUCGGGGACUACACCCACUGGUUCACUCGGAGUGAACCCAUUGCAAAAAUAAUACCACUCAGUGGGUUAUAGGAGAAAAGUAAAUACUUACUAGACUACUUACUCGAAUGUCGUCGCGCAGCUCCAAGCUCCGCUGGUACAACGCCGCAACGGAGUCAAAAGCCCUCUUGGCUUCUCCAGCCAUGAGCUCCGCCUGCACCAUAGCCCCCUUGGCCGCUCCCACCUGCUCCUUUGGAAGACGCCGGAUGCUGAAUUCAACAUUCGACGAACCGGGAAUCGUGGGAGGCCCCUGGGGCAUCCCAAGAUCCACCCCAGUCGGGUCCUCCCCCGUCGGCACCGGUUCAGUCGGUGGAGGCGCUUCGGUCGGCGGAGCGUUGGCGACAAGGGCGGCAGCAGGAGGAGCAGCCUCAGGGAAUGGCUCCAGGACCGGCUCCACGGCGGGGUCGGCUCUCCCUUGCUCGUCCUCGUCCAGGUGAAUCGCCCCUGACAAGCCGAAUGGCGCGACGACUCAGAAAAAGAAAAGGAUGGCACAAUCUACUGGAAUAAAACACCCGACUCUCCUACAACAUACCUGGCUGGGACGAGACGACGUUGUCCAUGUCCAUGGGGUCAUCCCCUUGGCGGGCCGGAGAGGUUGCAGAAGUGGCGACCCUGUUGAGUGAAGCCCAUUCGACUUGUAAAGCAGGAGUUCACUCGGAUAACGUAAAAAGCCGAAAGUUAGAUUCACUUACGUGGAUGUGACGGGGAUGGCAACCCUCAUGCGCGGCAGAGCCUUCCGAGGUUUGGGCCCACUCGGUUUGGGCGCCCUGGAAGACUGGCCUGCGGGCUCGGCGGGGGCGUCCCUGGACCUCUUCGUGCCUCGAGCACUCGGGGCCACCAGAGCGGCAGGCGGAGCACUCGACGACGUAGGAGGAGCUGAAGGGACGGCAGGCUUGUGUCGACGCUUACUCCGAUGCUCUGGCCGUGGAGGUGGCGAGUCGCGCUCUUCGUCUUCUUCCUCCUCCUUGCUGUCCUCCUCCUCUGACUCCCCGCUGUCGGAGACGUAUUUUGCGCUCUCCACGCUCCCCUCCUGGCUGCCUUCCUCCUCUUCCUCCUCCGGAUUCCCGUUCGAGACGGGGGAGAACCAGUUGGUCCACUCCUGCAUGAGGAUCAGUCGGAAACGUUAAACAUCACACGAGGAUAUAAAUAAACGACUGGAAUAAAGACGAUUCGACGCACUCGGCUGAUGCCACUCACCUGAUUCGGUGGAGGGUUGUCCGCGCUGUAAGGCGCCACUCGGCAAGCUCCUUUAGGGUUCUCACAAGGACCCGUGAUUUGGAGCACUAACGAGGUCACCUUCUCCUCGAGUAUGCCCACCACGAUGGUCCGAGUGGAAUCCUCGGGCCCUGUGUAGUGUCACAUAGCGUGGUCCCGAGCAUGCAGAGGCUGGAUCCGCCGACCGAUGAAGACUUCCAGCAGGUCUAUACCGGUUACUCCUCUCCUGACAACGUCCACGAGUGCCUCAACCAAAGGCUGGAUAUCGUUCUUCUCGGCCUUGGAGAGCGCGAGUUGUUUGGGUGGAGCAGGACGGUCUAGACUAAACGGAGGCAGCCCAGUCGAAGCAUUCGGACAGGCUAUGUCCUGGCAAUAGAACCACGUCGACUUCCAGUUCCUGACCGACUCGCUCAACUGGAGAGCGGGAUAGCUACUCCGACUCUUCUUCUGAAACCCUAAACCCCCGCAGAGCUGGAGGAGAUGCGUCUUGUCAUCCAACUGACUAAGACAUUUGAUGGUUUGAGAGCGGGCGGAGAAGAUAUGUUUGAAUAAACCCCAAUGGGGGGGCAACCGAUAAAGCACUCGCACAAAACAAUGAAGGCAGAAAGAUGGGCGAUGGCAUUCAGAGGGAAGUGAUGGAGUUGAGCACCAAAAUGAUUCAUGAUGCCUUUAAAGAAGGGAUGCGGGGGCAGAGAGAAACCUCUGUGAACAUGGCUGAGGAGCAAGACGCGCUCCCCCUCCCGUGGCGCCGGCUUGACCUCGUCGUCCGCCGGCAACCUCCAGGACUUAUGCGCGAGCAGGCCGUGCUCUACCAGCUCCAGCAGGUCCCCCUCCGUCACCGUGGAGGGGAGAAAGUCUCCCUGGAUCCACCCCGCUGGCAACGGCCGCUGCCGCCGUUGAGCAGCUGCCACCUUGCUCUUCUUCUUCCUCGCCUCCAUCUUGCUGGUCUGACCUUUGGUCAUGGAGGCGACGACGAGCUCUCGAGAAGGAGAGGAAGAGAGGGGUGUAUGAGCGCAGGAGGUGGCAAGGAAGACGGAGCAGGCAAGAGCGAAAGAUUCGGCGAGCGUAACCGAAGGGUCUCGUCGCCCAGAGUUAAAUAGAGCACCGACUGGGUCGCUGGCGAGCGGGCUCGAAAUCUUAUCUACCCAACCAGCCGCGGCGAUAUCAGUGGAGGAGUUGAAGGCGCAAGGACCGAGGAGUCAGGCGCUACUCGAGCGCGCUGACGUCGUCCCCGCUGAGCGCGCGGAACCCGAAAUUUGAGAUCCCGGAAAAUCCGCCGCUGUCAGUUGACUGGUCGCGUCAAAAGAUGCCGUGGAAGCACUCGGUUCCCGACAGUCUGUUUCGCAAGCACUUCCACUCGGAGCGUUGGUCGAGAGAGAUAAAAUGGAUAGAGGCAAGCAAUGCCCAAGCCGAACCUAGUUCAGUCGGAUCUGAACCUCAAGCACCGCUUCUACGUUUCAACCCCAAUCCAUUCGGGGACUAAUGAUGGGGUCAUAGUCCUAGGGUAGGGUCAUAGGCCUGCCCUACAUGUCCUACCCAAGGACUACCCCACACAAAGGACAGGACCUUAAGUCUGCCCCGACUGAAUUAAGGUAUCCUCAUCAUCCAGUCGGUAACAGGCCCUGAAUCAUCCAGUCGGUAACUAGCAUUCGGAGGACACCAGGCUCACCGACUGCAUACACUUGGUACGUCGUAACCUCUCCGGAGGGAAACUGCCGUACGUUUCCGGGUGCAUUUAUUAGCAUUUAGAGCAUACGUUACCUGUAACGUACGCAUUCAAUCGCCACUACUCCACCCCUGAGUCAGAACCGUUGUGGGGGGCAGCGCACUCUAUAUAAGCCGCCCUCCCCCACUGGUAAAGGGGUUAGAAAAACAUUGUACUCCAUAUUACACCCGGUAACAAGCUCUUUCACAUGUUAGGAAUUUUGUUAAUUUAAAAGCAAAGAGAUUAUUAUUUUUUUCUAAAAUAAAUUGCAUUAAUUAAAGAGAUAAAAGUGUGGUUGGAUAAGUUAGGAAAGCGAGAUCUGUGUUUUUCUUAUGUUAAAAAAGUGUUGAAUUGAAAGAAAAGAGUAGACAGAAAAAUAAAUCAAUAGAUAAGGAAACUAGCGAAAGGGGAUGAUGGAAUGUGGGAUGAAAAAUAACCGCAAAAAACCAAUGUACCAAAAAAACAUGUAUAUCGGGCUACCAACUUCUCAAUUAAAAUUAGAGAUAAAUGAAUGGACUGUCGCAAUACCACGAAGUACUUGAUCCCUAAUUUCUGCAGUGAUACGUGUACUAAUUGAAUGUUGAUCCCCUAACUUCAGCAGUGAUACGUGAUGCACUACUUAAAGGUUUUACGGUUCCCCACAUGUUCUCCUAUGACUGUUUUUUUGCCCCUUCGCUCAUCCUCCUAGCGAACACAGCACCUGAUGAUGGUGCCGUCGAUUUUUUUUUUAAAAGGGUGGAUUUUAUUAUUGAAAUUAAAGCAUCAAGUCAAUACAAUCAAAAUAAACAUAAAUCCGGCCUCUGCAAAGCUAGAAUGCACAUAGCCAACACUAACCAACACGGAAAAACCGCCGACAAAUAACAAAGUUAUGGCCGGAGGUUUAACCUCCUUUUCUAAAAAAAAAAAUAAAAAAAAAAAUAACAAAGUUAUAUAAGACCAAAGCUAUGCCUAAGCAAGAAAAAAAUACGAAAUGAUUAAAUCCGCGGUAGACAGUCUACAACAAUAACCAUAUCCGCACCAACCAUUUCAUGACAUCACAAAGACAACGGGGUUCUUUAAAAACAACGCCUUCAGGAAGGGACCUUGUCUCGUGUAGCCUUAGGGCUAUGGGAGCACGAUGGAUCCCGAUUCUUGCCGGUGGGAGGGCUUCGUUUUUAUGCGUUUCUUUGUGUUUUAUUAAGGUUUGUGUCAUGUUCAAAAAACCGAGUCGGUGGUGUCUCUCUCAAGAGGGAAUAAUGGUCUCCCCGUCUAGCCCCGUCCCCGUGGUGCAUCUAGCAUCGUCAGAGGGUGUCUGGGGGUAUCGCUUUGGCGGAUCUCGCAGGAUCCGCUCGAUAGUUGUCUUUGAUGGAUCUACUUGGAUCUAGUCUUCGUUCGUCUACACGAGUGUAUCUUCAGGUUGGAUACUUUUGAUUUAUGCUUAAUCUUCAUCACUGAUGGUUGCUCUUCUGGUGCGCUGGUCUUAUGGGGUCUCGGCACGAAGGGUCUUAGCACGAAGACUUCAUGAUUGUCUACUACAACAAGUUUUGCUCUGCUUCGAUAAGGAACUGGUGAAGACGACGACGUGCCUUCGGCUCGCUUCAACGCUUGUAGUCGUCGCUGGUGGUCUACGGAUCUAGAUGUAAUUUUAUUAUAUUUAGUGUCUGUUAUACUGUCAUGAUAGACAAUGGAUAUAUUGAAAGUUUUUUGAAAAAAACAAAAACAAUUGUUUUUGUGUGACACAAUCGUGAAACAGUUGAACACAUGAUUUACAACUUCACACCAGAUACUUACCAGUACAUGAUUUACAACUUCACACCAGUACAUAUCUUGCAAUAAGUCCGAACCUACUUACCAGCAAUCUUAGUACUUUUAAUGACUGUCCUUUCUCGUUUUUAAUGUGCACGAUCUUAUUUCCUUCAGGGCAAAGAGUCGUCAUGUUUGGUGCAAAUGUACAACUAAAUCAUUGCCUGUGUUUGUGUGCCCCUUUUCCAAAGAAAGCCAUUAUGUGCUCCAGUGCUUUUGGGAUGUUAUUUGAGUGACUAUAAUUAAAAUCCAUAAUGGCCUAUUGCUUAUAGGCUUUAGUUUGAUGUUACGGAUUCAGGUUGUGGAGAAGCUCAUGGUCUAAUUAUAAUCAAUAGUGGUCAUCUCUUAUUUGUUGCGUAUGUAAAGUUGAUAUGCCAAUUAGAUAUUCACCAUUGUAAUGGGUGUAUCGUGUAUAGAUUAUGAAAAAACCUCCGCGUCUUAAUCCAUCAAGCUGUAAAAAAACUUAAUCCAUCAUAGUCACUAAAACUCAUACACUGCAAGAAGCAAACAAGGCACCAAUUGAAAAGCUCGGAAAGCCACGGCGUAGUACGCCUUGAACUGGUUAGGAAAAAAGGCAGAUCCAUUACUUAUUGUAUCCUUGAACCAACCGUCUCAGAUAUAUGAAAGACCACAAUAUGAAAAAUANNNNNNNNNNNNNNNNNNNNNNNNNNNNNNNNNNNNNNNNNNNNNNNNNNNNNNNNNNNNNNNNNNNNNNNNNNNNNNNNNNNNNNNNNNNNNNNNGAUACAAAAACAAAAGAGGAGAUGAGAACAAACGUCCCAUGACAAAGAUGAACUCGGUAGAUACUCCUUGUGCGCUUGUCCAAGAUUAGAUUCUCCUGUAUUGCUCACAUACUUCCGAGGAAACCCUAAAUCUAGUCUUUCAAAAUGGAUGAUGGCGAAGCUAUUAGCUUUGCUUAAUACCGUGUUUCAUGUUGGGGGCAUCGUCUUGGAGGUGGAUCGAGUAAGAGGGCACAUGGCUUAUGGAGGUGAUUCGUGGCGGCUUGCAUAGCAUUACAGUGGGGGUGUGCGUGAGACCGCUGAUGGUGGAAAGCUAUGACAUUCCCGGAUUAAGCUACAUUAACCUCGUAAUUAAGCUACAAUAACCCCUAUAAUCAAGCUACAGUAAUCAUCAUGAUUAAAUUAAUGCUUUUGCUACGCAGUGCUUGAUCAAACUUUGGAUCAUUUCUCAUUUUAAAUUUCUAUUAAAAUUCAAAAUUCAGUUAAUAAGUGGAAUAAAUAUUUUGUCAAACAUGAAAAAAAAUCAUGAUUAGAUUGCAAAUAUUCACGUGAUAAUUAUAAAAUAUGAAACCUUAUUUUAUAAAACUAACCCAACCGGCCACUAUACCACCUCGGGUAUUUAAGCCCCCACUCCCCAUGUAAACCCUAACCCCCACUCAUUCCUGUUGAAAAUAUGCCCUCGAGGCAAUGAUAAAUAGUUAUUAUUAUAUUUCCUAUUUAAAGAUAAUCGUUUAUUAUCCAUGCUAUAAUUGUAUUGAAUGAAAACAUAGAUACAUGUGUGUAUAUAUAGACAAAACAAUGUCCCUAGCAAGCCUCUAGUUGGCUGGCCAGUUGAUCAAUGAUAGUCAAGGUUUUCUGGCUAUAUGCAAGUGUUGUAACUUGAUAACUGGAUCACAUCAUUAGGAGAAUCAUGUGAUGGACUAGACCCAAACUAUGAACGUAGCAUAUUGAUCGUGUCGUUUUAUUGCCAUUGUUUUCUGCGUGUCAAGUAUUUGUUCCUAUGACCAUGAGAUCAUAUAACUCACUGGCACCGGAGGAAUACCUUGUGUGCAUCAAACAUCGCAACGUAACUGGGUGACUAUAAAGGUGCUCUACAAAUAUCUCCAAAAGAGUCCGUUGAGUUAGUAUGGAUCAAGACUGGGAUUUGUCACUCUGUGUGACGGAGAGGUAUCUCGGGGCCCACUCGGUAAUACAACAUCACACACAAGCCUUGCAAGCAAUGUGACAAUUGUAAGUUACGGAAUCUUGUAUUACAGAACGAGUAAAGAGCCUUGCCGGUAACGAGAUUGGAAUAGGUAUGCGGAUACCGACGAUCAAAUCUCGGGCAAGUAACAUACCGAAGGACAAAGGGAAUGACAUACGGGAUUAUAUGAAUCCUUGACACUGAGGUUCAACCGAUAAGAUCUUCGUAGAAUAUGUAGGAUCCAGUAUGGGCAUCCAGGUCCCGCUAUUGGAUAUUGACCGAGGAGUGCCUCGGGGCAUGUCUACAUAGUUCUCGAACCCGCAGGGUCUGCACACUUAAGGUUCGAUGAUGUUUUAGUAUAGUUGAGUUAUAUGUGUGGUUACCGAAUGUUGUUCACAGUCCCGGAUGAGAUCACGGACGUCACGAGGGUUUCCGGAAUGGUCCGGAAAGAAAGAUUGAUAUAUAGGAUGGUUUCAUUUGGUCACCAGAAAGUUUCGGGCAAUUCCGGCAUUGUACCGGGAGUGACGAAUGGGUUCCGGGAGUUCAUCGGGAGGGGCCCACUCACCCGGGAGUGAGCCCAAGGCACUAGGGUGGCUUCACAAGUCCUUAGUGGGCUGGUGGAUGACACGUCUCCGUCGUAUCUACUUUUCCGAACUCUUUUGCCCUUGUUUUGGACUCUAAUUUGCAUGAUUCGAAUGGAACUAACCCGGACUGACGCUGUUUUCGGCACGAUUGCCAUGGUGUUGUUUUUGUGGAGAAAUAAAAGUUCUCGGAAUGUGCUGAAAAUUUACGGAGAAUUUUUCUGGAAUAAAAAAAAUACCUGCGCAAAGAUCCACCGGAGGAGGCGUGCGAGUGGGCCACAAGCCCACAGGCCGCGGCCACCCCCACUGGUCGCGCCGUGAGGGCUUGUGGGGCCCACGUGGCACCACCGCCCCCAAACUCAGCUCUAUAUCUUCCGUCUCGCCCGGAAAAAAAAUCAGAGAGAAGGCUUCAUCGCGUUUUACGAUACGGAGGCACCGCCACCCCCCGUUCUUCAUCUGGAGGGCAGAUCUGGAGUCCGUUUUGGGUUUCGGAUAGGGGAAAUUGUCGCCAUCAUCAUCAUCAACCUUCCUCCAUCGAGAAUUCCAUGAUUCUCUUCAUCGUUCGUGAGUAAUCUCAUCGUAGGCAUGCUGGACGGUGAUGAGUUGGAUGAGAUCUAUCAUGCAAUCGAGUUAGUUUUUUACGGGGAUUGAUCCCUAGUAUCCACUAUGUUCUAGAUUGAUGUUGCUACUACUUGGCUAUGCUUAAUGCUUGUCACUAGGGCCCGAGUGCCAUGACUUCAGUUCUGAACCUAUUAUGUUGUCGCCAAUAUAUGUGUGUUUUAGAUCCUAUCUUGCAAGUUGUAGUCACCUACUAUGUGUUAUGACCCGGCAACCCCGGAGUGACAAUAGCCGGAACCACUUCCAGAGAUGACCAUAGUAUGAGGAGUUCAUGUAUUCACCAAGUGUUAAUGUGUUGGUCCGGUUCUUUAUUAAAAGGAGAACCUUAAUAUCCCGUAGUUUCCAUUAGGACCCCGCAGCCACGGGAGGGAUGGACAAUAGAUGUCAUACAAGUUCUUUUCCCUAAGCACGUAUGACUACAUACGGAAUACAUGCCUACAUUAGAUUGACGAACGGGAGCUAGUUACAUAUCUCUCUGUGUUAUAGCUGUUACAUGAUGAAUCACAUUCGUCAUACUCAUCCAUCACCGAUCCACUGCCUACGAGUAUUUUACUACUGGUCCUAGCUACGUUACUUUGUCUAGGCUUGUCCCUUGCUACAAAAGGGAUUGGGCCACUUGGUUGCUACUAUUGCUAGUGCUGUCACUUUGCUAAUAUUGUUGCUACUGUUGUUACUUUGCUGCUGCUGCUACUACUGUUCCUUGCUACUUUGCGACACUGUUGUCGGGGAAGAAUAGUUACUUGCCCACGUGCAACCUACUGGCGCCAUUGAUACAACAGUUAGGAAUAGUCUGCGGUCAACAAAUCGUUUCUGACACCGUUGCUAUCAUACUAGUUUGCUACUGAUACUUUGCUUGCAUACACUAAUCUUUCAGGCAUGGUUGAAUCUGACAAACUCAGCUGCUAAUACUUGAGAAUAUUCUUUCGCUUCCCCUUUGGCGAACCAACAAAUUUGGGUCGAAUACUCUACCCUCAAAAACUGUUGCGAUCCCCUACACUUGUGGGUUAUCAGUGGAGUCGGCCCAAGGGGCCCAUGGCGCCACAUAAGAAAAUACCAAAAGAAAAUAAAAGAAAAAGGGAAAUAGGGAGGUGGGAAGGAAGAGGAGUCCUCCUCCUCCCCACACCGAAUUGGAGGAGGAGUCCUCCUCCUCCCCUUGGCCGGCACACCUUGAGGGCUCGUCCCUCAAGGCUAGCCCUGCCCCUCCCUCCUAUAUAUAGUGGUGUUUUAGGGAUGAUUUGAGACAACUUUUUGCCAUGUGCAACUCAACCCUAGACCACAUAGUUUUACCUCUAGAUCGGAUUUCUGCGGAGCUCGGGCGGAGCCAUGCAGGAGUAGAUCAUCACCACCACCGGAGCACCGUCACGCUGCCGGAGAACUCAUCUACUUCUCUAUCUUGCUUGCUGGAUCAAGAAGGCCGAGAUCAUCAUCGAGCUGUACGUGUGCUGAACCUGGAGGCGCCGUAUGUUUGACGCUAGAUCAGAACGGAUCAUGGGACGGAUCGCGGAACGGUUCGUGGGACGGUUCGAGGGAUGCGAAGACGUUCCACUACAUCAACCGCGUUUCUUAACGCUUCCUGUUGUGCGAUCUACAAGGGUACAUAGAUCCAAAUCUCCACCCGUAGAUGGACAUCACCAUGAUAGGUCUUCGUGUGCGUAGGAAUUUUUUUGUUAUGUAACGUUCCCCAACAGUGGCAUCAUGAGCUAGGUUCAAGCGUAGAUGUUAUAUCGAGUAGAACAUAAAAGGUUUUGUGGACGGCGAUAUUUGAUUUUCUGCCCUCCUUAGUCUUUUCUCGAUUUGGCGGUAUUGUUGGAUUGAAGCAGCCCAGACCAACAUAACUUAUACGCUUACGAGAGACUGGUUUCAUCGAUUGACAUGCAACCUCUUUGCAUAAAGAUGACUGGCGGGUGUCGGUUUCUUCAACUUUAGUUGAAUUGGUUUUGACCGAGGCGGUCCUUGGAGAGGUUAAAUAGCAAUUUGCACAUCUCUGUUGUGUUUUUUGCAUAAGUAAGAUGCGAUCAUACUAGAUACCUAUAGCAGCCACGUAAAACAUGCAACAACAAAUUAGAGGACGUCUAACUUGUUUUUGCAGGGUAUGCUUGUGAUAUGAUAUAGACAAUGACGUGAUGUGAUAUAUUGGAUGUAUGAGAUGAUCAUGUUGUAAUAGUUAAUAUCGACUUGCACGUCGAUGCUACGGCAACCGGCAGGAGCCAUAGGGUUGUCUUAAAACUAACGUUUGUGUUUGCAGAUGCAUUUACUAUAUUGCUAGGACGUAGCUUUAGUAGUAAUAGAAUAAGUAGCACGACAACCUCGAUGGUGACACAUUUAUAGAUAUCAUGAUGAUGGAGAUCAUGGUGUGGCGCUGGUGACAGGAAGAUCGUGCCGGUGCUUUGGUGAUGGAGAUCAAGAAGCACAAGAUGAUGGCCAUAUCAUGUCACUUAUGAAUUGCAUGUGAUGUUAAUCCUUUUAUGCACCUUAUUUUGCUUAGAACGAUGGUAGCAUUAUGAGGUGAUCUCUCACUAAAAUUUCAAGACGAAAUUGUGUUCUCCCCGACUCUGCACCGUUGCUAUAGUUCGUCGUUUCGAGACACCACGUGAUAAUCGGGUGUGAUAGACUCAACAUUCACAUACAACGGGUGCAAAACAGUUGCACACGCGGAAUACUCGGGUUAAGCUUGACGAGCCUAGCAUGUGGAGACAUGGCCUUGGAACACAUGAGACCGAAAGGUCGAGCAUGAAUCGUAUAGUUGAUAUGAUUAGCAUAGAGAUGCUUACCACUGAAAGUAUUCUCAACUCACGUGAUGAUCGGACUUGAGUUAGUGAAUUCGGAUCAUGUACCACUCAAAUGACUAGAGAGAUGUACUUUUUGACUGGGAGUUUAGCAAGUAAUUUGAUAAGUUAAACUCUAAUUAUCUUGAACAUAGUCUAAGUCCACUUUGAAAUAUUUGUGUUGUAGAUCAAUGUCUCACGCGACAGUCACCCUGAAUUUUAAUACGUUCGUAGAGAAGCUAAGUUGAAAGAUGAUGAAAGCAACUUUGUAGACUGGGCUCAUAAUCUUAAGUUGCUCGUGCAAGCUGGGAAGAAGGAUUAUGUCCUUCAUGCUGUGCUAGGAGAUGAACCAUCCGCUGCGGCUGAUCAAGAUGUUAAGAACGCUUGGUUGACGCGUAAGGAGGGCUACUCACUAGUUCAAUGUGCAGUCUUGUAUGGCUUAGAGCUGGGACUUCAACAUCACUUUGAGCAUCAUGGAGCAUAUGAGAUGUUCCAGGAGUUGAAGUUUAUCUUUCAGAAGAACGCCCGGAUCGAGAGGUAUGAGACCCCCGAUAAAUUCUAUGCUUGCAAGAUGGAGGAGAAUUCGUUUGUAAGUGAACAUGUGCUCAAAAUCUUUGGGUACUCAAACCAUCUAGCUGAGCUGGGGAUUGAACUCCCACAAGAGGCUAUCACUGACAGAAUUCUUCAAUCACUGCCACCAAGCUACAAGAGCUUUGUGUUGAACUAUAACAUGCAAGGGAUGAACAAGUCACCCGGCGAGUUAUUCGCGAUGCUGAAAAUCGCAGUCAAAACUCCGGAAAGAGCAUAAAGUGUUGAUGGUCAAUAAGACCACUAGUUUCAAGAGAAACGGAAAAGGAAAGAAGGGUAAUUCCAAGAAGAGCGGCAAGCCUGUUUCGAACCCGACGAAGAAAUCCAAGGCUGGACCUAAGCCUGAAAGAGAGUGCUAUUAUUGCAAGGGACUCGGUCACUCGAAGCGCAACUGCCCCAAGUAUCUGGCUGAUAAGAAGGCGACCAAGGAAAAAUCAGGUAUAUUCAAUAUACAUGUUAUUUAUGUGUACUUAACCAAGUCUCGUAGUAGUGCCUGGGUAUUCUAUUGCACAUGUUACUUGGCUGAUACCGGUUCUGUUGCUCAUAUUUGCAACUUGAAAUAGGAACUGCGGAAUAAACGAAGGCUGGGGAAAGAUGAAGUGACGAUGCGCGUGGGAAAUGGUUCCAAGGUUGAUGCAAUCGCCGUCGGCACAGUUUCAGUUCAGUUACCAUCAGGAUUAGUUAUGAACUUAAAUAAUUGUUAUUUAGUGCGUGCGUUAAGCAUGAACAUUAUAUCUGGAUCUUGUUUAUUGCGAGACGGUUACUCGUUGAAGUCAGAGAAUAAUGGUUGUUCUAUUUCUAUGAGUAAUAUCUUUUAUGGUCAUGCACCCAAUGUGAGAGGAUUGUUCAUAUUGAAUCUUGAUAGAGAUGAUACACAUAUACAUAUAUUGAAACCAAAAGAGUUAGAGUUAACAAUGAUAGCACCAUGUUUUUUUGGCACUGCCGCUUAGGUCAUAUUGAUGUGAAGCGCAUGAAGAAACUCCAUUCCGAUGGACUUUUGGAGUCACUUGACACGUGCGAACCUUGCCUCAUGGGAAAGAUGACUAAGACUCCGUUCUCCGGAACAAUGGAGCAUGCAAUUGACUUAUUGGAAAUCAUGCAUACCGAUGUGUGCGGUCCGAUGAGUGUGGAGGCACGCGGCGGAUAUCGUUAUUUUGUCACCUUCACUGACGAUUUGAGUAGAUAUGGUUAUGUCUACUUAAUGAAGCACACGUCUGAAACGUUUGAGAAGUUCAAUCAAUUUCAGAGUGAAGUUGAAAAUCAUUGUAACAAGAAGAUCAAGUUCCUACGGUCUGAUCGUGGGGGUGAGUAUCUGAGUUUCGAGUUUGGUGCUCACUUAAGACAAUGUGGAAUUGUUUCACAAUUAACACCGCCUGGAACACCACAACGUAAUGCUGUGUCUGAACGUCGUAAUCGUACAUUAUUAGAGAUGAUGCGAAAUAUGAUGUCUCUUACCGAUUUUCCGUUAUCGUUUUGGGGUUAUGCAUUAGACACAACUGCAUUCACUUUAAAUAGGGCACCAUCAAAAUCUAUUGAGACGACACCAUGCGAACUGUGGUAUGGCAAAAGAGCAAAGUUGUUGUUUCUUAAAGUUUGGGGAUGUGAUGCUUAUGUCAAAAACACUUCAGCCUGAAAAGCUGGAACCAAAAGCGAAAAAGUGCGUCUUCAUAGGUUACCCAAAGGAGACAGUUGGGUACACCUUCUAUCUCAAAUCCGAGGGCAAAGUGUUUGUUGCUAAAAAUGGAGCUUUUCUUGAGAAGGAGUUUCCCUCGAAAGAAUUGAGUUGAAGGAAGAUAGAACUUGAUGAGGUUGUCGAACCUCUAGUCCCUCUAGUAGUGGCGCAGGGCAAGGGGAAACCCUUGUUGCUGCGGCGCCGGUUGAGGAGGAAGUUAAUGAUCGCAUCGCAGGUUGAUACGUCUACAACGUAUCUAUAAUUUUUGAUGAAACUUCAGAUUAAGUUCCUAUCGGACGUCGCAGGUUGAUACGUCUACAACGUAUCUAUAAUUUUUUAUGGUUCCAUGCUAUUAUCUUGUCAAACUUUGGAUGUUUUGUAUGCUUUUUAUAUAUUUUCUGGGACUAACUUACUAACUCAGUGCCAAGUGCCAGUUCCUGUUUUCUCCUUGUUUUUGACCCUUUUCAGAGGAGAAUAUUAAACGGAGUCCAAACGGAAUGAAACCUCCGAAAAGAUUUUUCCGGAAUAGAAGAUAUGCAGGGGGCGUGAUAACCAAGGUAGAGGCCACCAGGGGAGGCCACAAGCCCCAUAGGCGUGGCCAGGGGGCCGCUCCUAGCACGCUUGUGGGCCCCCUGUGGCUCGUCUGCCCUACCUCUGCCGUCUAUAAGUUCCUAAAAAAUCCAAAACUACGCGAGAGAUCCACGAAAAUACUUUUCCGCCACCGCAAGCUUCUGUCUCCGCAAGAUCCCAUCUGGGGCAUGUUCUGGUGCCCCGCCGGAGGGGAGAUUCGGAUACGGAGGGCUUCUUCAUCAACACCAUGACCUCUCCGAUGAUGCGUGAGUAGUUCGACAUAGACCUUCGGCUCCAUAGCUAGUAACUAGAUGGCUUCUUCUGUCUCUUGGAUCUUCAAUACAAAGUUCUUCAUGAUCUUCAUCGAGAUCUAUCCGAUGUAUUCUUCUUUUGCGGUGUGUUUGUCGAGAUCGAUGAAUUGUGGAUUUAUGAUCAGAUUAUCUAUGAAUCUUAUUUGAGUUUCUUCUGAUCUCUUAUAUGCAUGAUUUCAUAUCUUGGAGUAAAAUAUCUUGGUCUCAACACAUGAGUAGGUGGCUCUCUCUCAGAAAAUGGAUCUGUCAAUUAGGUGUGUGUGUUAUGAGUGCUUUUCCCACGAAUGAGAGGUGGGUGAAGAGGUAUAUAUAGGCAUCACACAAAAUCCAACCAUUACACCAAAAGUGGCAAACUCGGUGACACCAAAGUUGUAAACUCGGUGGUACCGACAUGCAUUAAAGGUAUGAACUUUUGAAUCUCGGUGAGACCGAUAUAUGAAACUAACUGGCACUGAAAAAGUGACUAAUGGUUAGAUGAGAAAACUUGAUGACACCUAUACUCAAACUCAGGAAUUGCGAUUUUGUGUAUCGAGGCAACCAAAAGUUGGUCACCCAAACUCGGUAGCACCAAUAUGAUUUUCGGUUGCACCGAUUUGGUGGAAGUGGCUAGGGUUUCUGUCUGAGGUCAGACUCGGUGAGUCCAAAAUAUGAAAGCGGUGACACCAAAUUUGAGUAUGUGGAAUUGGACAGAAUGGUUAUGUGGAAAAGUAUGCGAGUAUUUUGGUGGCUAACUUAGAGCACUUGAGCAACGAGUUCAUUUUAAUACCUCACCCCCUUUUAGUAGUAUUGGCUUUCCUAUGUACUCAAAUGUGAUUUCUCACAAAUAGAAAAUGAAGAGUCUUCUAGCUUGAAGCUUGAGCCAAUCCUAAUCCUUUCUUUUAUCAAGGGGCAUCUCCACAUAAGCCUUAACCAAAUCAUCUUUUGAACUUUUCUGAAAUAUACUUGGAUAAACAUAUUAGUCCAAUGAUGCAUAUGUUGUGAUCAAUUAUGAAAACCACCCUAGGGACCAGUUGUGCUUUCAAUCUCCCCCUUUUUGGUAAUUGAUGACAACAUAUAGAUCAAAGCUUCGACAAAAGAUAUAAUCAAGGAUUAGCAUUGAUGCUUUGAGAAGUAUGUUAAAAGCAAGAGCCCCCCCCCCCCUAAAUUUGUGCAUUAUUCAGAAUUUGUGUUUGAAUUCAAAUGCACAAUCAAUUAGGAUUAUGUGUCACUCUUCCAUGUCACAUGCAUCUUGGUGGUGCUCAAACAAGAUAAUAAUGAAUAUUAAUGCACAUGACACCAACAAGAUAAGUGAAUGACCAUCACAUAGAUAGCUAAAAUAUAAUAAUGUAGCAUUACACAAGAUAAAGCGUAUGAUGAAACACACGAACUGGAUAAAACCAUCCAAAAGAUCAAAGUUUGUAAAACCAAAUGAGAGCAAAUAAAGUCAAAAGCUCUCUCUCACUCGAAGCCCUAUGAUCAAUACAUUUCUCCCCCUUUGGCAACAACUUACCGAAAAGUUCAAAAGUAUAGAGCUAGUCGUCUCUCUGGGCAUCUGAUGAUGGAGUCGAUAGAAGAGCAUCCACGAAGUCUUCUACAGAAUGUCUUGGAGCUGGAGGAGUGGAUGCUGCAAGUGCUUGAGCUAGGGCUGGAGCUGAAGGUGCAGAUGCUUGAGCUAAUGAAGUUUGUCUUGUCUUCGGAACAGGUACAACAUCUGACAGAUGCUUGGUGCUCAACCGAGUGGUAGCGCGAGGAGGCGACUCUUCAUCAUCAUCAUCACUGUCAUCAACAUUAUCAUCCGAGCGUGGAAUUUUCACUGAGUCAACUUCAUGUUGAAGUUGUUUUACUAUAGUGUUCAAUUUCGUAACCUUCACAUCCAUGUCAUCAAAUUUUGUUUCCACGACCUGCUCUAGGCUUUUCUGAUUUUGCAGAAUAUCCGAGAUGUUCUUCUCCAUGCUUUGGACAGAGCUAACUAGAAGUUCCAUUUUCUCAGAUUGUGUUAUGAUCCGUGGAACUGGUGGUGGCACAUUCUUAGCAGCCUUAGCUUCUGCUACCUCUGUUGCCAUUCUGGCUGUAGCUGAGCUGGGAUCAUUGUCAUCCAUCACCACUUCAUUGUCUUCAAAUUCUGGCUGAAUAGGUAAAUGGAGACAAUCAAGGAAAUAUACAUGCUUGCCUAGCUUGGCAUUGAUAAGCAUCUGAAUGUAAGGGGCAUAUCCACAUGAUCUCUUCUGAUCAGCGGCAGUCCUUCGGAUAGUCUCUACUAUCAAGUCCAUCACACAGAAUCUGGUGUGAGUGUCCAAAAGGUGCAGCAAGUUGAUGGAGUGUCCUCUGAUCAUCUUAUCAUCACCCGAUUAAGGCUUCAAGGUGUGUCUCACAAUAGUGUUAGUGGUGGGUAUUCCUGCUAGCAAGAAGUACACAUAGCCCAUUUUGUGAGUUGCCAAAUACUUGUGAGGAAUUGGCUUUUACAUACUGGCCAUAGAGUUGUGACUCUUCUUUGCUUCAUAAUAAACAUCAACAUCACUUUCUUUCUGCUUAGGGGAACCAAUGAUAGUGGCCCACUGAUGUCCCACAAGCGUAUGGGAUCGCAGCAAUUUUCGAGGGUAGAGUAUUCAAGCCAAAUUUAUUGAUUUGACUUAAGGGGAAGCGAAAGAAUAUUCUCAAGUAUUAGCAGUUGAGUUGUCAAUUCAACCACACCUGAAAGAUUAGUGUCUGCAAGCAAAGUAUCAGUAGCAAGGUAGUAUGAUAGCAACGGUGCCAGAAAAAGCCUUGGUUGACGGGAUGUUAGUACCGCUUACCUAGCCUCGGCAACGGCGCCAACAAAGUCUUGCAACAAGUAACAGCGGGGUAGCAAGGAACAGUAGUAGCAGAAGCAGCAAAGUAACAAGUAACAAUAGUAGGGACAACAACAACAAAGUAACAAGUAACAGCAAUAGUGACAGCAGCAACAAAGUGGCCCACUCUCUCUUGUAGCAAGGGACAAGCCUAGGCAAAGUAACAUAGCGAGGACCAGUAGUAAAAGACUCGUAGGCAGUGGAUCGGUGAUGGAUGAGUGUGACGGAUGUGAUUCAUCAUGUAACAGCUAUAACACAUAGAGAUAUGUGGCUAGCUCCCGUUCAUCAAUAUUCCGUAUGUAGUCGUACGUGCUUAGGGAAAAGAACUUGCGUGACAUGUAUUGUCCAUCCCUCCCAUGGCAGCGGGGUCCUAAUGGAAACUACGGGAUAUUAAGGUUCUCCUUUUAAUAAAGAACCAGACCAACGCAUUAACACGCGGUGAAUACAUGAACUCCUCAUACUAUGGUCAUCUCCGGGAGUGGUUCCGGCUAUUGUCACUCCGGGGUUGCCGGGUCAUAACACAUAGUAGGUGACUACAACUUGCAAGAUAGGAUCUAAAACACACAUAUAUUGGCGACAACAUAAUUGGUUUAGACCUGAAAUCAUGGUACUCAGGCCCUAGUGACAAGCAUUAAGCAUAGCCAAGUAGUAGCGAAAUCAAUCUAGAACAUAGUGGAUACUAGGGAUCAAUCCCCGUCAAGAACUAACUUGAUUACGUGAUAGAUCUCAUCCAACUCAUCACCGUCCAGCAAGCCUACGAUGAGAUUACUCACGAACGAUGAAGAGCAUCAUGGAAUUGUCGAUGGAGAAAGGUUGAUGAUGACGAUAGCAACGAUUUCCCCACUCCGGAGCCCGAAGCGGACUCCACAUCUGCCCUCCAGAUGAAGAACAGGAUGUGGCGGCGCCUCCAUAUCGCAAAACACGAUGAAACCUUCUCUCUGAUUUUUUUUUCAGGCGAAACGGAAGAUAUAGAGCUGAGAUUGGGGGCAGUGGUGCCACGUGGGCCCCACAAGCCCUCACGACGCAACCAUAGUGGGUGGCCGCGGCCUGUGGGCUUGUGGCCCACUAGCACGCCCCCCCGGUGGAUCUUUGCGCAUGUAUUUUCUUUUAUUCCAGAAAAAAUCUCCGUAAAUUUUUAGGACAUUCCGAGAACUUUCAUUUCUGCACAAAAACAACAUCAUGGCAAUUCUGCUGAAAACAGCGUCAGUCCUGGUUAGUUCCAUUCAAAUCAUGCAAAUUAGAGUCCAAAACAAGGGCAAAAAAGUUCGGAAAAUUAGAUACGACGGAGACGUAUCAACUCCCCCAAGCUUAAAGCCUUGCUUGUCCUCAAGCAACUCAGUUGACAAACUGAGAGAGACACAAGAAAAACUUUGACGAACUAUGUUUGAUCUUGUUGUUGCAACUAUGUCUAACUCACAACCAGAAUUUCAGCAACAUCAUAAGCAAACCACAUAAGCAUAUGACAUCUAGGUCUCACGAUAAACUCAUAUCAAAGGCAUAAUCAACUAGCGAGCAAAUAAUAAUAAGCCUCAAACGUCAACACUUCAAUCAAAACAACAUGAAGUAGUACAAAUAGAAGGUAUCUCGCUAGCUCUUUCUGAGACCGCAAAACAUAAAUGCAGAGCACCUUAAAAGACCAAGGGCUGACUAAACAUUGUAAUUCAAGGCAAUGAAGAUCCAGCCACAGUCACACUCAACACAGUUGAAAGAAAAGCAUAAAAAUGACAGAGGUGCUCUCUAAUUGGUGCUUUUGUAAGAGGAGGAUGACUCAACAAGAACAUAAGUAGACAGGCCCUUCGCAGAGGGAAGCAUUGAUUUGUAGAGGUGCCAGAGCUCAAGCUUUGAAAACAGAGAUAAUAAUUUUUGGUGGCAUGCUCCCAUUGUACACGCAAUGACCAAGAGUUCUCAACAUCUUCCACGCUACAAAUGCUAUAGGCGGUUCCCAAACAGAAAAGUAAAUUUUUGACUCCCCCACCACCAAUCAAUCACACUCCAUGGCUAGCCGAAUCCUCGGGUACCGUCCAAACCAACAUCAAUCCCGGGGGAGUUUUGUUUGCAAUUAUCUUUUCGAUUUGAGCAUGGAACUGGAAAUUCCAAUUACCGCCCCCUUUCUUGUGAAUGAUAGCAUGGAAGAUACCAAUAGCCCCCUGUCACCACAUGAGCGGUUCGAGCAUGCAAAACAUAUUAUUUCUUGAAGAUUUAGAGAGUGGCACAUGCAAAUUUACUUGGAACGGCAGGUAGAUACCGAACAUAGGUAGGUAUGGUGGAGUCAUAUGGCACAACUUUGGGUUUAUGGAGGAGGAUGCACAAGCAGUAUUCCCGCUUAGUACAAGUGAAGGCUAGCAAAAGACUGGGAACCGAUGAACUAGAGAGCGACAACAGUCAUCAAAAUGUAUUGAGAUUAACUAACAUUGAAUGCAAGCAUGAGUAGGACAUAAAUCACCAUGAACACGAACAUCAUAGAGGCUAUGUUGAUUUUGUUUCAACUACAUGCGUGAACAUGCACCAAGUCAAGCCACUUGAAACAUUCAAAGGAGGAUAUUGUCCUAUCAUACUACAUCAUAGUCAUCUCAACAUUCAUGUGGGCAUCCAAGAAAAACCAUUAUAAGCUCCUACCUAAGUAAGCAUGGCAUAAGCAACUAUGUUUCUCUCACAACCAAGUUGAAUCAGGCAUGAUGAGCUAGUCAUAUUUACAAAAACAAAAUAGAUCGAGUUCAUACCAGCUUUUCCAGGCUCAGUCACUUCAUCUUAUAUCGUCAUUGUUGCCUUUCACUUGCACGACCGAACGAUGUGAACAAUAAUAAGCAUGCUCGUGCAUUGGACUAAAGCUGGAAUCUGUAGGCAAACACAAAGGAGAAGACAAAGUAAUAUGGCUCUUUGAAAGCUAACCAGGUAUGCAUGCAAGAGCCACUAAACAUUGUAACCAAUAUCUUCUACCUUGACCCAAAGAAAAAGAAAACUAUCUACACGGGAAAGCUCCCAACAAGCAAAAGAAGAAAAAGAAAAUAGUUUUGGUAUUUUUUUCAAACUAGACAGAGACACGAAAAGAAAACGAGAAAAAGAAAAUAAACUAGCAUGGAAGAUACACUGGCAAAGUGUGAACACCGGCUAACAAAGUGAAAGCAUAAGCAAGAAUGUAAAGUCGGUGAGAACACGUACUCCCCCAAGCUUAGGCUGUUGGCCUAACUUGGUCUACUCCCAAGAAUGGUCCUGGCGAAACCCAAAAUCAUAAUCGGGGUUAUACGGGAGCGCUGCAGCCACUGCCUGAAUAGCUGCCUGACACAGACGAGCAGCCGUCGCCUCCCUCUCAUACUCCUCUGCCUCUCUUCUGGUUAUGUAAUAUAUUUGUUUUAUCUAAAAGUCAAAGAAAGAAGGAGCAAGAAGGGUAAUAUGGAAAACACACUACCGGUUAAAUAUCAGUCGGUAUAGGACGGAUUCCUCAUCCCUCUCAAGAAACUGAUAGCGUGUCAUGGCGACGCGGUCAAGGAAAGUUGUAUGGAGCGGGGGAUCUCCUUCGCGGAUGGGUACUCCAAGAAAAUUUGCUAUGCGUGUGGCAUAGAUCCCACCAAAGAAAUCCCCUUCAAUAGCAUUCUUAUCCAGCCUCCUUGCUAUAAUAGCUCCCAUGUUGAAGCUUUUGUCACCCGUCACUGCGCUCUGAAGGAUACUAAGGUCGGGUGCGCAGAGGUGACAAUGAUCAAUCUUGCCAUUAAUGCAUCUGCCUAUGAAGAGGGCAAAGUAAUGCAAGGCGGGGAAAUGAAUACUCCCCAUGGUAGCUUGUGUAAUGUCUCUACUUUCUCCAACUGUAAUACCAACGCAAAAAUCUCUAACCGAAGAUUUAAGAGGAUCAUGGAGGUUACCCCAAAUUGGUAUUUUGCAAAUUCUACUGAAAUCCUAUAAAUCCAUGGUAUACGAUUUAUCAUAGAGAUCAAACAGUACCGAUGGCUCACGGCCAGCUAAAAAUUUGAAUCUACGAACAAAAGAAGCAGUGAGAGCAACAUACUAUUCACAUUAUCGGAGAUGAAUUCUUCGAGUCUGACGUUGCGAACAAAUGCAUCAAAAUCAUCUUUCAAACCUGCCUCAAUCAUAAAUUCAUCAGAAGGACAUUCACAUGGUUGUACCUGCGCGUCCCUAGGUUGGUAAGGAUGAGGCUCCCGAAUCGCAAGACGGGGACCUCUCUUGCUUGAGGAACCACAAUGAUAGUUUCUCCUGAACAUCUUUUCUGAAAUUUUCAGUGACCCAAAGGAAAGGUGAAGAAGGUUCAAUUAACUUGUAGCAACUACUCCCACAAGUGCCUAGGGACCAUAUUACACAUCAAAACUACUUGGGACCAGCUAGAAUCAGCAUGCAAAGCUCAAGAACAUGGUCACCAAGGCAGCAAAAAUACUCGGAGUAUAAGGCACUAGAGAAAAAACUAAUUGGACCAAUGGAGGAGUCACUUACCAAGGAGUAAUUUCCCCAAAACAGUGAGGAGAACGGUGAUUUGAGCAUAGAGAUCAAAAAUCCCAGCAAGAGGAGCAAGAACAAGGGUUUGAGCUGCGAAAUGGUUUUUUCUGGAGGUAGGAGAAGCAGAUGGGAGCAAGAGUGAGUGGAGGGCGUGCCUGUGGGCCCCACAAGCCUGGGUGGCGCGGCCAGGGGGUGCCCGCGCACCUAGGGCUUGUGGACCAUUGGUGUGGCCCCCAUACAGACUCUUUGUCCCACUAUUUGUCAAAUAUUCCAGAAAAAAUCAUACUAGAUUUUCACAGCGUUCGGAGAACUUUUAUUUUUCGAUGUACUUUUCUACCGGACGCUAAAACAGAAAACAGAGAAAACUAAACUAAAUCUAUCAUUUUUCUUCUAAGCAACCGAAAGUGAAAGCUUGGAACAGAGGUUUGUGACUCCUCGAUUCAUCCAUCUCAUGGUCAUCGAAAGAAAUCCAUCAAUGGGGUUGAUCAAAUCCCCUCGACAAAACGUUCUCGGAUUGCAAAAGAAGACGGAGAAUUUUUAAAUAGUCACUAGGCCACCUCAAUGGGGAUGUAUAUCUCCCCAACAAGCAAAUCAUACUUCAUCUUGACAUGAGGAAUGGGGCAUUCAAAGCUCCCGAUAAGAAUCGAUGAAGUCUUCUCGAUAGCAUUGAUGCAAUGUACUCGAUAUUGUUUCUUCGGAAAGUGCACUGUAUUCUCAUUACCGUUGACAUGGAAAGUGACAUUGCCUUUGUUGCAAUCUACAAAAGCCCCUGCAGUGUUCAAAAAGGGUCUUCCGAGGAUGACCUCCAUGGCAUCGUCCUCGGGAAUAUCCAAGAUAAUAAAGUCUGUUAAGAUAGUGGUGUUAGCAACCACAACAGGCACAUCCUCGCAAAUGCCGAUAGGGAAAGCAGUUGAUUUGUCGGCCAUUUGCAGAGAGGUUUCAGUGGGUGUCAACUUAUCCAGCUCAAGUCUAUGAUAAAGAGAGAGAGGCAUAACACUAACACCGGCUCCAAGGUCGCAUAACGCAGUUCUAACGUAGUUGCCUUUAAUAGAGCAAGGUAUAGUGGGCACACCGGGAUCACCUAGUUUCUUAGGAGUUCCACCCUUGAAGGUAUAAUUAGCGAGCAUUGCGGAGAGAUCAAGAUCAGGUAUCCUCCUCUUAUUAGUCACAAUAUCUUUCAUGUACUUAGCAUACAGAGACAUUUUGAGCAUAUCUGUCAAAGGCAUCUGCAGAAAGACAGGUUUGAUCAUUUCAAUGAAGCGCUCAAAAUCCUCAUCAUCCUUUAUCUUGGAUGGUUUGGGAGGAAAGGGCAUAUGUUUCUGAACCCAUGGCUCCCUUUCUUUACCAUGCUUCCUAGCAGUCAAGUCAUUCUUAUCGUAUCUCUUAGUCUUAGGUUGUGGGUUAUCAAGAUCAGGUUCAAUCUCCACAUCCUUUUCAUUGCUAGGUUGAGCAUCAACAUGAACAUCACUAUUGAUAUUAUCAUUAGACUCAUGAUCAUCACCAGAUUGUGUAUCAGCAUCACAGACAGAGGCAUCGUUUGGACUCUCCGGUGUAGCAGCAACAGGGUUGCUAGCGUGCAGGUUCCUAUCAUCUUUCUUCUUAUUUUUAGGAUGACUAGGUGUAUCAGUGCUAACUCCUUGAGAAUCUUGUUCGUUUCUCUUCGGAUGACCCUCAGGAUACAGAGGUUCCUGGGUCAUUCUACCGCCUCUAGUGACGACUCUAACGGAAUUGUCAUUCAACUCAUUGAGCAAGUCAUUUUGAGCUUUAAGUACUUGUUCUACCUGAGUAGUAACCAUAGAAGCAUGUUUACUCAGAAGUUUAAGAUCAUUGACAUUUCUGUCCACACAAGCACUUAAAUGACUAAGCAUACGAGCAUUUUGUUCCAAUUGUCUGCUAACAUAAUCAUUGAAACUCUGUUGUUUGGCAACAAAGUUAUCAAAUUCAUCCAUGCAUAAGGUAGCAGGUUUAUCAAAAGGAAUAUCACUCUCAUCAAACCUACGCAGAGAAUUUACUUCUACUACGUGUAUCGGGUUAUCGAGACCAUGGAUCUCUUGGAUAGGUGGUAGAUUUUUGACAUCUUCAGAUUUAAUGCCUUUCUCUCGCAUAGAUUUCUUGGCUUCUUGCAUAUCUUCUGGACUGAGGAAUAGAAUACCUCUUUUCUUUGGAGUUGGCUUAGGAGGUGGUUCGGGAAUAGUCCAAGCAUUCUCAUUGCACAAGAUGUUGUUCAGUAGAAUCUCAGCUUGUUCUACGGUUCGUUCCCUAAAAAACUACCGGUACAACUAUCUAGGUGGUCUUUAGAAGCAUCGGUAAGUCCAUUAUAGAAGAUAUCAAGUAUCUCAUUCUUCUCAAGAGGGUGAUCAGGCAAAGCAUUCAGUAGCUGGAUGAGCCUCCCCCAAGCUUGCAUGNNNNNNNNNNNNNNNNNNNNNNNNNNNNNNNNNNNNNNNNNNNNNNNNNNNNNNNNNNNNNNNNNNNNNNNNNNNNNNNNNNNNNNNNNNNNNNNNNNNNGCGCUUGACACUCCUUUAUCUUCUUUCAUCAUUUCUCCCAUCGCAUACUUGAAAACUCCCUUCAUACGAAACUCAUCAUAAGCUGAUUAGAGUGGUUAGUAUCCUUAAUAAAAUAAUUCAAUACCUGCUGGAAAUAAAGAUUUUCAUGAAAAGCUAAGAUUUUUGCAAAUAAAAAGCAAGCUUAAGAUUCGCAAAACAAUGAAAACACACAACAUGGCAGAAUAUGUGAAAAACAGAACAACAGGUAGUAAAUAAUUUAUUCGAGGCACUUCUGCAACUCAAAUCAAAAAACUCAGAACACAUGCCAGAAAGGCAAUUAUAUAGAGCAUGUUGUAAAAAACAUUCAGAUCAAAAAGAUGAUCUCGUGAUUUUUGGUGAAUUUUUUCGUCAGGUAGACAGAAUCUGUUUCUGGACAGCAUGUCACAAUUCUUGAACUUUCUUGCAAUCGAAGGCUAUAACUUGGCACAAAGCUUAAAAAUAAAAAUACAAUGAUGUUGCUACAGUAGUAAAACACAUCAAGACCACUAAAAUAUAAAGUACAAACAUAUUGGGUUUCCUCCCAACAAGCGCUUUCUUUUAUGCCUUUGAGCUAGGCAUAAUGCAAGAAGGAGGAUCAAAGUUCUCCGAAGUCAUCAGAAUUAUAAAGACCUUCAAACGGAUCCUCAACAAUUUCAUCCUCAUUUUUCCUAGAGAAUGGGUACAUACCUUUGGCUUUCCCUCGUAACGUAUGUGUCCUUUACCUAUAUCAAUGAAGCCUCUCAUGGCUCGGAGGAAGUCCCUUCCAAGCACUAUAUUCCCUUUGUUGGGCUCCACGAUGAAUAAAUCAAUUGUUGCAUUCCUUUUAGAGAAUGUAAAAUGGAAAUCUUUUACCUUUCCCUGGAUUUCAGAAAUAUCACCAUUAGCAUGUUCAUGAUAAGAUGAAAAAAAAAUCCAUGUCUAACCAAGGAGAAUCAUAAACAACUUUUGGCAUAGUAGAAACCAUGGAUCCAAUAUCUAGGUAAGCAAGGAAGUCUUGGUUAGAGAUGUUAAUUCUACCAAAAGGUUCCCAGUCAUCAUCUAUUUUCAAAAUCUGCUCCUUAUCAACCAUAGGUUUCUCUCUUUCUCUUAAGUCUAGAGCAUCUAUUUUCCCUUCAAUAAUAGCAAGUAUAUCUAUAAUAGUGUCAUAACCAUGAUUAUAAACAAGAUUAUUAGAUAGACCAUGUAUAAUAUCAAGAGCUCUUGCCUCAUCACACUCUAAGAAAUCUCCUUUAGCUAUAAUAUCAAGAGAGUGUUUGCACCAUAUAAAGAGACCAUGGUAAAAAAUUCUAAGCACAAUAUUGAUAGGUAUCCAAGGCAUAAUUCUUUUGUGUGCUUCAUAAAUUCUAUCCCAUGCUUCCUUCAUAUUUUCUCCAUUCCUUUGAUGGAAGUCUAGGACCUCAGAUUCCUUCCAGGAAUCAAACAUUAACAUGCUUGACAACUAAAACGAAGUGACUAAUUUUUUUCUGGUUUUUGGUAUAAGACUCUAAAGCAUAAACUAAAAACCAAACUAACAAGACUAAAAAGCAAAGGUAAAAGAUAGUGUGCAACUUCCCUAUCUUGAAGAAUGGAGCCCCUGGCAACGCCACCAGAAAAUCGCUUGAUGAUGAGUUGAUGGAUAUACUUCUCGCCCCUCGUUAGUUAACCCAAGUGGAAGGUGGAGAUGUAGUCAGCANNNNNNNNNNNNNNNNNNNNNNNNNNNNNNNNNNNNNNNNCAGCAGGAAAUUUCCCUUACACGAAGACUGUAAGGUUUAUCGAAUCACGAGGACUCCUAGGCUCAACAAGUAGGUGUCUUCCACCCUGGUGCUAGCAGAAGACGUGGACCUGCACACACAACAAAUAACUUUGCUCCCAACGAGUACAGAGAGGUUGUCAAUCUCUCCGGCCUUGUAGUUUGCAAAGGAUCAAAACACAAGAGGGAAGGUAAUAGUGAUUGCAACGGAAAAGUAAAUGAAAGCGGUAAAUGAUGGAGGUGUAGGCAAUGAUGGUGAUAUGGACCGGAGUCACAUGACGUUCACUAGUGAUGUCUCUCUCCCAAAAGACGAUAAACAACUAUGCUAGGGUAAACAAAACACAGUUGGGCAAUGGACAGAAUUAUGAUCGCAUCACAAUGCUAAUUAUGCUCCUUGAUAGUUAGAGGUUCAAUAGUAAUGGGCAGUACGCCAAGACAAGUAGACCGUUUAUUCAUCAGCAUCUACUUACUAAUCAUACACCUUGAGAUAUCUAUCCAGAACAUCUCUCCGAUAUUAAGUUGCGAGCCCCACCAAAAGUGUAAAUUCAAAUCAACGGACAACUGCAUUAAGAACUAUGCGUAAGGUAAACAAUCCUUGCAACUGUGGUCACAAUCAUCGUUGUUUUCUCCCUGGUGGCAACAAGAACAUUCCCUAGUCUCAUGUUUCUGUCACUCAAGCUAGACAUCGAGGGGCCCGAACCCACAAUCAUGCAUAACGCUCCCUCUUGGAGUUACAAUCUACUACUUGGCCAAAGCAAUAAAAAGCAACGGAGAACAUGCAUGAAUUACUAAGGAACAUAAUAUAAAAGGAUAAUCAAAUAUAUAACUCAUAACAAUCUGAACAUAAUCUCAUAAUCCAUCGGAUCCCAACAAACCGAGCAUAGCAAUAGCAAGAGAAUUGCAUAGAUGCCUUGAUCAUGUAGAGCAGCUCACAAGGACUAACCAUUGAAGCACAAGAUUGGAGAGAAGACAUCACAUAGCUACUGGUCAUGGACUCAUGGUCCAAGGGGAACUACUCACGGCACAUCCAGGAAGCAUCCAUGGUGGUGGAUAAGCUCCCGAAGGUCAAUCCUCCCUCCGGCAGGAUGCCGGGAAGAGGUUUCCUGACGCUACCGAUCUCGGAAGCGCUGUGGCGGCGGAACGAUUGAGAAAUUCGCAAUUCCAGAAAUUAUGCGAGGGUUUCCUCUCGGGACUCUAAAUAUAGGCCAAAGGAGUGCGCCGGAGGAGGUGGGACCCACCCAGGCGACCUCCUGGCGCGGCCUAGGGCCUGGCCGCGCCAACAGGCCGCUUGGGAGGCCCAUACCCCCCCCUCUGGCCCUCCUUCGGUGAUUCGGAAGCUUAUGUUUCGCUGAUUUUAUAUUUUUUUAUUAUGGAUUUUUUUGGGCUUUGGAAGAUUGGGUAAAAGCCACUUCAAAAUAGACAUCAGUGGACAGAAACUGGCACUGGGUGCACUGAGUUAGUAGGUUAGUCCAAAUAUGUGUAAAAUGAUAUAAAGUGUAGAAAAACAUAUAACAAUGUCACCCAAAAGAUCAUGGAACAAGCAGAAAUUAUAGAUACGUUUGGGUCGUAUCACAUAUACAUGAAGGUUCCUGAAGGUAUCCCUAUUUCGAACCAUGAUAGAGCAAACAGGAGUCUAUAUAGUGUUCAACUUCAAAAGGCAUUGUACGGACUUAGACAAUCUGGUAGAAUGUGGUAUACUUGCCUAAGCGAUUUCCUUCAUCAGAAGGGCUACACGAGCAAUACAUAUUGCCCAUGUGUUUUUAUACGGCGAUCCCAAGAUGGAUUAUGUAUAAUCUCGGUGUACGAUUUAAACAUACUCGAUACACAUGAGGAUAUUGAGGAAGUGAGUUCCUACCUGAUGUCGGAAUUCGAGAUGAAGGAUUUGGGUAAAACCAAGUUCUUUCUAGGUCUCCAACUUGAACAUUCCCCUGAUGGGAUUCUAGUGCACGAGUCAGCCUACGCCCAGAAGGUGUUGGAAAGAUUUGAAUUUGACAAGGCAUAUCCUUCUAAGACAAGGACCGGUUCAGGCAUAAGGAAGAGGGGGAGGAAACUCUAGGACCAGAGGUUCCUUACCUGAGUGUAGUUGGAGCACUCAUGUACCUCGCAAAUUGUACAUGACCAGACAUUGCUUUUGUCGUCAAUUUGCUUGCUAGAUACAGCUCUGAACCUACAAGAGACAUUGGAAAGGUAUCAAGGACGUCUUCCGUUACCUGCAAGGGACCAAAGAUCUUGUCCUAUUUUAUAGAAAGAAUCAAGACCUAUCCCUUAUAGGCUAUGCGGAUGCUGGGUAUGUGUCAGACCCGCAUGAUUGCAAAUCACAUACAGGAUAUAUUUUCCUUUGUGGUGGGACUGCGAUCUCCCGGAGAUCAACCAAGCAAACACUUGUGUCGACCUCCACGAACCACUCGGAAAUAAUGGCACUAUUCGAAGCAUCAAAGAAAUGUGUAUCGCUUCGGCGGAUGAUCAGCCACAUUCAACAGACGUGUGGGCUGAACACCGUACAAACCCCUACCAUUAUCUAUGAGGAUAAUUUUGCUUGUGUUGCACAAGUACAGAUGGGUUAUGUGAAGAGUAACCUCACAAAACAUAUUAGUCCCAAGUUCUUCUAUGCACAGGAACUGCAACAGAUGAACGAGGUGAGAGUCUUGCAUACUAAGUGUUAGAGCAUAUAUCUCCAUAUGUGGUUUUGGUAAUUGAUGACAAUUCCUAUGGGCUAAUGGUUGCCUUAAGUUAUAUUUAUAGGAUUUGUCCAUAGGCACUUCUUGAAGUCCAUCUGUUGGGUUCAAGGAGUUUAUAUGAUGACCAAGAUGGUAUUCAAGGUAUUAUCCAAAGAAUGGUCAUAGAGACACUAGGUUGAUCAAGAUCUCAGACAAAGAGUAAAUCAAAGGAUUUGUCCAUAGGCGCUUCUUGAAGUCCAUCUGUUGGGUUCAAGGAGUUUAUAUGAUGACCAAGAUGGUAUUCAAGGUAUUAUCCAAAGAAUGGUCAUAGAGAUACUAGGUUGAUCAAGAUCUCAGACAAAGAGCAAAUCAAGAUGAUCAACACACAAAGAGUAUAAGAUGUACCGAGAGGGAUCAAGUGAUCCCAUGGUAUGGUAAGCAUUGUCCAUUACGUGUUUGUGUACUAACCCAUGGUCUUUGUGAGAGUCCUAUGUGGGGGUUAGGUGUGCUUCCAUGGGCUUGCGUCAAAAGGAAGAUCUCAUACAAUCCAUGAAGGAUGACGUCAAGUGGUGAUCGUCAUCAAGAUUGUGGUGUGCAAGUUCAAGUGGAUCAGCACGAAUACAUCAUUGAAACUAUUGUUAUUGAUCAUGUGUUGAUAAGGACAAGCUCAUGUGCUCACAAGGACACGAUCAAGAUAAGCAUUCCUGAGCACUACAUGCUUGAUUCUUGUGGAUGUUCAAAUGAUGGACAAAUGAAGAUGAAUACAUAAGCUAGGCUUUCCACAUUGUGUAUGGGAGAGCUAUUUGAAGACUUCAUCAUGUCUUGCUUUCAACUUGAGCCAAGAAGGAACAACAACACCAAGCUCAAGUGAAAGGGCUAACUCAAGGUAUCAGUUACUUUGAUGUUAGCUGUGCAGAGUGAUGAUCAGCGAAUAAAAGUACACACUCAAGUAUGGGUCAUCGGUAUCCCUUUUACAAUUCUUGAGUCUUUAGGGAUCCCGCACUAUUAAGAGGGGAUCACAGGUUUUUGUGAUGAACUUGCUCAAACUAGAUAUCCACUAUUCUGCUCAAUACCAUAUAUUCUCUACUCUGCUCCUAUCUCAAAACAGGUCUAAUGUCUCGGACUUCCGGCUCCCGCCGGACGUCCGAGGGCCGGUCAAGGGUCGGACGACCGAUAGGCUUCGGAAAUCCGGAGCCCUGCACCAGCAGAACUUGAGCCCUAUAACUCGGAUUUCCGGCUCCCUCCGGACAUCCGAGGGUCGGUCGACCGACCAGCUUCGGAAAUCUGGAGCCCUGCACCAGAAGAACAUGAGCUCUAUAACUCAGAUUUUCAGCUCCCUCCGGACGUCCGAGGGCCGGACGUCCGACCCCUUCGGAAAUCCGGAACCUUGCACCAGAAGAAGUUGAGAUUUCCGGCCUUCUCCGGAUGUUCGGUCCGUGUUCAACUCACAGUGUUUCCAGACAUAUGUACAGCUCUCGGACGACCGACCCCUGUCGGACGUCCGACCCCUUGCGGACGCCCGGACUUCCGUAAACUGCCGAACGUCCGACCCAUGUGUGACUUAAAGUGUCCCCAACGGAUGUUUUUCUCUCCUCACUAUAAAUACCCCCCUCCCACUUCGUGAGAGUGUGCCGAACACAGCCUUAUCCUCAUAAGAACACACUUCUACCUCACACACAUUUGCUCACACCAAAUCUUAGAUCCCAAGAGCAUUUGUGAGCCCCUUUGAGAGUUGUUCCAAUCAAAAGAUAGAUCGUCUCGCUCUCCUCCUCUCAACCCAAGCUAUUUGAGAUUUGAGCAAGUUUUGAGCAUUCCCCGUGAUCUUGUUACUCUUGGAGGUUGGAGACUCCUAGGCGGUAGGAGUUCUUCGGAGAGGAAUCAAUCCGUGUGAUUACCCCCCGGAAAAGUUUGUGAGGGUUUGGAAGCCACCUCAAAGGCUUACCACUAGUGGUUGAGAAACGCCUUCGUGGAGUUAUCUCAAAGGGAGAAUAGGGAGAGCCUUCGUGGCGUUGGUGUGCCUUCGUGGUAACAUCCACCUCUCUAACGGUGACUAGCUUCCCUCCAAGGAAGUGAACAUCGGGAUACAUCUUCGUCUCAGUGACCUUGGUUAUCCUUAACCCUAACUCCUUACUUGUGGUUUACUUGUGUUACUUGAGCAUACAUACAUUGCAUAUUGUUUGUGCUCAUUAUAUUGUGUUGGCUAUUUCUUGUACAAGAUUAAUCAUUCAAGCAUACCUUCUAUAUUCACACAUUCAUACUUGCAGCUUUUGAUAUUGUCACGCCCAAGAUGCGACCCUAUCCUCAAUUUGGCAUGAGGGCAUCGUCAGGGAUAGAAGCGCAUCUCAUCGUGUCGCAAGAAUGGAUAUCGUUACAAGUACAUGUACUGAAAAGAAGAGAUAUAUAAAGAGUUGGCUUACACUCGCCACAAGCUACAUCAGAGUCACAUCAGUACAUUACAUAAUCAUCAAGAGUAAGAGCAGGGUCCGACUACGGACGAAAACAAACGAGAAAAAUAAGAACGACAUCCAUCCUUGCUAUCCCAGGUUGCCGGCCUGGAACCCAUCCUAGAUCGAUGAAGAAGAAAUAGAAGAAGAAGCAACUCCAAAUGAACAAUCAACGCGCUCGCGUGAAGUAACCUUUACCUGUACCUGCAACUAGUGUUGUAGCAAUCUGUGAGCCACAGGGGACUCAGCAAUCUCAUUUCCAAAGGUAUCAAGACUAGCAAAUCUUAAUGGGUGAGGCAUGGUUAAGUGGUGAGGUUGCAGCAGCGGCUAAGCAUAUAUUUGGUGGCUAAACUUACGAAUACAAGAAUAAGAGGGGGAAGAUCUACGCGUGUCGGUCGUGGACUACUGUUGAUCAAAUGAGUGAUCCUGAACACCUACCUAUGUCAGACAUAACCCCACCGUGUCCUCGUUCGGAAAAGGAGCUCACGAAAGAGACAGUCACGGUUCCGCACACAGUUGGCAUAUUUUACUUAAGUUAACUUCAAGUUAUCUAGAACCAGUGUUAAACAAAGUUCCACGUUGCCACAUAACCACCGGCACGGCUUUCCGAAAAGAUUUACCCUGCAGGGGUGCUCCAACUAGUCCAUCACAAAUUACCACAAGCCGCAUAGAAAUCCUCAAUCACGAAGCUCGCGAUCUCGUCGGAUUCCCUAGUGGAAAACCUCAACUCUAAGAUUACCCAAAGCAUCACCGGAAUCCCGAUGCACAAGAUAUCUCGUCAAAGGUAAAACUAAUCCAGCAAGGCCGCCCGACGUGUCGACGAUCCCGAUAGGAGUCGCGUACCUCGUUCUCAGGACACGACGGAUGAGCGAUGGUUACCACGCCAAACGCCGAGUUGCCCCGGGUAGCGUUAAUAAGAUGCUCUGUUUUGGACCAACACUCAUGAGGGGCACUGACCCGGGGGUUGAUUAAAUUAUCCUCGGGUUAAUUACUCCCUAUGCAGUUCAUUAGUUAGUAGGCAAAUGUAGUACCAAAGUUGGGCCUUGCCAGACCAGCUUUAAUCUAAAACGAAUUAUCAAGGGGGUCCCCAUAACAACCCCGAUCGUGUUAGGAGCGCUCAUUUAUGGAACAUAACACCGGUAGCCGAAACUAAGGGGGUAAAGGUGGAACAAAACACCAGGCUAGAAAGGCCGAGGCUUCCACCUUUUACCAAGUAUAUAGGUCCAUUAAGUUAAAUAGAAUUAAUAUGGUGAUAUAACAAGGAACUCAUGUUUUCACAUGGAAGCAUCUGCACCUGCAACUAGCAACGCUACACAGGGUUAAGCAAGCAGUAGCCUAGCCAAUCAGUGGUUUGCUAGGUUGAACAGGUUGAAGGUUUUCAUGGCAUUGUUGAGAGGCUGAUGUUUAACAUGUGGUAGGCAACGAGACAUAAACGACAGCAUCGAAAUAACUAGCAUGGCAAUGAUAGUAAUGGUAUCUGGGGAAAUGAUCAUCUUGCCUGAGAUCCCGCUUGGAAGAAGAAUGCCUCCGUGAAGCAGACGAACCGACGUAGUCGAACGGGUCCUCACAUCCGACACGCUUGCGGAACUCUAUCGAGACAGAGGAAAACGGAAACACAAAUCAACACACGGAAUUCACCACACGAUCCACAACACAUAUGAUGCAUGAGCAGUCUAAUGCACGGCAUGACAAUCACAACAAUCAAACACUACACAUUAAGUGAAGCUCGAUAUGCAACGAGUUGCAUAUUGACGAAACUCCACGUUUAAUUGUUUAGUUCACUCCCGAUUAGGUACACGGCAAUAUUAAUUGUGGUUAAACAUGGCAAGAGGUGAAGCGUAAUUAAACUACCUAUCUAGUCAUUUUAAAUGAGGUCGGAAAUGACAUAUAGCAUCUCCGAGACGACCUCACAUGUUAAUUUACAAUUCUGUCCACAUCUGAAUUAACACAUUUAAGUAGUUGUUAAACAGCAAAACAAAUAGGUUCACGUGAUUCUACGCGUCAACGCAAGCAAUCUACACGUAGAGAACAUCUCCAACGGAGCUACGGAUCAAAAGAUAAAAGCACCGCAAGAUAUGAUGGCAUGAAUGCAAUAUGCGUUCAACGGCGGUCACGAGCACUUCUACACAUACAAACAGCAAGAGAAAAUGAAACUACACGAGAUUCUAAGAAAGUUUCAUGUAGGACACGAUCAAAUCAGAGCUACGGUUCAAAAACUACGAGCAAAACAAGAACUCACUACAAUCUGCCAAAAACAGCCACAUAGCACUUUCUACGCCCCACAACUACGGCUACACAACUCCGAUAAACUCAAGCAAGGCAUGGCACGAAAGAGGGCAAGACGCUCUACUACAAACAACUAACAACCACUAUCAUGGCAGCAAGGAGCACUAGGACAAGAAGACACAAAACGGCAUCUCACACGCUAUUUCAGACUUAGUGAAAAUUACACCUCAUGAAAGUGCAGUUUUCGAUCUGAAGCAAUAUUGACAGCAGCAAAAUCCUAAGCUACAGGACUCCAAAUGGCAUGAAACUUUACAACAUGCUAGAGAAACACAAGGGGUACAACUAACUCCAUUGGACCAACCCCAAAAGAGCUACACAUCACAAGAUGCAAGCAAUACAAGACAGCAACAAAAUAAUAACAGAUUCCAGACUUAGAAAUAUUUCAGCUCCUCUAAAACAGCACUAUUUCUAGCAACUUGAGAGCAAGCAAAACACACCAAAACAUGCAGUUCUAUUGUAACUAAAAAUACCAGGGGCUAAACAAAACAUCCAAGAUCAACUCUCUAGUUGACAACUAAUUCAAACGAGGCACGGAAUAAAUCCUACGAAUUAAACAAAAGGGCAUCACGGCAAAAUAUCGCGCGAACUAACUUCCUCAAAAGCUAAAACUAAUUGCAUAGAAAAAUCCAUGGGAUUUUUCUACCCCGGAAACAUAUAAAAUAUGUGGGGUUUGCAACACAAAAUAAUGCCACACAUUAAUGCGGGAAAAAAAACAUAAAUACGGGAAAAUAAACUAGAGGCAAACCCUACACGCAAAAAUACGAGUGACCGCUCUAAAAUACAUGGAAAAUACGUUCCUAAAUCAUGGGCAUUUAUUCUACGACAUUAGAACUAACCGGACUUGCGCAAAAAAUAAAUACGGGACGUACCCUAUUAAAACAGCACGUUAUUCUAGGCAUCCGUCACGCCAAACGACGUCAAACAAUUAUGCAUGUCUCAAAUUCGUAUUCUACGCGCGAAACUACCACAAAACCAUAUAAAAUACGCCUCGUUCCGACCAACGGUUAAAAAGUUACGGGCAUUCGAAUAUGCGUUAUAUUUUUGGAAUUUAACUAAAUUCCAAAAACUCCUAAAUAUUCUAACGGGCUGAACAGGCAGCGCAAUAGCUAACUAUCGUCGGGAGCGGGGAAUAGCUCACCUUCGCGGGCCAAGGCCCAUUCGGUGGAGAGGCUGGCCAGGCCGGCUUGGGGGCGAGGCGAGGCGCUGGAGGCGCUGGCCUGGGCCGGGAGAAGCUGGGCCGUGGACGAGCAGGUGGCCCACGCUCGCUGCGGUGGCCACGUGAGCCGGUUGCUGGCGCAGGGCCCAGGAGCGCUGGAGGUUGGCGGCUCGUCGUUCUCCUGGCCGAGUGCGUGAGCCGUGGCGGCGGCCGUCGGGCGUGGGGGUGCCUCACGCCACGGCGGGUCUCGGCGGUGGCAGAUCCGGCGGGACCAGGCCGAGGGGCUCGAUCCCGGCCAGAUCCCGGGGCGGCGGGGCACCCGCGGCGGGUUUCCAUGGUGGCUGCCGCUUGAGGCCGGAGGAGGACAGAGGGACCGAGGUGGCGGCACUGGGAUCCGGCGUCGCGGAGGCGGCGCACCGGCGAAGGUCCGACCGGCUGCAGCUCCGGCGGGGACGCUUCCGGCGGCGGGGUAGCAACGAGGAGACAGCGGGAUCCGGGGGCUCGGGCUGCUGCCACGUCCAUGGGAGGGAGGCCCGGGAGCAGGGGGCUCGAGCCACGGCAGCGGCGGCGCGAUGGGCUCGGCCGGGCCCGAUCUGGGCCUGGCGGGCCGGCGGCGCGGGGGAGGAGAGAGAGAGCAGGUGGGAGGCUAGGGUUUCGGGUAGGUGGCACGGAUUUCGAGGCAGUGGGGGAGUGGCUCUCUAAUUAAUGGCAUGGGGGCUAUAUAUAGACAAACGGGGGGGCUCGGUCAACCGGAAUCGCGUUCCGGAUCCAACCGUGCGGUCGGAUUCGGACGAUUUCGAACGCGGGUAUGGGUACGCGGUCGUGUAGAGGGAUAUCCGGGGACGAGAGGGAGAACGGGCGGUGCGGCAACGAUUUAAAAACAUCGACAGACGUCCGACGUGUAGCCCGAAUACGUUGCUGCUACGGUCGACCGUUCGGGUACCAGACGGACUCCGAUCGCGACGAAACUUGACAAGCGGCCUACCUAUAUUAAAAAUAACACCGUACGUCAAAUCUCAACCCGAUCGUGUGAUAUAGUGUGAUCUAGUAUCUUGUGUUGUUCACCUACUUGUCGUGUGGUAUAGCUCAAGUAAGUUUGUGUAACUUACUUGUGCUUGUUAGUAACUGUAUUGUGUCCAUCUUAGUAGAUCGUGUUGUUGAUACACGUUGCAGUGUCUAGUGCAUUUAGGAUUUGUGCUUGACAAGUACCCUCUUAGUUUAUUUCCGCAUUAGUUUCAAGCCAAAUCCGAAGAAGUUUUUAAGUAGCCUAUUCACCCCCCCCUCUAGGCGUCAUCGAGGUCUUUUCAAUUGGUAUCAGAGCUAGGUAUCUCUUUAAUUAGGUUUCACGACCUAGAGAGUAUCGAUGUCGACUAUUGGAUUAGUGGACAAUGGCACCUUUGACUUUGAUGGCACAAAAUAUACCCUAUGGAGAAUCCAUAUGCUUCAUCACUUUCGGGCCAUGGGCCCAAAUACUUUACGAAUUGUUCUUGUGGGGAUUGCCGACAAAAAGGAUGAUGCAUCUUCAUCUACUAAUGAAAUGUAUCUUGAUUGUGAGGCUUUUCUUGCCAUUCAUCGAACCAUAAGUCCUGAAGUGUUUAAGUCUAUCUCAACUUGCAAGUCAGCUCAUGAAGUUUGGACUAAACUUGAAGAUAUAUAUGGUGGGUCCAAUCUUGAUGAAGACGGUAUUAUGAUGAAGGAGUUGGUGCAUGAGCUCUUCAGUCUUUUCGAUCUUCAAUCUCAGAAGGUAAUGACAUGGUGAGUGAAGAAAUAUAUGUUGAUGAAAAUGUCAUAGCCUCUAUGGACACGAGCAUAUCUAGCACCACACGUAGUGUAAAUUAUUGUGCUGAUAGGUCAUGCAUUUCACCUAAAGAUCCCUCGACAAAUGUCUGUGGUGAUAUGCCUGCUUCCUCGUGUCCUCUUGAUCAAAAUAUCUUGUUUCUCCCUAGUUGCUCUAUGACUAAUCAUUUAGGGGAAAUCAAGAAAUAUGAAGUACUUUUGACUAAUGAAGAAUCUGAUUCACCAAAAGAAUCAUCAUCAACUCCUCCAAUUCACAUGUGCCUCAUGGCAAGAGGUAAUAAUGAGGUAUCAUCUUCCCUGUGCAAUAACGAUGAUAUUUGCGAUGAGGAUGAUGAUGAUGACUUGACUGAAAAUAUCUAUGUGAUCAGUAAAAUUCAUCAUAAAGCUAAAAAUAACGCUCUUCAAAGAUUCCAAGAUGUUCUUGCUUACUUUGAAAAUUGUAAUAAUUCACUUAAUCAUGAACAAGCUAAAAGUGAACAACUUGAACAUGAACUUGAGAAGAGUCAUCAAGCAUGUAGAGACUUAAGAUCUUCAAAAGGAGAGAUUGAAGUUACUCAUGAUAAACUUAAGAAGGAUUUUGAUGUCCUUCUCCUGGAAUGCAAUAAUGUCAAGGGAGAGCUCAUCAAAACCUCUAAGAUCUAUGAGGAGCUUCAAUCUACUCAUGAGAAGUCUCUAUUUUCUACUUACUCCUCUCAUAUUGUUGAUGAUACUUGUACAUCUAACUCUACCUCAUUUGAAGUAUCAACAUUGAAGGAGAAUAUUGAGCUACGUGCUCAACUUGAUUUACUAACUAGCAAUUAUGGGAAGUUGGAAGAAAACCAUGUAAUGCUCACAAGCUCUCAUGCCGAUCUUCUAACAUCCUAUAAUGUGCAAAGCUUAGCUCAUGAGGCUAUCAUCACCAAGGUAACAUCAAGUGAGCCUCAUGUGGACAAUGGCACUACUUCUAGUUAAAGUACUAUAUUUCCAUGUGCUAGUCCUCGUAAUUCGUCUACUCAAAAUAUUGCUACCUCGUGUGAUGAAUUACUUUCCUUGCCUUGUUGCUCUAACAUUGAAGCUUACACUUCCUCUAGUACUUGCAUUGAUACUAACCGUGCAGAGGAAAUUGAAGAGCUCAAGGCCCAAGUCACUUCUUUGAAGAAAGACUUGGAACAGUGUCAUGAAGGGAUGUCCACACUCAAGAACGUCCUGUGUGAACAAACAUCUCCGAAUGACAAAAAUGAUGUUGGAGUAAACUCAAACAAGAACAAGAGGGGCCUAAAACAAGUCAAGAAUUCGGCCAAAAUCAUUUGCUUCAAGUGCAAAGUUAAAGGGCACCAUGUUAGAUCUUGCCCUCUGAAGACGAAGUCUCAAAGUCACAAGCAACAAGGGAAGCGGCCACAAACUCAAUCACAUAUUCAACUACAAGUUGAAGGAAGGCCUCUUCCCAAUAAGACCCAAGCCAACACUCCCCGAGGUGAGAAAUCAACUGGGAAGAAAGCAAAGGGUAGAUGUUGCUACUUAUGUCGUGAGAAGGGUCACGUCGCUUCGUCUUGCACAAGAGGUAACUUAUCCAACCCAAUCACUAUUGUUGAUAUCUAUUCCCUUGGGAAGGAUAAGGUUGGCAAUGUGUUUGCCAAGUUUGUUGGUACUCAAAAUGGUGUCAAGAAAAGAACCAUUUGGGUUGCAAGCCUAUUGUGAUUAACCUCUUAGGACCCAACGUAGUUGGGGACCAACAAGUUCAAACUUGAUCAAUAGGUGACUAUGGAGGACAUUAGAGACUUGGAUACAUAAUGAAGAAUUAAGGGGUCUUCAUCAUUCAUAUUAUCUCAAGCCAAGUCAUUUGGAUUAUCGAGUUUCUAUCUUAUAUCCAAUGUGCCUCCUUACGGUAACUUAUACUUACACUGUUUACAUUGUUAGGUGCUUGCCCCUUUGCAUGUUGUGGUUUUGUACCUUGCAUGUGUUUGUAUAUGUUGUGCUUCCAACUUCCUUAUCUUGAGUAAUUGAGUAUGUGUAUGUUCGUUUGCAUAUCAUGUACAUGUGAGUCUUGUAUUGAGUCUUUUUGCGUCUUGUUUGUAUUUUUGUUGGCUCUUGUGAGAGAUUAAUGGAUUAUCCCAUUGUGGCGGAGUGAUGUGCUUUGCAUACCUCACAAUCCUAUAAAAGUGUAUACAUGGGGAAUACCACUUAGUUUUGAUAUUUCAAGAUUAUCUAGUUUCUAUGUGGUAUGUCUUACUCAUGAGAAAUUCAAAUUCUAUAUGGUCCAUUAAGUAUCUCUUGUUGGUUUUAAUUUGCCACUUGUUAAUAUUGAUGGUUUAUCACAUUAUGGGGGAGUAAUAUGCUAUGUGCAUAUUACAAAACUAGAAAAUGUGUACAUUUAAGGUGUUGCCACUUAGUGUUGAUAUUGUAAAUUAUCUUGUUCCUAGGUGGCAUGUUAGCUCUACAAGUGUCAUUUGCUUGCGUUUUAUGGGUAAAGAUGAUCUUGGAUAUAUUUGCGAUUUACCAAUGAGUAUCACUUCCAAAAAUACUUCUUGUCCUUGACAAUUGGUAUUCCCAUCAUGUGAUAGGAAUUUCUAAUCGUGUUUACAUUGGAUUUUGUGUUUGUUUGUCUUCCUUGCCUCUUAUGGAUCUAUUUUAACAUGUCUGGUGUUUUUAUAGAUAUAGAGAAAGUGAUUAUCCCAUCGUGUGCAUUUUGUAUUUAAAUGCAAAUUCUAUAUAAUGCACGUCCCUUGGGGGAGCUAUCCUAUUUUCUUUAGAACACUCUCUUUAUUCACCCAUCAUAAAAUCUUUUGAUCCCCAUCAAGUGUGUGUUGAUGGGAGGCAAGUCUUGCUCUUUAUGAUGCUUUGUGCCAUCAUGAAAAUUUGUCGAGGGCUUGGUUUGUUGGAACCUAGCUCUCUUUUGGAAAUUAGAUACCUCGUGUUUGUUUUCCUUCAAUUGGUUUCUUGUUUCCUUUUAUUUGGCAUGUGACAAUGGAUAUCUCAUUCUUGAGGUAUCUUUUAAUUGAUAUCCUUCAAGUGAUAGUUCCUUUUUUGUUUAGGAUCUUAUUAUCACUUCAUACCUUGUCUUUUGGUGACUUAUCAACUUUGUGUUAAGUUGAUUCUUGAGAGUCUUGAGCAUGCAUAUCUACUAUUUACAACUUCUUUUGCUUGCUUUCCUUCUUUGACCCAAUAUAUAGGGGAAACUCCACCUUGUCAUAAAUUGGCUAAAGUGUGCAUGAAAUUCAAAUUCAUAUCUAUAUGCACAUAUGUAUGUGGAGUUUGUCCUAUGUAUUGCUGGUUUUCUAACUCUUUGGUCCCAAUGAGUUUGGGCACCAUUUUGUUUGUUUUGUUGUUCCAGGAACAACUGGAGAUGCAUUGGAUGCCCGUCUCACCUAUAAGGAAGGUGUUGAGACCAUGUGAUUAUUGGAGCCAAGUUAGGAUGAUCAAAGAACAACUAUCUACUACAUCAAUCCAAUGUUGUCUCGGUAACAAGUAUCCACUUCAUGCAUUCUUUUCUUGCAAAGGCCCCAACCUGUCUUUUCCUUUCGAGGUUGCAUCAUGGCAUGAAUCUCUUGAUUCGUUCUUGUAGUACUUGUUUGCUUUCUCAAAGCACCCGAACGAUGAUGUCUUACUACUAGUUGGGAUGUCCUUGAGGUUCGUAUGUUGGAAGUUCAUAUUGUAAAAUAAGAAAAUAUUAGGCCAUGUGCUAUGCUUCCAAGCAAAAUAUCUCAUUGAUAUAUUUAUGACUUCCUUUUGGAUAUCUAGUUUGUUCCUUCUUGUAACCAUUUCGUGUGUAAAAGAUUCUAAGUAGAAGACAAUCAUGAUGAUAUAUAUCUUUUACACAUAACAGAAGUUACAUCUCUAAUUGAUAUCCUCUUUUCUUUCACGUCCAUCGUUGCAUUUCCUUUUUCAGUUUUUGGUGGCUUCGUGAAAGGAUUUGUUUUGAGUGCAUAUCUUAUUUUCCUACAUCUUGAUGCACUCUUUGGCCGUGAAGAUUAUUUUUCCUCAUGCUUGUCUUGAUGAGGGUUUUGCCAUUUCAAUUAGUAUCCCUCCUCUUGACAAGCUUCUUACUUCAUAUCUUCACAAUGGGUUGUCACAAGCGUUGGUUCUUAUUUUUGUUUAUUAGUAAGCUUGUGAACCCAUUUUCUAGUAUGUGUGUGAGGGAAUGAUAUGUCUUGCACUUUGUAUCUCAUUUCAUCAAGACUAUGUUGAUGAGUAAUGCUCAUCCUUAUCUUAGUCUUCUCAAGUGCUUUGCCAUGACUCACACACAUUACUUUGGUUGAGCCUAUUCUUAAGUUGCUUCUUUUACAUGUUGCUCAACCAUUUGUUUUGUGCAAUUGAUAUGCUUAUUGUCUCAUCUAUCUUCUUGCACUCGUUGUGUGUUUUUAUUAAUUUUGGGGGAGCAACGAUCCUAUUUUGUGCACCUGUAUCAAAUACAAAAAUCUCGUAUUAGUGCACAAAUCAUGGGGAGCUUCCCUAGUUUUUGAUAAAACACUCUGUUGCCUUUAUCAUAAUAUCUUUUAUUCAUGUGGUUCGAAGGAUUAUAUGAUUGUUUGUUCCAUCUGGAAUCUUUUGAUUGCUUGCCUCUAUUUUUGUAUGUCUUUGUGGCAUACGAUCCUUUUAUUUGCAAUCUUUGGGUCCUCAAUAUAGUUUGUUUCCCUCCAACAACUUAUCAUUGUAUUUGUGUAUUUCUCUGCACUCAUUUGCUGAGAAGUACACACUUUUUGGAGUACCACCUACUAUAUUGGCUUUCUAAACUUUUCGUCCAUUUUGGCAAUCGAUGCCAAUGGGGGAGAAGUUUAGAGAGUUUACUUUGGAUAUGUUUAGAGGGUUUUGCUAUUAUUGUGUAAGCAUUUACAUCUUGCAUGCAUGCAUUAUUACCUUGUAUGUGUGCGCUUGGUUAUGCUUAUUUCCUUAUAUAAACUCUCUUGAAGUGGUGGUCUUCAAUUACCAAAAUGGGGGAGAUUGUUAGAGCAUAUAUCUCCAUAUGUGGUUUUGGUAAUUGAUGACAAUUCCUAUGGGCUAAUGGUUGCCUUAAGUUAUAUUUAUAGGAUUUGUCCAUAGGCACUUCUUGAAGUCCAUCUGUUGGGUUCAAGGAGUUUAUAUGAUGACCAAGAUGGUAAUCAAGGUAUUAUCCAAAGAAUGGUCAUAGAGACACUAGGUUGAUCAAGAUCUCAAACAAAGAGUAAAUCAAAGGAAUUGUCCAUAGGCACUUCUUGAAGUCCAUUUGUUGGGUUCAAGGAGUUUAUAUGAUGACCAAGAUGGUAUUCAAGGUAUUAUCCAAAGAAUGGUCAUAGAGACACUAGGUUGAUCAAGAUCUCAAACAAAGAGUAAAUCAAAGGAAUUGUCCAUAGGCACUUCUUGAAGUCCAUUUGUUGGGUUCAAGGAGUUUAUAUGAUGACCAAGAUGGUAUUCAAGGUAUUAUCCAAAGAAUGGUCAUAGAGACACUAGGUUGAUCAAGAUCUCAGACAAAGAGUAAAUCAAGAUGAUCAACACACAAAGCGUAUAAGAUGUACCGAGAGGGAUCAAGUGAUCCCAUGGUAUGGUAAGCAUUGUCCAUUACGUGUUUGUGUACUAACCCAUGGUCUUUGUGAGAGUCCUAUGUGGGGGUUAGGUGUGCUUCCAUGGGCUUGCGUCAAAAGGAAGAUCUCAUACAAUCCAUGAAGGAUGACGUCAAGUGGUGAUCAUCAUCAAGAUUGUGGUGUGCAAGUUCAAGUGGAUCAGCAUGAAUACAUCAUUGAAACUAUUGUUAAUGAUCAUGUGUUGAUAAGGACAAGCUCAUGUGCUAACAAGGACAAGAUCAAGAUAAGCAUUCCUGAGCACUACAUGCUUGAUUCUUGUGGAUGUUCACAUGAUGGACAAAUGAAGAUGAAUACAUAAGCUAGGCUUUCCACAUUGUGUAUGGGAGAGCUAUUUGAAGACUUCAUCAUGUCUUGCUUUCAACUUGAGCCAAGAAGGAACAACAACACCAAGCUCAAGUGAAAGGGCUAACUCAAGGUAUCAGUUACUUUGAUGUUAGCUGUGCAGAGUGAUGAUCAGCGAAUAAAAGUACACACUCAAGUAUGGGUCAUCGGUAUCCCUUUUACAAUUCUUGAGUCUUUAGGGAUCCCGCACUAUUAAGAGGGGAUCACAGGUUUUUGUGAUGAACUUGCUCAAACUAGAUAUCCAUUAAUCUGCUCAAUACCACAUAUUCUCUACUCUGCUCCUAUCUCAAAACAGGUCUAAUGUCUCGGACUUCCGACUCCCUCCGGACGUCCGAGGGCCGGUCAAGGGUCGGACGACCGACACGCUUCGAAAAUCCGGAGCCCUGCACCAGAAGAACUUGAGCCCUAUAACUCGGAUUUCCGGAUCCCUCCGGACAUCAGAGGGCCGGUCGACCGACCAGCUUCGGAAAUCUGGAGCCCUGCACCAGAAGAACAUGAGCUCUAUAACUCAGAUUUUCAGCUCCCUCCGGACGUCCGAGGGCCGGACGUCCGACCCCUUCGGAAAUCCGGAACCUUGCACCAGAAGAAGUUGAGUCGAAUAACUCGGAUUUCCGGCCUUCUCCGAACGUCCGGUCCCUAUUCAACUCACAGUGUUUCCACACAUAUCUACAGCUCUCGGACGACCGACCCCUGUCGGACGUCCGACCCCUUGCGGACGCCCGGACUUCCGUAAACUGCCGAACGUCCGACCCAUGUGUGACUUAAAGUGUCCCCAACGGAUGUUUUUCUCUCCUCACUAUAAAUACCCCCCUCCCACUUCAAGAGAGUGUGCCGAACACAGCCUUAUCCACAUAAGAACACACUUCUACCUCACACACAUUUGCUCACACCAAAUCUUAGAUCCCAAGAGCACUUGUGAGCCCCUUUGAGAGUUGUUCCAAUCAAAAGAUAGAUCGUCUCGCUCUCCUCCUCUCAACCCAAGCUAUUUGAGAUUUGAGCAAGUUUUGAGCAUUCCCCGUGAUCUUGUUACUCUUGGAGGUUGGAGACUCCUAGGCGGUAGGAGUUCUUCGGAGAGGAAUCAAUCCGUGUGAUUACCCCCCGGAAAAGUUUGUGAGGGUUUGGAAGCCACCUCAAAGGCUUACCACUAGUGGUUGAGAAACGCCUUCGUGGAGUUAUCUCAAAGGGAGAAUAGGGUGAGCCUUCGUGGCGUUGGUGUGCCUUCGUGGUAGCAUCCACCUCUCUAACGGUGACUAGCUUCCCUCCAAGGAAGUGAACAUCGGGAUACAUCUUCGUCUCAGUGACCUUGGUUAUCCUUAACCCUAACUCCUUACUUGUGGUUUACUUGUGUUACUUGAGCAUACAUACAUUGCAUAUUGUUUGUGCUCAUUAUAUUGUGUUGGCUAUUUCUUGUACAAGAUUAAUCAUUCAAGCAUACCUUCUAUAUUCACACGUUCAUACUUGCAGCUUUUGAUAUAUCGUGUGAUAUAGUGUGAUCUAGUAUCUUGUGUUGUUCACCUACUUGUCGUGUGAUAUAGCUCAAGUAAGUUUGUGUAACUUACUUGUGCUUGUUAGUAACUGUAUUGUGUCCAUCUUGGUAGAUCGUGUUGUUGAUACACGUUGCAGUGCCUAGUGCAUUUAGGAUUUGUGCUUGACAAGUACCCUUUUAGUUUAUUUCCCCAUUAGUUUCAAGCCAAAUCCGAAGAAGUUCUAAAAUAGCCUAUUCACCCCCCCCCCCUCUAGGCGUCAUCGAGGUCUUUUCACUAAGCCGUGUGACAAUCUUGCUGAUAUGUUCACUAAAUAGUUGUCGGCGUCAUCCUUUGAGAGGUGUGUGCGUUGAAUCGGUAUGAUGAGACUUAGAGAGAUGCAAGGUUAAUGGAGAGAAACUUCACAAAUUCAUCGCUAAAAUCUUGAUCCCGAUGAUUGAGUACUCAACCAGGUGGUUGAGUGGAUUGUACUCUUUUUCCCUUAAGUGAGUUUUCCUGAUGAUUCUCACCUAAGGUUUUUAACGAGGCAAUUCGCGCAAUACAACAACGUACACAGUGUGCUCUGUCUCAAUAUUUUUCCCACUGGGUUUUUCGGAGUUAUGAGACAUGGAUAUACAGAUAAUUACCCAAGGGGGAGUGUUGGGAAACUGGCCCUGACCCAAGGACUCGCGACGUCAGUAGUGAGGCUGGCUCGCGUGCGAGGCACGCAGCCAACCCCUAUCGUUUCCCAAACUCACGUUAGAUGGGUAUUUAUCCCUUGACCCCAUACCCCUGUAUAAGCAGAGGAGAGGCAAUCAUUGUAACAGAGAGACCCAUCAUUAAUAAAGAUUGUUUCCUCUUUACUUCUUGGUGUUCAUCUAUUCGGUGUGUUCGACUACUUUGUCUACGACGCUGCUCCACUCCGCAACUUUGGACCGGACUCGUCGGCAGGAGAUGCGGAACAUUUAGGACGCCCUCACGAUGGGCCGCCAUGACAUCGCGGGAGGCUACAACCUCUUUUUCAUACUUUCUGUUUUUGUUUUUCCUCUACUUUUUGGUUUUGUUUGUGCUCUUUCACACCCACAGUAGCAAACAUGUCCGUGCAUUGCACCAGGAGAAAAGGAAGAUAAGCUUUACUACGAAGCAAAACUAAGUUAUCAUUAAUUAGGUUGGACAUUUGGGUGAUAAGUGUGAUGAUAACAAAAAUGAUGAAUCAAUUAACAAUAGGAUUCUUGGGGGUGCUAAUCGGGUGAACUACCUUAUACUACCAUACUCAUAAUAAAAAUAUCCUAAAUUUACUACUUAUUUUGAGUUACCGACGUCACACAAUAAAAGUGUGGUAUAAUUUGUUCGAUGUCCAUGCAUGUAUGCUUCUGUCGUGUGCGUUGACCAUGUAGUCCUUGUCGUAUAUAUGUUCUAAGUUUCUGUUAUGUUGCCAUAUAUGUAGGAUUCUUUAUUACAAUUUCAUCUCUACUUAGUUUGUUGCUCGAUUCACGUUUAGACGUAAUUUCCUAUGUUCUUCUUUCAGGUGAUUAUCACUAAGUAAAUUUAACACUAUCAUAUAUAAAAUUAUUAAAUGUCUUUAAAUCAUAGUGGUAGGAUAUAACAACUUCUGUAAUUACCUUUGUUCAAGAAAGUAAGCUAGUUCAUUAAAGUAGGUUACUUUUGUUUACUAUAUUCUUUUGUUUAAAUAAUAUAUUUGUACCGUGGUAUCCCUACACAUAGUUUCAAAUAAGCAUGACUAAGUUAAUUAACGACGGCGCAUGUGUCUUGUUUUUCAUGGAUACACUUUAGGACGUAGGAAAAUGUUAUGGCAUUUGUAGAUCAGAUUAAUUAUUGUACUACAAUCAGACAAGAAAAGAUUCUUUACACGUAACAAUAGCUGGGAUCAAUUAAAAACUCUAUUGCCAUGACACGUAAAUUAAAGACGUAAAUUAAAAACAAGAAAAGAUUCUUUACACGUUUAAUAGCUGGGAUCAAUUAAACACGUCUAGAAGAGACCAGCCACCUCGCUGCACCCAUCAGCACGCGAGAUCCACAUCCCGUCGUUGCGCUUCCUCGGUUUCUCUACCGUGAUAUUCACAUCCCGACCUUCCGUUGGUCUCGCAGAAGAGACGCGUUGCUCCGGCCAGCUUGAGGCCGCCGUUGGGAUCCUCACGCUGCAGCCGGCCCGCUCGGGGCCGCCAUCGCUCCAGCACCAACGUCCACUCUCGUAACGGCCGGCCCACCAUGGAUCUUUCUUCAGUGCUGGCUCCGGCCCGCUCAAGGCCGCAGUCGCUCCAGCACCGACGGCCACUCGACGGUCGGCCUAACAUGGAUGGAUCUUACUCUGGUGUUGUUAUUUCAGCCUUUGCUCCCUCUGUUUGCUGAUUUGAAGCGAGCAGCAUACCAAUUUCCCGACCUCAAUCGGGUUACGAGAGGCCCUCUCGCGCGCAAGCACGACAUCGCCAAAUUCCCGAGCUCGCCCCACGGCUGUCUGGCCGCCUUCUUCGCCCCAUUCCUGCGCUCACCACGCCGGAGAGGGCCGCCUGGGAUGGAGAAGGCCGUCCGUACCGCCUCGCCAUAGCCGUCCGCCUGGGAUGGAGAAGGCCGUCCGUACCGCCUCGCCAUAGCCGUCUCCGCUGCCAACAAGACUAUCCUCGUGUCGUACAUACGGCAGGGCUAGGCCCCAGCGGAGGCGGAGAGAGCAGUCGGCGGUCGCCUGGGAGUGGAUAAGAGGAAGGGAGAGAGCAGCCGGCGGGCGCCUGGGAGUGGAUAAGAGGAAGGGAGAGAGCAGCCUGCGGGCGCCUGGGAGUGGAUAAGAGGAAGGGGAUGAACACGGUCUGGAUUGGAUAGAGGGUGUGUCUGUAAAAACGAAACAUUAUCUCAAAUAAAAACAGGACCGUGGGUUGAAUACCAUAAAACGGGAGUUUUUUUUUUGCAAAACGUGCACGACGGGUUUUCCGACAGAUUGACUAUUUGUCACCCUGGAUGAGGAAUAGUUAUUUUUCAUCUCCCUUUAUUUUAACAUCAAUGCAUCGUAAUUUUAUGCUUUGUUAUUUUUUUUCUUAUUUCAUACGUAGAAAGAGACCAUACGAAAAUAUAUAAUCAUCGUAAAAAAUAUUUUAUGUCACGUAAAAUUACAAACAAAGAAAUAUAGUGUAAUAUAUAUAUAUAAUGCAAUUUUUGUGGUCUUAUGACCUAUAUCUUUGUUUUUUUAUGUUAAAUUUUACAUAGUGAAUCAAUAUAGAGGUAAUUAUUUGUAUUCCCGAUAUAACUUAUUUAUAAAACAAUCGUAAGAUUACCUUGGGCGAAGAAUAACUUAUUCUGCAUCCUGGGUGAUAAAUAGACUUUCUAUAUACAUAGCAAAAGUGAUCGUGUGUUGUAACGGAAGAAAAGAAUACCAUAUGUUCUUAAUUUAAAAAAAUGGUCUAUAAUCUGAGUAAAAUAACAUUACAUUCAGAUUUUACAUAAUGUUUUAAUCAAAUUAUAUAUAUAUAAUGUUAAAUUUGGAGUUACGGUCGAAGAUAUGGGUAUUUUUUAAAACAUUUCACAUGUACUACGGGUUUAAAGUCAGAAACAUCAUGGAGUUUUCUAUAAAAUAGCACGAUGAACUAAAUUUGAAGUUACGAUCUAGAAGAUAUGGGUAUUUAAAAAUAUAUUUAUUAUGUACUACGGGUUUAAUGUUAGAAAUAUUAUGGGGCUUUCUAUAAAAUAGCACGAUGAACUAAGAAUACUUAUUUCCAUUAUUGGUAUAGAUAGAUAGAUAUAUGACAAAUAUUUCCUACCAUCCGGUGGUAGUUAUAUGACAUGUCAUAUAUACAGUUAUGUGGUGGUAUAUGCACUGCUCUAUCAUUCUAAAUAUUUCAUACAAUAUAUAUUUAUAAAAAUUAUUAAACAAAUGUUGAUCAAGCAUUUGAAAAAGUUAAAUGUGUAUAAAGAAAUAUGACGAUUUUUAUUAUGUAUAUAAAAAUGUUAGUCGAGCAUUUCGAAAAUAAUUGAAUAAGUAUUUGAAAAAUGUUAAUAAAAAAUUUGUUAAUGUUAAAUGGCUAUUGAAAAAAUGUUAAUCAUGUGUUAAAAAAAAUGAAUUUUUUAACAUGUAUAUAAAAACGUAAGUUAACCAUUUGCAAAAAUGUUAAAGAAGUAUUUGACAAAUGUUCAUCAGGCAUUUGGAAAAUGUGACAAUGUAUGAAAAAAAAUGUUAGUGCUGCAUUUGAAAACGUCUUAAUCAAGCAUUUGAAUAAUGUUAAAUGUGCAUAGAAAAAAUGUUGACCAUGUGUUAAAAAAGUGUUGAUCUUGUAUUUGAAAAAUGUUAAUCAAGCAUUUGAAAAUGUUUGAAAUAGUGUAGAGGAAAAAUGUUGAUCAUUUAUGAAAAAAUGUUAACCUUGUAUUUUAAAAAUGUUAAUUAAGCAUUUAAGAAUUUUUAAAACAAUGUAUAGGAAAAAUGUUGAUCAUGUAUUAAAAAUAUUAAUAUUGUAUUUGGAAAACCGGUAAAACAAUAAAAGGACUAAAGAAAAAAUAAAAAAUAAAAGGAAACAAAAAACAAAAAAAAUACGGAAAAUAGAAUUCCAAAUGUAACAGAAGAAAAUGGAAGAAAGGGAAAAAGGCAAAAAAAAGUCAAAAGCACACGAAAAAAACCAAAUGACCAAUGCAAAACCAGCGGUUUUACCCUCAACUAGGUGGGUAUUUUACACAGUUGAAGCUGGCAUAGUGGCUAGCAGUGUUGCCACUAGUAUCGGAUCAAGGUUUGUACUAUUUGUCUUCUUUAUUAUAUUUUAUAAAACAUGCGUUAACGAACAGGCCCAGUAGCUACAGUGCUAGAGUAUUUGGUUCAGCGAGAAGGAGCUAGCAUUCGCGUGGAGCGAUAUAUAGUGCCUGCAGAGGUUUUAAAGGCACUUCGAUAACAUUGCGAUUUUUUCUGCCAAAUCAGCCUACAAGCUCUAUAUUCAGUUAAGGGAUGUACCUCACCAGUCAAGCAUCCGAAACACACAUAGUGGAGCUAGAAUGGAACAAAAUCUGGAAAUUGCCGUGCCAACCAAAGAUCUGCCAGUUUGUGUGGAGGUUUGCACAUAAUAGCUUGCCUCAGAAAAUGAAUAUGGAGAGAAGAGGCAUUGAGUGUGAUACCCUCUGUGUUGUGUGCAAAAGCCAACAGGUGGAUGACAUGCAUUUGGUUUUUUAAGUGCAAGGAAGUGAGGUGGUGUUUCUUUAGAGGGACUAGACUAAAAAAAGUUUCUUUUAGUCCCUAGGUAAAGAAACAGGAGGGACUUUUCCUUAAGGGACUAGAAAAAGACUCUACUGGAGGGACUUUUUUUUUUAGUCCACAAGAUUAAAAAAAGUUUAGUCUCUUGAAAAGAAACGCCACCUGAACAAGCUAUGGAGAGAGACGAGGAUGGAAGUUGUACGUCAUCGAAUGUGUACAUGCGCUAGUGCAGCGAGGCUAUCCGAGUUAUUCUGGCAUUGGGCGAAGAGACAUCUACCAAAAUAUGCUGCAUCUUUUGGAAAUGAUGGGAUAGAGGAAACAAGACCAAUGCCGGGGAGCACGUCUGUCUAGUGGAAGAGACAGUGGGCCAGACUGUCAAGUGGGCAACGAACUAGUAGUAGUUAUGUACACCAACUAAGACUAUUCACAAUGAGGAUUAACAUAAAGUUUAUAUUAUUAUCAGGUAAUAGCACCGCAGGUCCUAGAACUUGCGCGACAUGUGAUGGUUUAGUCCUAGAACUUGCAAAAGGGGGCAAACUAGUCCUAGAACUUGCAUAGGAGGUGCAAACUUAGUCCUGGACCAAUCACAUGACGCCACGUAUAGCCAGGGCUGUGGGGACGGUCAACUAAGGCACUUUUGCACUUUACACCAUGCAGUUCGCAGAAAUCAACCCGCAGUACACUCCCGCAGGUACUGUAGAUGUCGGCUGCGGCUAAAUCCACCUGCAAUAACUCCCCUGUGAAUCAUUCGUCGAGGGUGUGUUCGUCUUGUCUCUUGUCGGGACUUUGAGCGUUGCCCUGCUGCUUCCCGACAGCAGCACGCAUGGCAGCCUCGCCGGAGUGGACCGGCGUCUUUCCAUAGCCUCCUUCGUCAGUUCACCUUGUUCGGGCGCCUGGUGUCUUCCCUCCGGAUUAUGGUUCGUCUCCUCUCCUCUUUUUUCCUCCUCUUCCCUUUUUGGUCAUCUCUCCUCCGAUGAUUUCGUGUACUCUGCUCCGAUGAUCGUUACCUGCUGUUUGGAUAGUUGUUUGGAUAGUGUUGGCUGUUGUUUGGUUCACUUUUGCUCAGUAUAUGUACUUAGUUUGGGGAUUUCACUCGAGGCCUCAUUUCACUCUAGGGUUUUUACGGUUUUAGCGUGGACAGAUAGAUGCAGGGAGAGGAAGUUUUAUACUAGUUGCAGUACAAUAUUGUAAUGUACUUAGUUCAUGUAUUUAGUUAUGUCAUCAAAAUGUAGAGUUUCUUCUGUUAACUGUAUAUGUUAACUGCAUUUCUUCUGUUAAGUGCAUUUCUUCAGUUAACUGCAUUUCUUCAGUUAACUGGAUACUUAUUGGAUGCAGUGUGUGAUUCAGCAAUGGGACAAAUGGUGGAUUCUCCUUUUUUUACACUUGAACUGGAGCAUGGUGGCCUUUUCCGUGGAGCAAUUGAUGACAUCGAAUAUUUUAACCAUUCUGUUGAGGUGCUUGAUUAUGUUCAUUCUUCGAGUUUCUCAUAUGCAGACCUUCAACAUCACUUAAUUUGGCUUGGAUAUGUUGUGGGGCAGCACAUCAUAUAUUGGUGCAGACCUGGCAAAACAAUUUCAGAUGGGAUGGUAAGAAUCAAAGGUGAUGAGGAGCUGGAGCUUAUUCUCAGAGCUAGUGCUCAUCAUAAAGUGCUUGAAAUCAUGGUUGAUCAUUCAGAUUUUAUCAGUAAUUUCAGAGAAGAUCUGGUACUACAGAUGCCAAUAGUUGAGAGCCCUCUUAGGAUCUCCAACUCAAAUGCCCUCAUAUGUGUCAAUGUUGAAGACCCAAUAUGAGAGGUUGCAGCGAAGCAACAACAGAAGAUAGUUUGCUAACUAAUGGGGCAGGGUACUUGCUUAGUGUUGCUGUAGAUAAUUUACUUAUUGAUGGUAUCAAUGCAACAACACCAACAAAUUUGCAGCCUGAAGAUGUUGUGGUUUCAGAUUCAGAUUUCAGUGACAGUGAUUACGACAUAGAUGAUGGAGAUGAUGAUCUAUAUGCAGACAACAUUGACUUUGAUGUUGAUGAAGAAGCUCAGCAAGAGGAGGAAUAGGUGGAGCCUGAUUAUCUACUGGAAGAUGAAGAUAUAAACCCGUCCAUUGAAGAACAAGUGCAGCUUAAGUACAAGUUCAAAGCUUUCAAUCCCAAAGUGGACAUGACAUCACAUGUGUUUAGGUCAGGAAUGGUAUUUGCUGAUGUCAGUGAGCUCAGGAGAGCUAUUACUGCAUAUUCAAUAAGGAACAGAGUUCAAAAAAAGAAGUUGAAGAAUGACAAGAUAAGACUGGAGGCAGUGUGUCAGAGUGGUUGCCCAUGGCUUCUUAAGGCUGGGAAUGACAACAUAACUGGAGGUUUUGUCAUCAAGGCCUAUAAUGGAGAGCAUUUGUGUCAGAAGAAAUGGAAGUUAAAAGAUUUGACAGCUAAAUUCUUAUGCAAGGCAUUCAUUGAUGAGUUCACAAAUGACCAGAAGAUGUCACUUGCAACAUUUUCAAGGAAGAUCACUAAGGAAUUUAAUGUGACUCCUAACAUGUGGAAGUUAGCUAGGGCUAGAAAGCAAGCACUGAAUGAGAUCCAUGGUGAUGAGGCAGAGCAAUUCAGUAAGUUAUGCGACUAUGGGGGUGAAUUAAGAGCAAGAACCCUGGGUCUACUUUUCUGCUAUCAACUACACUAGUGAAGAAUCAAAAAUUUCCAUUGGGCAGGAAAUGUUUGAAAACUUUGUACCAGGCGUAUGAUGCAUGUAAAAGAAGUUGGCUUAAGGGUCGCAGGCCUAUCAUCUUCAUUGAUGGAUGCCACAUGAAAACAAGAUACAAAGGAGUGCUGCUUAGUGGUGUUGGAAUUGAUCCUAAUGACUGCAUUUUCCCCAUUGCAAUGGGCUGGGUUGAAGUUGAAUGCACAGGGUCUUGGGACUGGUUUCUCACCACUUUGAGAGACGAUCUUAACAUUAUUAACACUGCUCCUUUCACAAUUAUGAGUGACAAGCAAAAAGGUCUAAUAAAUGAUGUGCACAAGGUUUGUCCAGAUGCACAACACAGGUUCUAUGUGAGGCACAUAUACCAAAAUUUUAAUUAAAAGCACAAAGGAGAGGUACUGAAGCAAGACCUAUGGGCCAUUGCAAGGUCAUCAAACAAGGUGAAGUGGAGAGACAGAGCUGUCAAAAAAUGGAUGAUCACAGUGCAACUGCUUUCCACUGGACUGAAAGGCUGGAGCCAAAAACUUGGUGCAAGGCAUUUUUCAGUGAAUUUUCCAAAUGUGACAUUCUGUUGAACAAAAACUCUAAAGUGUUUAACAGUUACAUACUUGAGGGGAGAGAGAUGGCAGUGCUUAGUAUGCUUGAAUACAUAUUCUACAAGAUCAUGCACAGGUUAGUGAGCAAACAGAGGGAAGCUAUUGAAAAGUGGACAGUGCAUAGGAUAUGCCCAAAGAUCAGGAAGAAAUUAGAAAAAAAAACACUGAAUUUGCUGCAAACUGUCAUGUAUCAGAAGCUAGCCAACAAAUUUUCAAAGUUAUGACUGGUAACUCAACCUAUAUAGUAGACCUUUGCUUGCACACAUGUGAUUGUAGGAGGUGGCAGCUGUCUGGAAUACCUUGUGGGCAUUGUGUAGCAUGCUGCAGGGAGGAGAGAAUUGAUCCAGAGACAUUGGUUCAUGAAUGUUACACAGUUCAGACAUAUCUUAAAGCUUAUGGAUAUACUUUGGUUCCUCUUGGAGACACAAAAGAAUGGAAGAAGCAAAAUGGGUGCAAGGUGUUUCCACCAGUGUUCACAAAAUAGUUGGGCAUGCCAAAGAAAAAAAGGAAGAAGACACCAGAAGAGAAGAACAGGAAUGGUGUAACUGUUUUGAACAGAAAGGGUGUCAUAAUGCACUGCUCCAUAUGUGGGAGAUCUGAUCACAACAGAAAGGGGCACUACAAAUGGCAGGAAGCUCAGAUUCAAGAAUGGGUGGAGUUGGUUGAUGAAAACUAUGAUGACCCAACUUUCCUUCAGGUAUGUGCAUGUCUAAAACUUAAAUGAAUUUACCUGAAUUUGUGCUUGUCUAAAACUUAACUGAAUUUAGCUGAAUUUGUGCUUGUCUAAAACUUAACUGAAUUUGUGUAGAACAUCUUCCCCGAGGAGCCAGAUCCUAGGUCUGAUCCAACUGAGUCACCAACAAGCAUGGUGUUCAACAUGGCUGAGAGAGAACUUGCAAAAAGAGCUCCUUAGAGGGUUCAUGGCCCACUGCCAGACCAAUCUUCAUUUAUUGCUGCUGUUGGUGCUACAAUACCUUAGCCAAGGGUGACCACUGACAUGAACAUAGGAAGGCAGACAAGGGCUAACAAUGCAGUUCAAAUAGGACAAGGGCAGAAAAAUGCAAGUGCUGGAAGGGGGAGAGGAAGGAAAAGACAAAGAGAUGCAGGGAGAGGAAGAGGCAGAAAUGUAGAUGUAGGUGUUGCAGGGAGAGGAAGAGGCAGAAAUGCAGGUGGUGGGAGGGCAUACUGGCUGUUGUUUGGAGAAGACUUGGGGAGGCAAAUUCCUAACCUAAAUGCUCCUCCUGAAGAUUGACCUGAUCCCUGAUGCAAUGGGCAAUGGGCAUUUUCAGUGCCAUUUUUUGAUAAGGCCUCUAAUGAUGUACUCCCUCUAUAAACUAAUAUAAAAGCAUUUAGAUUACUAAAAUAGUGUUCUAAAUGCUCUUAUAUUAGUUUAAGGAGGGAGUAACUCAUAAACUGGCCUUAAGGACAGCUUGAGGCUGAAUUAUAUUUCAAUGCCAAAACUUUGUGGUUAAGAUGAAAUUUAUGUAGGCUGAAUUAUAUUUCAAUGCCAAAACUACGUGGUUAAGAUGAGUUUUAUGUAGGCUGAAUUAUAUUUCAAUGCCAAAACUGUGUGGUUAAGAUGAAUUUUAUUUUGCCAAUUGAUUUAACAAAAGUUACCAAAAAAAUUGGGAGGCCUCGGGCUCGAACCCAGGACCUCGGGUAGAAAUGUUGCGAGCAAUGCCAAUGGGAUAGUAAUAGGAACUUGUCAUGUUACUACUAUUAAUCUACUACUACUCUGUUUAGUGGUAGCGUGCGUGCGUGCGACCGUGCUGUUUGCAAGCGGUGGCCGUUUCAGUUUCCGAGGCUGCUGUAAGUGAUGCCAUGACCACACACCACCCUCCGUCUCUUCACAAUACUCACCACCCACCGCCCGCCUUCUCUUCGCACUCCCCAUCUCCUCCUACACAGAAACUGCCUCCCACACGAUGCAACCGUCGGCGCCAUGGACGCUAGCAUUGGCUGGCAGAAGGCCGUGCCAGAUCUCGUCGGCAACAACAACGAGAUCGGCGAGCAGCUUUGGGAAAAUCACGACCUGGUUCCCAAGCAUCAAGAUGAUGUGCAACCACGCGCCUGGCCUGAUCAAGGUCAUGCGAGAGGACGAUAAGGCCCGUGCCUUCCCCCCUAGCUACGUCGUCCCACCUUCCGCCGUCAUCCUUUGGGCAAUGAGGGAGGUGCAGCGUUCCAUCGACCUGAAACAACGCGCAAGGUGGUGGAUGUACCGCUCCUCGAGGAUGACGGCACUGCAGCCGGAUCCUACACGUCUUGCCUCGAGGACGGAUAGGUUCACUGACGCUGUCCUCGCGUUGCCAGCGGCCGUCGAUGAGCCUGAUGUGCAGAUCAUUCCGCUAGUCUUCACUGCCAAAAAGGGUAACAAACACCUCCCUAUUGACGUGGAUGAGCUGCAGGAUGUUCCAGAUGCAAUCAAGCAGGAGGUGCUGGAUGAAGCGGGGGACAAGAAGAAGAGGGAGCCAAAGAAGAAGGUUACACUGAAUGUGGUGCGCCGCUCAGAGCGCCUCAAGAAGCUCAAGAACAAUUGAAGUACUGCAAAUCCCGUUAGGUAUGCUGAUAUAGUACAACAUAUAAGUUAUAAGUAGUGGAUUUUGUAAUCUGGUUAGGUAUGCUGCUAUAUUUCAGCAUAUAAGUUAGAAGUACUAUUAAUUUUGGUAUAACUGAUGUGAACAAGAUGGUAUUCAGUUAGAAGUACUGGUUUGUUUUAUGUGAUAUUAUGUUGCUAUAUUUAUCUCUCUUGCAGUGUUCAUGUUUUAGGUGCUUGUUGUAUGAUGGUAUUAUGUUUUAGGUGUAUGUUGUUUUCUGUUGCAUUAUUGUUGUGUGUUGCAGAUAAAAAUUCAGUUAACUUACUGAAUUUUAGAUAAAAAUGCAGUUAACUUACUGAAUUUUGUAAAAUUCAGAUAAAAAUUCAGUUAACUUACUGAAUUUUAGGUAACUGUCCAAAUUUCAGUUAACUUACUGAAUUUUAGAUAAACUGUACAAAAUUCAGAUAAAAAUUCAAUUAACUUACUGGAUUUUAGAUAAACUGUACAAAAUUCAGAUAAAAAUUCAGUUAAGUUACUAAAGUUUAGGUACAGACCACCAUAAUGCACUUGAGUGCAAGUUCAGACCUACAUAAUGCACUUCAGUGCAACUUGAGACCAAACAUAAUGCACUUGAGUGCAUUCCAGUAAACUAAAAUUCAUCAAGGAUUUCCUUAAUCUUCUUUAUCUUCUCCUUUGUUUCCUCCUUAUGAUUGAACAUAUCUCCAAUCAUGUACUCCAACUUCUUCUUGUCCUUCUUCAUCACAUCAUUCUGUAACACCAAAUUGUCUUUGUCUUCAAGGAUUUUUAUCUUGUCUUGCAUUAAGUUGUCCCUCUCCUGCUUCAUCAGGUCCCUUUCUUUCUUUGCCUUGGCCCUCAACACCUGAUGGAUGUUUGUGGCAGUUUUGUCACAUAGAUUUUUCUUCUCUAUCUCUUGCUUUACUUCACUAAGAGCAAUCUGUGUGUUGCCUAACUGGGCCAAUGUCUGCUCUUUGUCACCAACCAUCUUAGCAAAAUCAAGUUUAAAAAACCUCAGCUCUUUCUCCAUCCUUUCCUUCUAUUUCAGGAUCCUGUAAUUUUCUUCACCAAUAGCUAAAUUCUGACUCAACCUUAGACUGUUCUCAUCAUCAAACAUGCCCCAGAUCCUAGCUAAACUCAUCUUCAAAGGGGUAGGCCACUAAGGAUCAAUCCACUCCACAAAGGGGCAUCUAGGUCCUUCCUAUCAAUUCAGACAAAAUUCAGUACAUUAGAACAACUACAUUUAACACAUCAAAAACAGCUUCAGUUAACUAAUUCAGACAUAAUUCAGUACAUUCAGACAAAGUUCAUUUAACCACAGCUAAAAUUAGCAACUUCAGCUAACAAAAUAAAGUAAAUUCAAUACAUUCAUACAUACUUCACAUCUACAUUCACACAUAGUUCACAUCUACAUUCAGUAGAUUUACUAAAUUCAAUACAUUAAUACAAACUUUAGAUAAAAAUAGCUCAAAUACAAACUUCAGAUAAAAAUAGCUCAAAUUAACAGAUCAAAAAAUUAAACACCUACAACUAGCCACAAAUUUAUUGACUUCACCAAAAGUUGCACGGGUACUAACCUUUUGUGCACAACCUAAGAAUCUCCUGCCACUAUCAACUAACUCAAAUGCCACAAAUUUCUCGCACACAGCACGGUGUUCACAUCUAGUAGGUAGAUCUGUAGCCAGCCCUCUCCAUUCCGAGCAAAAAAUGGUGGAAGGUGGCUACACAAAAACAGAUCGAGGUUCAGCAAAAUCGCAAGCUUUGAAUAACAAUAGAAGCAUGAGGUGGAUGCAAACCUGACUGGUCACUGAAUCCCCGUCCGACGAGGAGCUGGAAUUGUCGUUCCAUGAAGGCAUGCUGGCGAGAUGGACGUCCACGGCGACCUGGCGGCGGCAGAGUUAUUGCAGGUAGAAGAACAGGGAGUAAGCGAGGGGGAAGAAGAAGACGGAUUCCAGAUUCAGGGGAGUUAUUGCAGGUGGAUUUAGCCCACUUGCACGCGCGGCCGACGUCUACAGACGUGUACUGCGGGUUGAUUUCGGCGAACGGCAGGGUGUAAAGUCCAAAAGUGGUUGUGUUGACCGUCCCCACAGCCAUGGCUACACGUGGUGUCAUGUGAUUGGCGAAGACUAAAUUUGCACCUCCUAUGCAAGUUCUAGGACUAGUUAGUCCCCUUUUGCAAGUUCUAGGACUAAACCAUCACAUGAUGCGCAGUUCUAGGACCAGCGGUGCUAUUACCUCUAUUAUUAUCUUCAAUAGAUAGUAACAUAGGGGUAGUAACAUUGAGCCUUUUAUUUAUUAUCUUAUAGACUUAUUGUGCCUUGGUAUGCGUUAUUUUACUUGACUACUCACAAUGGGGAGUAACAUAGGCCCUGUUUGUUUCACUCGGACUAGACUAAAAAAGUCCCUUUUAGUCCCUAUGUAACCAAACGGGGGGCACUUUUUCUUAAGGGACUAGAAAAAGACUCUACUGAAGGGACUUUUUUCUUUAGUCCAUGGGACAAGAAAAAGUCUAGUCCCUUGGGAAACAAACACCCCCAUAGAGUAGUAACAUAUAUAUGUUACUAGUCUAAGUUAUUACCUGCAUAGUGGAUAGUAACAUAGGGAUAGUAACGUUGAGCCUAUCAUUUAUUAGGCUAUAGACUCAUCUUGCCUUGGUAUCUGUUAUGUUACUCAUAGAGGUAGUAGCAUGCUAAGUUACUCAAUUUCUCUCUCUUUUUAUUUAUUAGUUGACACAUCAUAUUUUUUGCUUAGGUGACACUUAUGUUACUACAUAUGUUACUCUCAUUGUGGGAACUCUUUAUAGUAUGAAUAACUACUCCUCACGGUAGUAGCUAAGUUACUUAAUUUCUCUCGUCUCAUUAAUUAGUUGUCACAUCACAUUUUUUUACUUAGGUGACAUUUAUGUUACUAUCUAUGUUAUUUUUAUUGUGGGUAAUCUAAGACUAUUAUUUGUAGUUCACGAUUGAACUGGCGGUGCCCAUGGGUCAGGAGCAGGUCAUCUGCACAACUGAAUAUUGCAGCUCAGUCUGAGGCGGAAACAUGGACAGAGGCAGUCCAGGCAGCAGCAGAAUGGGGCAUGGCGAAUAUUGUUCUGGAUUCUGACUGCCAAACAUUGGUUCCUGCACUGAACAGCAACGAGUAUGCAGGGCAGCAAAAUGAAUCAUCUACAGGGAUCUUUUUAUCUUCCUUCCCAAAAGGACCCGUCUACGGGGAUCUUCGUAUCUUCCUUCCCACAAAUUUAAUUUCUGUUGAUGUGGCAUUUGGUCCUCGGGAAUGUAAUAAGAUGGCACAUGCCCUGGCGGCUUAUGGUGUGCGUGAGCACAACCCCUAACUUCUAUGCAUGGUCUGAGAAUGUACCUUAGUUUGUAAGAGCAACUUCAAGGGUCCGAUCCAAAAUGUCUGUUAGUGUUUGUUUGGGUCGAAAAGCACAUAAGCAUGGACGCAAACCUAAAACACUUUCAUCUGGUGUCCACGUCGACGCAUAUAAGGCUCGAUGAAAAUUUGCGUCUAAUUUGCGCCUACGCGGACAGGAAACGGACAACCCGCGCGUCUCGUCGGUGUCCAUGCACGAGGUUGUGCUCUUCAUGUACUGUAGCUAGUAUUCUACUGUUCGCUACUGUACCUAGUAGUUGUCUUGGGGCUUGCCUCGGGCCUUCAUAGUUCCCAACUCCGCCACUGCCACGAACUACCAACUGUGUCAUAUUAAACACGACCAUCCAUUUUGGGUCUGUGCGUUAUUGAUCGGAAGCUACGGGGAGGUCGUCCUUUUAUAAUCCACUCAUGCGAGGGAGCGGGCUCAUCCACUUGCACUCCCUCCCGUCCACAUCUGGUCCCGCACAACCCAUCUUCGGCGACAGGGCAACCCUAGCUAUGGGCUUCUUCAGUGUCAAGGGCAAGGACAAGAUGACCCGAGCGCCGUCUCGUCCCGCCCGCCUCCUCAACCACCACCUGUUCGCGGCGUCCGUAAGCGGGUGAACAUAAUGAUAUGUCCAUUUUGCAUCAUGAACUUAUUAUAUAUAUUUGUGUUAUUCUUGUCCAUUAUUCUCUAUUAUCAUCUUGUGUCCUUUCUCUCUGAAUAUGCAAGGUACGUCACUAAGAGGGAAAUUUCUGGAAACUGGAAUUUUGGAACCAAAAACCAAGAAAAAGGCAGAAAAAUCAACUUGCUCCAAAUGACCAGAAAUUUAAUGGAGAUUUUUUCUUAAAUAUUUAAGAAUUAUUGGGCCAGAAAUACACGAGAGGGUGGCCACCUGUUGUCCACAAGGCAACAGGGCGGGACCACACACCCUGGGCGCGCACUGAUGCCUUGUGCCCCCCCCCCUGCUGGCCCUCUGAUGUCCCUCUUCUCCUAUAUGGCGUGUUUUUACCUAGAAAAAAUCAUAAGAAACCUUUCGGGAUGAAGCGCCGCGGUCUCGAGGCGGAAACCUAGGCAUAGGCCCUUUUGCUCUCUGGUAGAGAGAUUCUGUCGGUGAAACUUCCCUCCGGGAGGGGGAAAUCAAAGCCAUCGUCAUCACCAACACUUCCUCCUUUGUGGGAGGACCAAUAUUCAUCAACAUCUUCACCAACACCAUCUCAUCUCCAACCCUAGUUCAUCUCUUGCAUUCAAUCUUUGUCUCAAAACCUCAGAUUGGUACCUAUGGGUCACUAGUUGUGUUAAUUACAUUGUGUAGUUGAUGCUUGUUGGAUUACUUGGUGGAAGAUAUUAUGUUCAGAUCCUUAACUAUUAUAAUUACAUCUCUGAUCUUGAACAUGUUGAUGAGGUGUGAGUAGUAACUAUUGUUCCUCGGGAUAUGGAAGAAGUCUUGUUAUAAGUAAUCAUAUAAAGUUCGCAUUUGUUUGAUAUUUUAAUGAUAUGUAUGUUGUCACUUCUCUUAGUGGUGCCAUGUGAACGUCGACUACAUGACACUUCACCAUGUUAUGGUCCUAAGGGAAGUCAUUGUAGAGCAACAAGUAGAUGAUGGGUUGUGAAAGUGACAGAAGCUUAAACCCUAGUUUAUGUGUUGCUUCAUGAGCGGCUGAUUUGGAUCCACACGUUUAACGCUAUGGUUAGAUUUAUCUUAAUUCUUGUUUCAUAGUUGCAGAUGCUUGCGAGAGAGGUUAAUCAUAAGUUUGUUGUUUGUUCAAGUAAUAACAUCACCUUGCACCGGUCCACCCACAUAUCAAAUUAUCAAAGUAGCGAACACAAAUCAACUUAGUAUGAUGAAUAUGACUAGACAGAAAUUCACAUGUAUCCUCCGGAGCGUUUGCUUUAUAUAAGAGUACUUUCAGACAUGUCCUUUGCUAAACAAGGAUUGGUCUACUUUACUGCACCUUUUCUACUAUUGUUACUAAUUAUAUUGCUAAAAACUAUCUAGCACUGUUACUUACAACACUUGCACAGAAAACCUUGUUGAAAACCGCUUAUCAUUUCCUUCUCCUCCACGUUGGAUUCGACACUCUUACUCAUCUAAAGCACUACGGUUGACCCCCUAUACAUGUGGGUCAUCAAGUCUCUUUUGUGGCACCGUUGCCGAGGAGUGAAGUGCCUUUGGUAAGUUGACAUUGGUAAGGUAACAUUUUUCUUAUGUGCUGAAAUUUACUAUUGCUUGUCACUAUGAAUGGUCACCCUUUGAAUGGCUUGUUCGGGGCAUCUUCACCUCGAACAGAACUUGAGGAACUUGUUCCUCAACCUAUUGAACCUAAUGAAAAUAUUUAUUAUCAGAUUCCUUCGGGUAUGGUAGAGAAACUGUUGGCUAAUCCUUAUAAUGCUUCGACUCAUCCUGAUUACCAUUUGAUAUAUGUCGAUGAGAUUUGUGGAUUAUUUGAUUUCAGGUAUACCCGAAGAUAAAGUUAAGAAGAAAGUUUUCGUUUUAUCUUUGGAGGGAAAAUCAUUAAUGUGGUACAUGCUAUUGGAUGAUAUUGGAUCAUGGCAAUGGAAUCGCUUGAAGCUGAAAUUUCAACAAAAGUUUUAUCCUAUGCAUCUAAUUCAUCAUGAUCGGAAUUUUAUUUAUAAUUUCUGGCCUCACAAAAGAGUAAGUAUCGCUCAAGGUUGGGGGAGUAUUAAAUCUAUGAUGCACACUUUCCCAACCAUGAGCUUUCAAGAGAAUUCAUUAUACAAAAAAAUUAUGCUCGGCUUUCUCGUGAUGAUUAAACAUUGCUCGAUUCUUGUGUUGUUGGUUCCUAUAUGAAGGAGACUAUUGAAUUUAAAUGGGAUCUUAUGGAAAAGAUUAAAUGCAACUCUAAAGAUUGGGAACUCGGCAAAGGUAAAGAGUCGGUUAUAAAGCUAAUUUUGAUCGCGUUAAAUCUUUUAUGGAAAGUGCUUCUUUCCAUGAGUUCAGCAAUAAAUAUGAUCUUGACUGAGACAGUAGCUACUUUCUGUGAAUAUUUUGCUACCUCUAUUGAUCUUCCCAAGAAGAAGUGGUCUAAAUAUGAUCCUCACAUUGAAAAAUUUACGUGGGAACCUGUUAAAAUUAAGAAGGAGGACAUAAUUGUUAACCAUGUUGAUCCAAUUGUCCCUACUACUUACAUUGAGAAACCUCCUUUUCCUGUCAAGGCUACAAUUGUGGUUAAUAAAAGUUAUGUUAGGACACCUAAACCUUCUAAAAAAUAAAUGUUGAGCCUAAUGUUGGCAUAGUUAAAGAACUCCUAUCUGAUAAUAUUGAUGGACAUGUUAUUUACCUCUGUGAUGAAUUUGCUAGAAUUGCAGAACCUGUUAGAAACAAGCGAGAUGAACUCGAUAAAAAUAAAUGAGUGGUAGGCAUGUGUCAUCUCAGUUAAAAUUGGCAACCAUUGCUAUCAUGGCUUGUGUGAAAUUGGUGAUGGUGUUAGUGCUAUACCAUUUACAUUAUAUCAAGAAAUUAUGCAUGAUAUAGUGAUACGUCUCCAACGUAUCUAUAAUAUUUGAUGGUUACAUGCUAUUAUCUUGUCAACUUUGGAUGUUUUAUAUGCAUGAAUAUGCUAUUUUAUAUCUUUUUUGGGACUAACCUAUUAACUCAGUGCCAAGUGCCAGUUUCUGUCUUUUCCGUGUUUUUGACGGAGUCUAAAUUGAAUGAAACUUUACGAUGAUUUUUUUUGGACCAAAAGAGACCCCCGAAGCUAUGGAAGAAGGCCAGAAGAGCCAAGAGGGAGUCACAAUCCCAUGGGGCGCGGCCUACCCCCUGGUCGCACCGUGCGGGCUUGUGACCUCCUCGUGGGCCCAACUGACGCAAUUCCACCACCAUAAAUUCCUAUAAAUUCAGAAACCUCCAAAAAGAAACCUAGAUCGGGAGUUCCGCCGCCGCAAGCCUCUGUAGCCACUAAAAACCAAUCUGGAGCCCGUUCUGACACCCUGCCGGAGGGGGAUUCCAUCUCCGGUGGCCAUCUUCAUCAUCCCGGCGAUCUCCAUGACGAGGAGGGAGUAGUUCACCCUUGGGGCUAAGGGUAUGUACCAGUAGCUAUGUGUUUGAUCUCUCUCUCUCUCGUGUUCUUGAGAUGUCUUGAUCUCGAUGUACCGUGGGCUUUGCUACUAUAGUUGGAUCUUAUGAUGUUCUUCCCCCUCUCCCUUCUUGUAAUUAAUUGAAUUUCCCCUUUGAAGUUAUCUUAUCGGAUUGAGUCUUUGAGAACACUUGAUGUAUGUCUUGCACGUGUCUAUCUGUUGUGAUCAACUUGCGGGUUUGUGGCAAUUGGGAACCUAUGCAUAUGGGUUGGCACACGUGGAUUCAUGUGAGUACUCGAUGUAUGUUUUGGUGAUCAACUUGCGGGUUCGUGACAUUGGGAACCUAUGCAUAGGGGUUGGCACACAUUUUGACUCUCCGGUAGAAACUUCGGGGCACUCUUUGAGGUUCUAUGUGUUGGUUGAAUAGAUGAUUCUGAGAUUGUGCGAUGCAUAUCGUAUAAUCAUGCCCAUGGAUACUUGAGGUGACAAUGGAGUAUCUAGGUGACAUUAGGGUCUUGGUUGAUAUGUAUCUUAAGGUGUUAUUCUAGUACGAACUCUUGAAUAGAUGGAUCAAAAAUAAUAACUUUAUGGUGGUUUCGUACCCGACAAUAAUCUAUUCGUUUGUUCUCCGCUAUUAGUGACUUUGGAGUGACUCUUUGUUGCAUGUUGAGGGCUAGUUAUACGAUCCAAUUAUGUUAUCAUUGUUGAGAGAACUUCCACUAGUGAAAGUAUGAACCCUAGGCCUUGUUUCCACGCAUUGCAAUACCGUUCAUGCUCACUUUUGUUACUAGUUACCUUGCUGUUUUUGUAAUUUCAGAUUACGAAAACCUAUAUAUCUACCAUCCAUUUUGCACUUGUUUCACCAUCUCUUCGACAAACUAGUGCACCUAUACAACUUAUCAUUGUAUUGGGUGUGUUGGGGACACAAGAGACUCUUUGUUAUUUGGUUGCAGGGUUGCUUGAGAGAGACCAUCUUCAUCCUAUGCCUCCCGCGGAUUGAUAAACCUUAGGUCACCCACUUGAGGGAAAAUUGCUAUUGUCCUACAAACCUCUGCACUUGGAGGCCCAACAAUGUCUACAAGGAAAAGGUUGCAUAGUAGACAUCAUAUAGCACCCUAUGACAUUGAAGAUAUUGAUGUCACUACUAAACUUGCGAACCGUGACACUAUUUCACCACUUGGGAUUGUUAGAUAUAUUGAAGUCUUGUGUGGAAAAGUCAAGUACCCCGUUGAUUUCCUAGUACUUGCUUCAGAACCAGAUAACUUUGCCUCACCAUAUUUGGUAGACCUUUCUUGAAUACUGUUAAUGUUGAAACUAAUUGUGCUACUAAGAAGGUUAGAGUGAGCUUUGGUGAUAUGUCUCAUGAGUUUUAUUUCUCCAAGUUUAGUAAACAACCACAUGAAAAAGAAUUGCCUAAUAAGGAUGAAAUAAUUGGUCUUGCUUCUAUUGUUGUACCUCCUAUUGAUCCAUUAGAACAAUAUUUGGUAGGUCAUGAGAAUGAAAUGCACAUCAAUGAAAGGAACGAAAUAGAUAAGAUAUUCUUUGACCAACAACCUAUCCUUAAGCACAACCUACCCGUUGACAUUUUAGGGGAUCCUCCUCCACCCAAGGUAGAUCACAUGUUUGAGCUUAAGACUUUACCUGAUACUUCGAAAUAUGCUUAUCUAGAUGGAAAGAAGAUAUAUCAUGUUAUUAUCCGUUCUAACCUUUCAGAGCAUGAAGAAAAGAGAUUACUCAAAACUUUGGGGAAGCACAUGGCUACUACUCUUGAUGAUCUUAAGGGCAUAAGCCUCACUCUCUGUUAGCACAAGAUUAAUAUGGAACCGGAUGUUAAACCAGUCGUUGAUCAUCAACACUGUCUCAACCCAAAGGUGAAAGAGGUGAUAAGAACUGAAAUACUAAAACUUCUGGAGGCAUGUAUAAUUUAUCUUAUUGCUGAUAGUAGAUGGGUAAGUCUUGUUCAUUGUGUUCCUAAGAAAGGUGGUAUUACUUUUGUCCCUAAUGAUAAAGAUGAACUUAUUCCACAGAGGACAUUGACUCGUUAUAGGAUGGUAAUUAAUUUCACAAAAUUGAAUAAAGUUACUAGAAAAUACCAUUACCCCUUGCCUUUUAUUGAUCAAAUGUUAUAAAGAUUGUCUAAGCACACACACUUUUGCUCUCAUGAUGGAUAUUCUCGAUUCUCUCAAAUACCUGUGUCAAAAGAAGACCAAGAGAAAACUACCUUUACUUGCCCUUUUGGAACUUAUGCUUAUAGGCGUAUGCCUUUUGGUAUAUUCAAUGCACGUGCUACCUUUCAAAGAUGUAUGACUACUUAUUAUUUGAAUUUUGUGAAAAGGUUGUUUGGUUUUCAUGGUUGUUUUUUUUCAUUUACGGAACUGCUUUUGAUGAUUGCUUGAACAACCUUGAUCGAUUUUAUGGUGAAAGAAGGUACAAUACUUGGGCAUAAAAUUUCUGAAUGAGGUAUUGAGGUAGAUAAGGCCAAAGUUGAUGCAAUACAGAAAAAUCCAUGCCCAAAAGAUAUCAAAGGUAUAAUAAGUUUCCUCGGUCAUGCUCGUUUCUAUAGGCGUUUCAUUAAAGAUUUCUCAAAGAUUUCUAGUCCAUUAACUAAUCUUCUUCAUAAAUUUGUUCCUUUUGUUUUGAUGAUGAUUGUGUAGAAGCCUUUGAAAUACUUUAUAAAGCCUUAAUUUCUGCACCUAUUGUUCAACCACCUGAUUGGAACUUACCCUUUGAAAUUAUGUGUGAUUCUAGUGAUUAUGUUGUUGGUGAUAUUCUAGGGCAAAGAGUAGACAACAAAUUGAAUGUUAUUCAUUAUGCUAGUAAGACCCUAGAUACUGCUCAAAGAAAUUAUGCUACUACUAAAAAAGAAUUUUUAGCAGUUGUGUUUGCAUGUGAUAAAUUUAGACCUUACACCGUUGAUUCUAAAGUAACUAUUCAUACCGAUCAUGUUGCUAUUAAAUACCUGAUGGAAAAGAAAGUUGCUAAACCUAGACUUAUCAGAUGGGUGCUAUUACUCCAAGAAUUUGACUUGCGUAUCAUUGAUAGGAAAGGAGCUGAAAACCCUGUAGCAGAUAACUUGUCUAGGAUAGAAAAUGUUCUUGAUGACCCAUGUAUCAAAUUAUCAAAGUAGCGAACACAAAUCAACUUAGUAUGAUGAAUAUGACUAGACAGAAAUUCUCAUGUGUACUCAGGGGCGUUUGCUUUAUAUAAGAGUACUUUCACGCAUGUCCUUUGCUACAAAAAGUAUUGGGCUACCUUGCUGCAUCUUUGCUACUAUUGUUACUUGUCACUUGUUACGAAUUAUCUUGCUACAAAAUUAUCUAUCACUCUUACUUACAACACUUGCAUAAAAUACCUUGCUGAAAACCGCAUAUCAUUUCCUUCUGCUCCUCGUUGGGUUUGACACUCUUACUUAUUGAAAGGACUAUGAUUUAUCCCCUAUAAUUGUGGGUCAUCACAUACUCGUGCACCAGGCAUGGUGGCACUAGUUGUAUCGGCAGCCGCUGUUGUAUCCCGAUGUCAACCUGUCCUAGGGUUGGCAUCUGGAUUCGUAGCGCAUCUCAGUGCAGGCGGUGUCGUGGUCACAGCUGGCUCACACCGAGGAGGUGUGACGGCUUUGCGAACUCCUUACAUCGGAGCAGCAACGGUCCACUGUCUAUGCCUCAGACUCUCCCAAUUGGGAGAUCUGGUUUGCCCUCGAGCAUGAGGAGGAGUGCCGACGCAGUGUCCAGCACCACCACACCAACCUCCCAUUGCCGCCUAAGGUCAAGACGGAGGAGGAGGAGGAGGAGGAGUGCAUUUAUCGGGCGGUGUUGGCGGCGGGCAUGUAGGUAUCCAAUGAGGAUACCCCGUGCAAAGAGGAGGAGGAGGAGGUUGUGUACCAGGCACGGUUGGCGGAGGCACACGCUCUGUCUGUGGCCGGGGACUGCAUGAUUCCCCGUCGCUACUGAGACUCUCCGCACCAAGCCCAAACCGCAGCCAACGGAGCCCCAGCCGCUGAUGAAGCGGUAUGUGUGGAAGGGUGGGCUGUGCGAGUGGGUGAGCGCGCCUUCCAUGUGUCUCGGUACGAUACCGGUGGAGGACGUGGCAUACCUCGAGCAUUAUAGGAAGCGCGCGUUGACGAAGGAGCAGGGGGACAAUAAGUGUCUGGUAGAGGCUGAGCGCAAGGCGGAAGAGNNNNNNNNNNNNNNNNNNNNNNNNNNNNNNNNNGAAGAGCGGCAUGCCCUGUGGGCACGAGAGGAAGAGGAGGCGCGUGAGGAGGAGGGGGAGGAGCGUUGUCCCACGACGAAGCAGUCCAGCCGGUGCAGGAUGCGGCCCGAGCCUGAGAUAGAUGGAUUUGUUGAGAAAUAUGAUGGUCGACCUAAUCGGCCCUAGCUCUGACGACGAGGAGGCCUAGGGCAGUGCGCGGGAACGACGAGGAUGCCUAAGACAGUGCGGGGGAGAUGCAUAUUUUUUUAAUUAUGUUUUUAAGGUAUAUGUGGACUUUAGCCGUCGGUUUACCGGUUUUUAAUGUUUAAUUAUGUUAAGUUUAAAUGCAUUGCAUGUUUUGUGUUUUAAAGCCGACCUAAAUGAAAAAAGAACAUGAACGUGUGCAUGGUCGAUCCAAACGGACAAAGCACACGUCCAUUUAGGGUCGGUGGUUCUAUGCAGCUCGCGAUCUAGCCCAGCUUGCAGGUAAAUGAAAUCACAGUGUUCCAGUGGUCUAGGACCACUUAAGUAACUUUUAGGUUAGUUUCGUAAAAAAAAAAAGGCUUCAAGGUUAGUGUUGUUGGUCGGUGUUCGUUGACAAGUUUUUACAUAAUAACUGUGAAGAUGACAUGCUUGAUACUACCGGCCAUACCACUUGUUUUUCGUCAACGUCCAAGAAAGCCAUCUCGUACGUUAGAAGAGAUAGAUGGAUUUGAUGCGAAAUAUGAUGGAUGUUGUAUUGAGCCUUAUGGACGAGUAUAUAUAGGAGUGGACACUUGGAGGGCAAGAAGCCUUUCCUAGAGAUAAGGUAGGAGAUGGUUUACAAAUCCUAGAGUAUCAAAUACAUGUACGCCAAAUAUAUCUCUAACAUCCCCCACAACCGUAGCGACAGUGUUGCGAACAACAGGAGCAUCGAGGACGGCCAGACUAGAGAGAAUACCUGUCGACGGGCUAACAACCCUCCCCCCUCCCCCUCCCNNNNNNNNNNNNNNNNNNNNNNNNNNNNNNNNNNNNNNNNNNNNNNNNNNNNNNNNNNNNNNNNNNNNNNNNNNNNNNNNNNNNNNNNNNNNNNNNNNNNNNNNNNNNNNNNNNNNNNNNNNNNNNNNNNNNNNNNNNNNNNNNNNNNNNNNNNNNNNNNNNNNNNNNNNNNNNNNNNNNNNNNNNNNNNNNNNNNNNNNNNNNNNNNNNNNNNNNNNNNNNNNNNNNNNNNNNNNNNNNNNNNNNNNNNNNNNNNNNNNNNNNNNNNNNNNNNNNNNNNNNNNNNNNNNNNNNNNNNNNNNNNNNNNNNNNNNNNNNNNNNNNNNNNNNNNNNNNNNNNNNNNNNNNNNNNNNNNNNNNNNNNNNNNNNNNNNNNNNNNNNNNNNNNNNNNNNNNNNNNNNNNNNNNNNNNNNNNNNNNNNNNNNNNNNNNNNNNNNNNNNNNNNNNNNNNNNNNNNNNNNNNNNNNNNNNNNNNNNNNNNNNNNNNNNNNNNNNNNNNNNNNNNNNNNNNNNNNNNNNNNNNNNNNNNNNNNNNNNNNNNNNNNNNNNNNNNNNNNNNNNNNNNNNNNNNNNNNNNNNNNNNNNNNNNNNNNNNNNNNNNNNNNNNNNNNNNNNNNNNNNNNNNNNNNNNNNNNNNNNNNNNNNNNNNNNNNNNNNNNNNNNNNNNNNNNNNNNNNNNNNNNNNNNNNNNNNNNNNNNNNNNNNNNNNNNNNNNNNNNNNNNNNNNNNNNNNNNNNNNNNNNNNNNNNNNNNNNNNNNNNNNNNNNNNNNNNNNNNNNNNNNNNNNNNNNNNNNNNNNNNNNNNNNNNNNNNNNNNNNNNNNNNNNNNNNNNNNNNNNNNNNNNNNNNNNNNNNNNNNNNNNNNNNNNNNNNNNNNNNNNNNNNNNNNNNNNNNNNNNNNNNNNNNNNNNNNNNNNNNNNNNNNNNNNNNNNNNNNNNNNNNNNNNNNNNNNNNNNNNNNNNNNNNNNNNNNNNNNNNNNNNNNNNNNNNNNNNNNNNNNNNNNNNNNNNNNNNNNNNNNNNNNNNNNNNNNNNNNNNNNNNNNNNNNNNNNNNNNNNNNNNNNNNNNNNNNNNNNNNNNNNNNNNNNNNNNNNNNNNNNNNNNNNNNNNNNNNNNNNNNNNNNNNNNNNNNNNNNNNNNNNNNNNNNNNNNNNNNNNNNNNNNNNNNNNNNNNNNNNNNNNNNNNNNNNNNNNNNNNNNNNNNNNNNNNNNNNNNNNNNNNNNNNNNNNNNNNNNNNNNNNNNNNNNNNNNNNNNNNNNNNNNNNNNNNNNNNNNNNNNNNNNNNNNNNNNNNNNNNNNNNNNNNNNNNNNNNNNNNNNNNNNNNNNNNNNNNNNNNNNNNNNNNNNNNNNNNNNNNNNNNNNNNNNNNNNNNNNNNNNNNNNNNNNNNNNNNNNNNNNNNNNNNNNNNNNNNNNNNNNNNNNNNNNNNNNNNNNNNNNNNNNNNNNNNNNNNNNNNNNNNNNNNNNNNNNNNNNNNNNNNNNNNNNNNNNNNNNNNNNNNNNNNNNNNNNNNNNNNNNNNNNNNNNNNNNNNNNNNNNNNNNNNNNNNNNNNNNNNNNNNNNNNNNAGUGAGUUAUAUGAUCUCAUGGUCAUAGGAAUAAAUACUUGACACGCAGAAAACAGUAGCAACAAAAUGACACGAUCAACAUGCUACGUCUAUUAGUUUGGGUCUAGUCCAUCACAUGAUUCUCCUAAUGAUGUGAUCCCGUUAUCAAGUGACAACACUUGCCUAUGGCCAGGAAACCUUGACCAUCUUUGAACAACGAGCUAGUCAACUAGAGGCUUACUAGGGAUAGUGUUUUGUCUAUGUAUCCACACAAGUAUUGUGUUUCCAAUCAAUACAAUUAUAGCAUGGAUAAUAAACGAUUAUCAUGAACUAAGAAAUAUAAUAAUAACUAAUUUAUUAUUGCCUCUAGGGCAUAUUUCCAACAGUCUCCCACUUGCACUAGAGUCAAUAAUCUAGUUCACAUCACCAUGUGAUUCCAACGAAUCCAACACCCAUAUAGUUAUGGGGUCUGAUCACGUCUUGCUCGUGAGAGAGGUUUUAGUCAACGGUUCUGAAACUUGCAGAUCCGUGUGUUCUUUACAAAUCUUUAUGUCAUCUUAUAGAUGCUGCUACUACGUGCUAUUCGGAAAUGCUCCAAAUAUCUACUCUACUAUAUGAAUCCGUUUCACUACUCAUAGUUAUUCGGAUUAGUGUCAAAGCUUGCAUCGACGUAACCCUUUACGACAAACUCUUUAACCACCUCCAUGAUCGAGAAAAAAUUCCUUAGUCCAUUAGUUACCAAGGAUAAAUUUUGACCGCUGCUAGUGAUUCAAUCAUGGAUCACUCUCUGUACCUCUCAACAGACUUUGAGUCAAGGCACACUUCAGGUGCGGUACACAGCAUGGCAUACUUUAGAUUCUACGGCUAAGGCAUAGAAGACGACCUUCGUCUAUUCUCUUUUAUUCUGCCGUGGUCGGGUUUUGAGUCUUACUCAAAUUCACACCUCACAACGCAACCAAGAACUCUUUCUUUGCUGGUCUAUUUUGAACUCUUUCAAAAACUUGUCAAGGCAUGUAUCUUGUUGAAACUUCCAUUAAGCGCUUUCGAUCUAUCUCCAUAGAUCUUUGAUGCUCAACGUUCAAGUAGCUCAAUCCAGGUAUUCCUUUGAAAAAACUCCUUUCAAACAACCUUGUAUGCUUUACAGAAAUUCUACAUUACUUCUGAUCCACAAUAUGUCAACCACAUAUACUUAUCAGAAAUUCUAUAGUGCUCCCACUCACUUCUUUGGAAAUACAAGUUUCUCAUAAACCUUGUACAAACCCAAAAUCCUUGAUCAUCUCAUCAAAGUGUAUAUUCCAACUCCGAGAUGCUUGCACCAGUCCAUUGAAGGAUCACUGGAGUUUGCGUACUUGCUAGUAUCUUUUAGGAUCGACAAAACCUUCUGGUUGUAUCACAUACAAUGUUUGCUCAAGGAAACCGUCGAGGAAACAAUGUUUUGACAUCCUACGUGCAAUAUUUCAUAAAUAAUGCAUCAACAACUAACAUAAUUCUAACAGACUUUUAGCAUCGCUACGAGUGAGAAAGUCUCAUCACAGUCAACUGUUUGAUCUUGUCGAAAACAUCUUUGCGACAAGUCGAGCUUUUCUUAAUAGUGACUUAUCACCAUCAUCGUCUGUCUUCCUUUAAAGAUCCAUUUUUACUCAAUAGUCCUAUGACCAUCAAGUAGUUCUACCAAAGUCUUCACUUUGUUUUCACACAUGGAUCCUCUCUCGGAUUUCAUGGCUUCCAGCCAUUUGUCGGAAUCUGGGCCCACCAUCGCUUUCUCCAUAACUCGUAGGUUCACUGUUGCUCAACAACAUGACCUCCAAGACAGGGUUACAGUACUACUCUGCAGCAGUAUGCGACCUUGUCGACCUACGAGGUUUGUAGUAACUUGAUUCGAAGCUCAAUGAUCACCAUCAUCAGCUUCUUCUUCAAUUGGUGUAGGCGCCACAGGAACAACUUCCUACGCCCUGCUACACACUAGUUGAAGUGAUGGUUCAAUAACCUCAUCAAGUUCUACUACCCUCCCACUCAAUUCUUUCGAGAGAAACCUUUCCUCGAGAAAGGAUCCGUUUCUAGAAACAAACACUUUGCUUUCGGAUCUGAGAUAGGAGAUGUACCCAACUGUUUUGGAUAUCCUAUGAAGAUGCAUUUAUCCGCUUUGGGUUCGAGCUUAUCAGACUGAAACCUUUUCACAUAAGUGUCGAAACCCCAAACUUUCAUGAAACGACAGUUUAGAUUUCUCUAAACCUCAGUCUAUACUGUGUCAUCUCAACGGAAAUACGCGGUGCCCUAUUUAAAGUGAGUGCGGUUGUCUCUAAUGCAUAACCCAUAAACGAUAGUGGUAAUUCGAUAAGAGACAUCACAGUAUGCACCAUACUAAAUAGUGCGUGGCUAUGAUGUUCAGACACAUCAUCACACUAUGAUGUUCCAGGUGGCAUGAACUGUGAAACAAUUUCCACAUUGUCUUAACUGUGUACCAAAAACUCGUAACUCAGAUAUUCAUUUCUAUGAUCACAUCGUAGACAGUUCAUCUUCUUGUUACGACGAACUUCACUCUGAAACAGAAUUGAACUUUUCAAUAUUUCAGAUUUGUGAUUCAUUAAGUAAAUACUUCUGUAUCUACUCAAGUCGUCAGUGAAGUAAGAACAUAAUGAUAUCCACUGCGUGCCUCAGCAUUCACUGGACUGCAUACAUCAAAAUGUAUCACUUUCCAACAAGUUACUAUCUUGUUUCAUCUCAACGAAAACAAGGCCUUGCUCAUGUGGUAUGAUUUGCAUGUCACUAGUGAUUCGAAAUCAGGUGAGUACAAAGAUCCAUCAGCAUGGAGCCUCUUCAUGCAAUUUAUACUAACAUGACUCAAGCGGCAGUGCCACAAGUAAGUGGUACUAUCAUCAUUAACUCGUAUCUUUUGGCACCAAUGUGUCACACUACAAUCGAGAUUCAAUAAACCAUUGAAGGUGAUUAUUCAAGCAAAUAGAGUAACCAUUAUUCUCUUUGAAUGAAUAAUCGUAUUGCAAUAAACACGAUCCAAUCAUGUUCACGCUUAACGCAAACACCAAAUAACAAUUAUUUAGGUUCAACACCAAUCCCGAUGGUAGAGGGAGCGUGCGACGUUUGAUUAUAUCAACCUUGGAAACAGUUCCAACACAUAUCGUCACCUCGCCUUUAGCUAGUCUCCGUUUAUGCCGUAGCUUUCAUUUCGCGUUACUAAUCACUUAGCAACCGAACCGGUAUCCAAUACCCUCGUGCUACUAGGAGUACUAGUAAAGUACACAUCAACAUUAUGUAUAUCACAUAUAUACUUCUCUCGACUUUUCCAGCCUUCUUAUCCACCAAGUAUCUAGAGUUGCUCCGCCUCAGUGACUGUUCCCCUUAUUAUAGAAGCACUUAGUCUCGGGUUUGGGUUUAAUCUUGGGUCUCUUCAUUAGUGCAGCAAUUGUUUUGCCGUUUCACGAAGUAUCCCUUCUAGCCCUUGCCUUUCUUGAAACUUAGUGGUUUUACUAACCAUCAACUAUUGAUGCUCCUUCUUGAUUUCUACUUUCGCAGUGUCAAACAUCGCGAAUCACUCAAAAGAUCAUAGUAUCUAUCCUUGAUAUGUUAUAGUUCAUCACGAAGCUCUCAUAGCUUGGUGGCAGUGACUUUGGAGAACCAUCAAUAUCUCAUUUGGAAGAUUAACUCCCACUUGAUUCAAGCGAUUGUCGUACUCAGACAAUCUGAGCACACGCUCAACGAUUGAGCUUUUCUCCUUUACUUUGUGGACAAAGAAUCUUGUUUGGAGGUCUCGAACCUCUUAACAAGGGCACAAGCAUGAAAUCACAAUUUCAUCUCUUCGGAACAUCACUUAUGUUCCGUGACGUUUUACAACGUUUUCGGCGCCUUUGCUUCUAAGCCAUCAAGUAUCUUGCACUGAACUAUCGUGUAGUCAUCAGUAACGUGUAUGUCGGAUGUUCAUAGCAUCCACAGACGACGCUCGAGGUGCAGCACACCGAGUGGUGCAUUAAGGACAUAAGCCUUCUGCGUAGCAACGAGGACAAUCCUCGGUUUUACAGACUCAGUCUGCAAAGGUUGCUACUAUCAAUUUUCAACUAAAUUUUCUCUAGGAACAUGUAAAAACAGUAGAGCUAUAGCGCAAGCUACAUCGUAAUUCGCAAAGACCAUUAGACUAUGUUCAUGACAAUUAGUUCAAUUAAUCAUAUUACUUAAGAACUCCUACUCAAAAAGUACAUCUCUCUAGUCAUUUGAGUGGUACACGAUCCAAAUCCGCUAUCUCAAGUCCGAUCAUCACGUGAGUCGAGAAUAGUUUCAGUGGUAAGCAUCCCUAUGCUAAUCAUAUCAACUAUACGAUUCAUGCUCGACCUUUUGGUCUCAUGUGUUCCGAGGCCAUGUCUGCACAUGCUAGGCUCGUCAAGCUUAACCCGAGUGUUCCGCGUGUGCAACUGUUUUGCACCCGUUGUAUGUGAACGUUGAGUCUAUCACACCCGAUCAUCACGUGGUGUCUCGAAACGAAGAACUGUCGCAACGGUGCACAGUCGGGGAGAACACAAUUUCGUCUUGAAAUUUUAGUGAGAGAUCACCUCAUAAUGCUACCGUCGUUCUAAGCAAAAUAAGGUGCAUAAAAGGAUUAACAUCACAUGCAAUUCAUAAGUGACAUGAUAUGGCCAUCAUCACGUGCUUCUUGAUCUCCAUCACCAAAGCACCGGCACGAUCUUCUUGUCACCGGCGCCACACCAUGAUCAUCCAUCAACGUGUCGCCAUCGGGGUUGUCGUGCUACUUAUGCUAUCACUACUAAAGCUACAUCCUAGCAAAAUAGUAAACGCAUCUGCAAGCACAUAUGUUAGUAUAAAGACAACCCUAUGGCUCCUGCCGGUUGCCGUACCAUCGACGUGCAAGUCGAUAUUUCUAUUACAACAUGAUCAUCUCAUACAUCCAAUAUAUCACAUCACAUCAUUGGCCAUAUCACAUCACAAUCAUACCCUGCAAAAACAAGUUAGACGUCCUCUAAUUUUGUUGUUGCAAGUUUUACGUGGUGACCAAGGGUAUCUAGUAGGAUCGCAUCUUACUUACGCAAACACCACAACGGAGAUGUAUGAGUUGCUAUUUAACCUCAUCCAAGGACCUCCUCGGUCAAAUCCGAUUCAACUAAAGUUGGAGAAACCGUCACUUGCCAGUCAUCUUUGAGCAAAGGGGGUUACUCGUAACGAUGAAACCAGUCUCUCGUAAGCGUACGAGUAAUGUCGGUCCAAGCCGCUUCAAUCCAACAAUGCCGCGGAAUCAAGAAAAGACUAAGGAGGGAAGCAAAACGCACAUCACCGCCCACAAAGCCUUUUGUGUUCUACUCGAGAAGACAUCUACGCAUGAACCUAGCUCAUGAUGCCACUGUUGGGGAACGUCGCAUGGGAAACAAAAAUUUUCCUACGCGCACGAAGACCUAUCAUGGUGAUGUCCAUCUACGAGAGGGGAUGAGUGAUCUACGUACCCUUGUAGAUCGUACAGCAGAAGCGUUAGAGAACGCGGUUGAUGUAGUGGAACGUCCUCACGUCCCUCGAUCCGCCCCGCGAACAAUCCCGCGAUCAGUCCCACGAUCUAGUACCGAACGGACGGCACCUCCGCGUUCAGCACACGUACAGCUCGACGAUGAUCUCGGCCUUCUUGAUCCAGCAAGAGAGACGGAGAGGUAGAAGAGUUCUCCGGCAGCGUGACGGCGCUCCGGAGGUUGGUGAUGAUCUUGUCUCAGCAGGGCUCCGCCCGAGCUCCGCAGAAACACGAUCUAGAGGAAAAACUAUGGAGGUAUGUGGUCGGGCAGCCGUGAGAAAGUCGUCUCAAAUCAGCCCUAAAACCUCCGUAUAUAUAGGUGGGAGGGGGAGGGAAGAGGCAGCCUCAAACCCUCAAGGGUUGGCCGAAAUUGGAGGUGGAGGAGUCCUACUCCAAUCCUACUUGGAGUAGGAUUCCACCUUCCCACUUGGAAACUCUUUCCACCUUGUGUUUUUUCCUUCUCAAACCUUAUGGGCCUUAGUGGGAACUUAUUCCAGCCCACUAGGGGCUGGUUUAUCUCUUCCCAUAGCCCAUGAGACCCCUUGGGGCGUGACACCCCUCCCGAUGGUCCCCGGCACCCCUCCCGGCACUCCCGGUACACUACCGAUGAGCCCGAAACUUUUCCGGUGACCAAAACAGGACUUCCUAUAUAUCAAUAUUUACCUCCGGACCAUUCCGGAGCUCCUCGUGACGUCCUGGAUCUCAUUCGGGACUCCGAACAACAUUCGGUAACCAACCAUAUAACUCAAAUACGCAUAAAACAACGUCGAACCUUAAGUGUGCAGACCCUGCGGGUUCGAGAACUAUGUAGACAUGACCCGAGAGACUCCUCGGUCAAUAUCCAAUAGCGGGACCUGGAUGCCCAUAUUGGAUCCUACAUAUUCUACGAAGAUCUUAUCGUUUGAACCUCAGUGCCAAGGAUUCAUAUAAUCCCGUAUGUCAUUCCCUUUGUCCUUCGGUAUGUUACUUGCCCGAGAUUCGAUCGUUAGUAUCCGCAUACCUAUUUCAAUCUCGUUUACCGGCAAGUCUCUUUACUCGUUCCGUAAUACAAGAUCCCGCAACUUACAUUAAGUUACAUUGCUUGCAAGGCUUGUGUGUGAUGUUGUAUUACCGAGUGGGCCCCGAGAUACCUCUCCGUCACACGGAGUGACAAAUCCCAGUCUUGAUCCAUACUAACUCAACUAACACCUUCGGAGAUACCUGUAGAGCAUAUUUAUAGUCACCCAGUUACGUUGCGACGUUUGAUACACACAAAGCAUUCCUCCGGUGUGAGUGAGUUAUAUGAUCUCAUGGUCAUAGGAAUAAAUACUUGACACGCAGAAAACAGUAGCAACAAAAUGACACGAUCAACAUGCUACGUCUAUUAGUUUGGGUCUAGUCCAUCACAUGAUUCUCCUAAUGAUGUGAUCCCGUUAUCAAGUGACAACACUUGCCUAUGGCCAGGAAACCUUGACCAUCUUUGAACAACGAGCUAGUCAACUAGAGGCUUACUAGGGAUAGUGUUUUGUCUAUGUAUCCACACAAGUAUUGUGUUUCCAAUCAAUACAAUUAUAGCAUGGAUAAUAAACGAUUAUCAUGAACUAAGAAAUAUAAUAAUAACUAAUUUAUUAUUGCCUCUAGGGCAUAUUUCCAACAGUCGCGCCACUGACCCAUGGACUGCAGUGGAAGCCAAUGAGUUGCUCAAGCGAGGUGAUAGCCCUUUGUGCCGUUGUCGAGGUAGUCGAGACCGUGGAUGGUGUAGCCGUGGUCGAGGUAGCUGUGAAAAGAAUAUUGUGGUCGAUGUCGAGUCAGGGUAGCCGGUGACGAGGAAGUCAUCGUGGAGUCGUGGGUGCAAGGAGGCGUCGAGUAAGUCAUAGGCGCGAUGUCGAAGUAGUGAUGCGCCAGAAAGAGGGCGUUGUUCACGAUGAGUCGCGUCGGGUUUGCCAAGCCCGGGGACACAUAAUGGACGAAGGCACACAUCGGUGUUGCCAGCACCGGGCAUGUGUAGACGAACGAAGUCGAUGUUGGCAAUGCACCGCUCGAGGCUUGCGAGGACUAGGAGCACAUCGGGGACGAAGGCACAUGUUGUUGCCAGCAUCGGGCAUGCGUAGACGGGGACCUGCACACAAUUUGUACGCCACGUUGAGGGGUCUAGGACAAAAGGACUCGGUGAUGGUUGUGACGCAAAUCAGCGGGAGGCCGAAGUCGCGUGCUGUUGUCGGAGUAGAUGACGAUGACACUUAGGAUGAGAUGGUGCUGGACAAACAUAAAUGGGGUGGAGUGGUGGGGCAGCUCGGGCGGGCGACUUGCCGCAGCGCCAAAGAAACGGGGCGACGCGGCUAGGGUGGGCGAGUCGUAGUGGCACCGAAGAGGAGGGGUGGAUGCGGCCUAAUGGCGGCCGCUAGUUAGGAGUGUGGCAUCGAUGCUCGAAGUUCGCGAGGAAGAACUUGACAGCAUGACGAAGACCGACGCGGACGGUGACUUUCCCGUGCUGAGGGAGUCGUCAUGGCGCAUGCCACAUAGAAGUUGACACACGCGGACGACGGAGUGGGCCACAUGUCGCGGCGCUAUAGCCCGAAGGGGCCACGCAGUGACAGCGCGCAGGUCGGGGAAACGACGGGAAGACUUCGGGGCGGCGGCAUGGACCGUGAGCCACGACGUGACAACCCAAAGGGGAGGCGCAACGGUUGAGGGCGGGUCGGUGCAGCCAUGGGGAUGGCCUCGGGCGAUGGCGGGGACCGCGUGUCGCGACACUACAGCCCGAAAGGCCGACACAAUGGCAACGCACGAGCCGGUGCAGCCGCGAGGAGAACCACGGGGCGGCGGUACUGCGGCUCGAUGGGGCGACGCACCGGCAACCCGUUGCUUGAUCGAUGGAGGGACGCGCUUUACUAGGGACAGUCUUCACGGGACAUGCGGAUGCGUGUGCAACCGACGGGCCAGGUCGGGUGCCCGACGUGGAUGAGGCUGAUCGCAGGUGAGCGGGUGAUCAAUCCAAUCGCGAACGUGGGCGGGAACGUCGCUCGGUGGAGGCGGGGUGGCGGAUAAGUCUGAGAUGAAACCGGAGCGAGCAACGACCUUCGCCGUGAGAUGACGUGUGUACGAGCCCAACGCGGUCGGAGCCAGCAGCCGAUCCGAUGCAUCCGAUGAGGCUGAUGAAGCCAACAGCCAGCAGACGACGUUCCCUACGCGGACGGAGCCGGCAGCCGACGAGGCGAUGAAGCCGGCCCCGGCAGCCGGCCCAAGGCAGUCGGUUGGGCAACUGUACGAUGCGACGAAGGAGGGUGGUGAUGAAAAGGUCCCGGUCGGAGUAGGGCGACAUGAAAGAAGGAGCACAAGCGACAGCCGUAAGGGGAAGCCACGUAGCCCGAGGCCGACCGAUUGGAGAAGAGACCGGGUGGUUGCACCGAUGUCGAAGUAGAGGCGCGCGGUCGACAACGGCGACAGAUGACGCAAAUCGAUCUUAGAUUGCAAAACCAAAAUGAAGAUGUCGAUCAAAGUGACCAGCGGGAGAGAGAAGACCCGGAUCAAAAGAUUGGGGAAAAGACUCUCGAGGGCAGCCGGUAAACACGACCGACGGACGAAUCCUAGGUACGGGCGACAGGACCCCUGGUGACGGUCAUGGAGGAUGACCGCCCCGGGGGCGGCGUGGAGCGGAAGCAGCGGACGGCGGCUAGGGUUGAAUCGGUUAGGUUGAUACCAUGUUAGAAGAGAUAGAGGGAUUGGUGCGGAAUAUGAUAGAUGUUGUAUUGAGACUAAUGGAUGAGUAUAUAUAGAAAUACAGACUUGAAGGACAAGAAGCGUGUCCUACCUAGAGAUAAGGUAAGAAUGGGAUUACAAAUCUGAAAGUACCAAAUACAUAUACAUCAAAUAUAUCUCUAAGAGCAUCUAUAACCGGACGCCUCAAAUGACCCUCAUUGCCCACGGACGUGUCCGAUCAGUGACCGGACAGGAGAGAGAAGAAAAAGAAGUGACCCAACCGGAACCCUCGUAUCAUUCAUAUACGCCCGGGUUGUCCUUGAUCCCUCGUAUACAUCUCAAAUAUAGGGAGUAUAUGAGGGCUCGCGGGCGCGUCCGGGCAUUCCGUCACGUAGGAUGCGAUUCCAUCUUGAACCACAUUUUUCUUUUCUUUAUUCAUUUUUUUCUCUUCCUCUUCGUCAAUCACAUGUAAGUGAUCGAACACAUGAAAAAAAAGAGUAAAAAGUGUGAAGAACAUGUCCGAUCACUAACUAGGAGGGUCCGCAGACAUUUAGAAAGUCAUAUUUGUUAUAUCUGUUUGUAGAUGCUCUAACAUGAUAGUACCAUGGUAGAACCAUACGUUGAUGAGACAUUCUGAUGUGGACCGUAUAGUUGUGAGACAUGAGUCAGCCAUGACUCCAUUCCCUGAAGUCUGUGUCCGCGUAUGUUUAUGCUUUCGUAAUUAGAAGCAUAUAGUAACAACAGGUGCAUCAAAAGAUAACGUAUAUAUUUUAUUUUAUUUUGAAACAACUAGGCUGCUCGUCGGUUUCUAUUAUAGAAACCGCCAUAAAGUAUGUGGGUUUGCAUGCAUUGACCGAGUCACACAUCACGGGCACGCCGGUGUAAUAUUGACAUCAUAUUCGGGUGGCGACUGGUGCCGCUGAACAGCCAAGCAAAACCUAAGUGUCAUCCCACCACGGGCGGUGAAAAAGUCGAAAACUUUGGGCUGAAAUCAAUUUGAUACUGCCUCCAAUUAUGUGAUCCCUCCAGUCCAGGCGUACGUGCGAAGAAGUCUAAGAGCAAUUCUAGCACACCCCGCAAAACGACCGGUUCAUAAAAAAUCCGACGACUAUACAGAUUUAAACUCAUUUUCCUGCCAAAGCAAACACUGCAAAAGCGGCCUGACCUGGAUUUUUUUGCAGUGGUCCAUAAACGCGACCCUCGACCGAUAUAACUGCGGGUUCGACCGUUGGAUCCGGGUCGAAACUCUAUCCCUCCGCCGCCGCGAAAAGCCCCCCCCCCUCCCGUCCGCCUCAUCGUCGGCGCCUCCAAUCCGCCGCUGCGCGCCUCCAUUACGCCGCGUAGCCGCUCCAAUCCACCGCCGCGCAUGGCCAGCUCCGGUAGUCGUAGGGACGACGACCCCGAGAGGGCUCGUCGCGUCAUAUCCGACGCCGCCCGUAAGCGUGCCGCCCGCCGGUACACGCGAUGGGCCUGACGCCGCCGCCGUCGCUCCUCCGUCGUGAGACAGAGGAGUACGACCGCGCGCGCGGCCGCCUCUUCUCCAGCAGCAGCUCAAUCGAGGCGUCGAGCUCCCGCUCGUCCUCCUCCAUCCCACCGGUGAAGAGGGAGCUCAAAAAGCUCCCAUCGGUGAAGAUGGAGCCGGAAGCCGAGGCGGUGCCGGAGCGACGUGCCGGGGCCGUCGUUGGACCGGAGGACUUCCUCCCUCCGGAGGAGGCGGAUAGCCUCCUGCCCGUGCUGCUGGCGCCGAGUGCACGAGAGACGGAAGAGGACCAGCAGCGCCGCCGGAGGGAGGAGGAGAUCGACACCGUGCUCUACGAGCAGGGUGUCGCGUCGGCCAUCGUCUUCGGCCACAAGGUGGAGGAGUGGCGCCGCGAAGCUACUGCGCAGAAGCGCAUCUACGUCGAGCUCUCCUCCGACGAGGACGACGAGGACGACGACUGAAUGUAGGCUAUCUACUAUUGCACGAGCUCGACUCCGGAGAGCUCCAUUUUGCGUAGUGCGGUAGUAUAGGUAGUAGCUCGAGUAGGUGAUGCCCCCUCUAGUACUGAAUGUAGUGUUGUAUGAUCAUGAAUGUAGUGUCGUAUGAUCAUGACUGUGGUCCUGAACAUGCCCGCGAAUGUUUAUUUUUUAAAUUAUGCAGUUUUAUUAUGCGAAUUCUGUUCUGCAGCGCAACUUUUCGUCCCUCAAAACCCCACUUCGUCGAACUGCAAAACGCGUUUGCAGGUCGUGAUUAUACAGGGUCUGCUAGAGUUGCUCUAACUAGACCAUCCGCAUCCACCCGUACGUACUCCGAGUGCCGAAUCUAGCAGGGGGCUUCGAUAGGCUCGCCUCCCCCCCCCCCCCCCCCCCCCCCCCCCCCCCCCCCCCCCCCCCCCCCCCCCCCCCUCUUUCAAAAAUAGGAAAAGAAAAAUUACUUUUAUUUUAUAUAUUUUUUGUUUUUAUUUGGAUCAAAGAAUUAAGAAUUAUUAACUUUUUAUACACACAUUGUAACUUUGAGCUUCCCCUUCAUGUUCUUCCAAGAUUCGCCAUUGCGUACUCCGUGGGCUCGACAGGUAACAGGAGAGAUUGACUUGUAAAUCACUCGAAAAUGAUGACCGAACAAGCAAAUUUAAUUUAUUAACGAACCACCUAACCGGUUUGGCCACCACUCUAUCUCCCACCAUUGCCAUUCCCACGCUAAGCAUCCAGCAAGUACGUACGUCGUCCUCAACGCUUUCGGUCGCACCGUCACCUUCUUCUAGCUCUAGCUAAAGCUUCCUCGCCCCUGCCGGCCGGUGCGCGAACCACAUCAUCCUCCACAACUUAUCUCCAUCCAUCACUAUCACCAUCCACAGUUUAUCGCUCCAUCUCCGUACCGCAAAGAACCCGGCCUACUCGAGCACUAUACAGAUCAUCUUGAUCGAUAAGUAAUCCAUCUCAUCUUGAUCGAUAAGUAAGUAAGUAAGUUACCACCAGACAUGACACAACAGCUUUUCAUCUACCUUUGAUGUACAAUCGUGUUUGUUGUUUUCUCGUGUAAGAAAAUGUGAUGGAACGAACGAACGAACACCUCGCAAGUUCAGAGACCGGGACAAGGUACGUAGGUAAGCUUCUCAUCCUGCUUGGGACAUGUCAUCCUGCUUUGGACGUGGACACGUAUGGUGAGAUUAAUUCCGCGGUUUCCACUGGAUGGCUGGCGAGAGUGCGUGUCCGG